AAUAAUUUAGGAGGUUCACUCCCAGAUUGUUUGGGAAACUUGUCAUCUUUACAACUAUUAGAUGUUUCUGAAAACCAGUUUACUGGAAAUAUUGCCUCUGGUCCUCUUACCAACCUUAAAUCCCUUAAAUUCCUCUCACUAUCUAAUAACCUCUUUGAGGUUUCCACUUCAAUGAAGCCUUUUAUGAAUCACUCAAGCCUCAAGUUCUUCUCUAGUGAGAACAAUAGACUUGUAACAGAACCUGCUGCCUUUGAUAAUUUGAUUCCAAAGUUCCAACUAGUUUUUUUUAGCUUGUCGAAAACAUCGGAAGCACUCAACGUAGAAAUUCCCGACUUCCUCUAUUACCAAUACGACUUAAGAGUCCUUGAUCUCUCCCACAACAACAUCACCGGAAUGUUUCCAUCGUGGUUGCUUAAGAACAAUACACGAUUGGAGCAACUAUCUUUAAGCGAGAACUCCUUUGUUGGUGCUUUACAAUUGCAAGAUCAUCCAUAUCCGAAUAUGACCGAAUUAGAUAUAUCCAACAACAACAUGAACGGUCAAAUUCCAAAAGAUAUUUGUUUAAUCUUUCCAAAUCUGAAGAGCUUAAGGAUGGCUAAGAAUGGAUUUAAAGGUUGUAUUCCUUCUUGUUUGGGAAAUAUUAGCUCUCUUUUAAUUUUAGAUUUAUCCAACAAUCAAUUUUCCACAGUAAAACUAGAACAACUAGCAACAAUAAGUUUUCUCAAGCUAUCAAACAACAUUUUGGGUGGGAAAAUACCGACCUCGGUGUUCAAUUCUUCUACCUUAGAAUUUCUCUAUCUAGGUGGUAACAACUUUUGGGGUCAGAUAUUAGAUUUUCCAUUAUAUACGAGGAAAAGCUGGAUUGUAUUGGAUUUGAGUAACAAUCAUUUUUCAGGCAUGCUUCCAAGGUGGUUUUUCAAUACUACAGGCCUUAACAUAGUUGAUUUGUCCAAAAAUCAUUUUAAGGGUUCGAUUCCAAGAGACUUUUGUAAGCUUGACUCGCUUGUAUAUUUGGACUUUUCUGAGAACAACUUGUCUGGAUAUAUACCGUCUUGUUUCAGUCCACCACCUCUAACCCAUCUGCAUCUAUCCAAAAAUAGAUUGAGCGGUCCAUUAACAUAUGGAUUUUAUAACAGCUCUUCUUUGGUUACGAUGGAUCUUCGAGAUAACAGCUUCAUCGGUUCCAUUCCAAAUUGGAUUGGCAAUCUUUCAUCGUUGAGUGUUCUUCUUCUGAGGGCUAAUCACUUUGAUGGUGAGCUCCAUAUUCAGUUAUGCUUGUUAGAACAAUUAAGCAUUUUGGAUGUUUCACAAAACCAGCUCUCUGGUCCACUACCCUCCUGUUUAGGCAAUCUUACUUUCAAGGAAAGUUCCCAGAAAAUGUUUACGGAUUUCUGGGGUCAUUUUCCAUCAUCGUCCGCAUACAAAGCUUAUGUUGAAACCAUGGGUACACCACUGGUGGAUAGUGUGUACAGCUUGGAAAAGGAAUUUUGGCCUAACAUUACAGAAGAAGUGAUAGAAUUUACAACUAAAAAUAUGUAUUAUGGUUACAAGGGGAAAGUUCUCAGCUACAUGUCUGGUAUUGAUCUCUCCAAUAACAACUUCAUAGGAGCAAUCCCACCAGAAUUUGGAAACUUAAGUGAGAUACUAUCAUUAAACUUAUCACACAACAAUCUCACUGGAUCUAUCCCUGCAACAUUCUCAAACCUAAAGCAUAUUGAGAGUUUGGAUCUUUCUUACAAUAAUUUGAAUGGUGCCAUCCCUCCACAACUUACUGAAGUUACCACACUGGAAGUUUUUAGCGUGGCGCACAAUAACUUGUCAGGUAGGACACCCGAGAGAAAAUAUCAGUUUGGGACCUUCGAUGAAAGCUGUUACGAAGAAAAUCCUUUCUUGUGUGGGCCUCCAUUGCAAAACAAUUGUAGUGAAGAAGCAGUGUCGUCCCAGCCAGUGCCUAAUGAUGAACAAGGAGAUGAUGGUUUCAUAGACAUGGAGUUUUUCUACAUCAGUUUCGGUGUAUGUUACACAGUUGUGGUGAUGACGAUUGCAGCAGUUCUCUACAUCAAUCCAUAUUGGCGACGCAGGUGGUUGUACUUCAUUGAAGACUGCAUAGAUACUUGCUACUAUUUUGUGGUGGCUAGUUUUCGCAAGUUCUCCAACUUCAGAAGGUGAAAUUGGGGAGACGGCCCGUUCCUAGUUUGUGAUGAUUGUUUGUCUAGCUAUUGGUAAUUUGUAGUGUACUGUCUCUAAGCUCAGUCUUUCUAUUUUAUUAGUUAUUUGGGCUAAAUAUAUAAGCUGGACUUCUCAUUCAUGAAUCAUUAGGAAGGAAACUGAUUUGGAUCGGUCAUUGACUCGGGUGUGAUUACUCUUUCAACUCUCAAGACUUGUCUGAAAAUAAAUUGCCAAAACCACUACUAAAGUAUAAACAAAAUAUUCUAUGCCUUUGUUUCAAGGGCGACCCCACCUCAGUUAUUCAAUCAAAGCAUUGAAAUCGGAGCAAGAAGAUCCACCUUCUUCAACAUCCUUCCUGGCCGUUUCUUUGCUCUGCUUCUCAUUUCCUCUGCUUCUUCACCCAUCAUAAUUUGAGUGAUUGCCUUCUCUACAGCUUCACUUUUAACAUGAUCUCCAUGCACUCUAAGCCAUUCCUUAACUCCAGUUUUUAAAACAUCAGUCACCAACUUUUCAUUAUAGAAUUGCUCAGCAAAUAUUGGUCUCCUAAGCACAAAAAAAUAAUUGUCCUUCUCAAACAUGCAGCUGUGACUUGAGACAUUCAGAAUUUCAACCUCAUUUUCUAUAAAAUUCAACAAUACUGGAUAUGGUCAUGAUUAUACUGGAUAUGGUCAUGAUUCAAUGGAAUAAUCCCCACUUAUUUUCUUGAGACCUUUUUCCAUUGAAAUCUUGCAAGACUAUGGCAUAAUGAACUCCAUCUAAUGAACAGUAAAUCAAAGAAAUUACCUUCUGAUAGAUCUCCUCUUGCCAAUCAGCGCCUUUUGCAUGUCCAGUCUGUGCUGUAGAAUCUAGGGAUGCUACAAAAAUUUCAAUGCAGACAACAAAAUGUUAGAAUUCAUGUAUUUUUGUGUGUUUUCCAUCUACAAGGGUAUUUCUGUAAUUUUAACACUUGCUGAAAAUUAUGAAAUAUUGCAAGUCUCAGUUUUAUUUUCCAUUUAGUAUUUAAUUAUUCCCAAAGUAUAGCGAGCUUCAUUAGGUUUUUCCUAUUCUAGAUAGGUCUAUUAGUAUUUUCCUAUAUAGGAAUACAAGUCCUUUUUGUAUUAGGAACUUCAUCUAAAUGUUAUGUAAUCAUAUAAAUGCAGAAUCAGAGGGUGAACAGCUGGUGCAAUGCACUGGAGGGUAUGAUGUGGUAACAAAUGCGUGUGUGAUUGCAAUGGUUUCAAUAGCAGUGGCAUUACUAAUGCCACAAGUGGCAGCAGUGGCACAUAAAGCUACCUAAAAGAGUAUUGCUGACUUGAACCAUUAUGAGAGGUGAACAGUUGGUGCACCGCACUGUAGGGCAUCGUGUGGUUACAAAUGCAUGUGUGAUUGCAAUAGUUCCAAUACCAGUGGCAUUUCUAAUGCCAUAAGGGGAAGCAGUGGCACAUAAAGCUACCAAAAAGAGCAUUACCUGGCAUUUGUCUCUGAGAAUUGACAAACAUAGUGGAGGGAAUCCCUUGUCCCAUUGAAUUCCCCACUGAGUUCUGUGAAACACCAGGGAUACUCUGCAUGUUAGGAUUCUGGACAACAGUGUUGGGGAUAGUCUGGGUUACACCAGAGACAGGAGGCAGUGCCGCUUGUAAACCAGCAUAACUUUGAACUCCAUUAGAUGCCAUGCAAUUCUGCAUGUUCUGUGAUACCAACUGCUGACGUGCUUGAGACUGAUCAGUGGACAAUAGGAUAGGGAGAAACAGCCCUUGAUUCUGAACUUCAGGGGACAUACUAUGGGAUGCUGUUCAAGAUAAAAGGCAAAAGGGAAAACCAUGUCACAGAAAAAAAGAAGGCACUGAACAAGGAAGACAAAUGAAACAUCGGCAGUCCACACAUAAAGUUAUGAGCGAAAGAAUUGGGAUGGAUUUGAUUCAAAGCAUAAAAGUGUCCUCUGACAAUUUUCGGGGAUGGGGGAAGAAGAGGCGGCUGAAAACAAAAAUAAUAUGACAAUUUUCAGGGUGGGGGAAAGAAAAGGAGGAGGCAGAAAACAAAAACAAUCUGUAAUAUUCUUGCAUAACAUUCAUCAAUUACUCAACUUUUUGAUUAAAGCAUGCCAUACACAUAGCAAUAUGUUGCAAUAAAAUGCAAAAGAGUUUGAUAACAAUGUGACAAACAAAACAAAAGGUAAGAUGUUUAGAAAUUCAAUGCUCGGCAGCAUUAUUAUAUAUGAAAAAAGGAUCAAAUGCUUUUCUCUCGGAAGAAAGCAAGAAAGUGACGUCUUACCUCCUAAACAGGAAAAUCUUUAAAAUCUACCAUCUCAAUCAUAAAAUAUAAAAUACCAUGCAUCACAGUCCUUGUUGCUUAACAAGUUAAGGAUGGAACACUUCACAUGCAUUAUAGAAUUAGCAUCGUGGAGGUGAUCAUGAGAUUUUUCCAGCAAGGCGAUAUACAUAGCAAUAUGCAGCAAUAAAAUGUAAAAGAGUUUGAUAACAAUGUGAGAAGAAAAACAAAAGGUAAGAUGUUUAGAAAUUCAAUGAUCGGCUGCAUUAUAACCUGCUGGAUCCAUGGGGGCAGUGGGCAUGGUGUUUUGAGACCUGAUCUCCAUUGAAAGCAUCUCCAGAGAUAUUUUACGCAGAUAAUCAUACUGAAAUCAGAUAUUAAUAACAAAACAUUAGAUCUCAGAGCAAUCCAUGUUACAAGAGGAGGAAAAUGGAUAAAUGCUCUAUCAUUUCAUCUUUUGUGAGGAUAUACUUCUGUUUCCUCUCUUUUUAUUUAAUUAUUUAGGUAUUGAUUUGCUAUUUUCUUUUUGCACACUUCCCUUGUACUUGAACUUGUUCACUCUAAAUAAAACACUUGUCAAGAGAAUUAACAAAAAGAUGCGAACUCCCAAUCAGCCUUGCAUACAGAGUGAACGGUGAGGAAGUGUAAGCACACUACACACACAUUUGUACAUGCAUAAAUGCAUGUGUAUAUUCAUGUCAAGAGAAUAUCAUAAUUAUUGAACCUCGCAUUAGGCAAAUACCUGAUUGGUGGCGGUAGUAUAAAUCUUUUCCUCAAAACGUAUGGCCAAUUUCUUGAGUUCUUGUAAUCCCUCCUGACCAGAAACAAAAGAUGCCCCUUUAUUGUCUCCAUUCUGCACAUGCAAAUCAUUACGUUUCAUUUUUAAUGACCAGGCAAGUAUAGAGAAGUUAGCAACAGCGAGCAAAUAAUGAGAUAAGCAAGAGUUGGUCAAGUAUUAUAAGACAUCAAAAUACAUAGACAUCCUUUCCCUGUAUUAUUCCAGAGGUACAGAUUAUAGGAGUUUACUUGGCCACCCUUCUGUCUAAAAUUCUAGCUACGAGCUUCAUUUAUUAGUGACUUAGUUGCAAAGCAGGGGAGUCUGUGAAAACAUUACAAUAGCAUUUACUCUGAGUAACUUCUAUGCAUGUGCUGUAAUUGACAAAGAAAAGAAGAGAAAUCCUUUCAAUAUAUGAAAAUGCAACGAGUUAACCUUAUCUCACACUGCAAUAUAUACUCUACAGUAUUCAAUGACCAAUGCAAGUGCCAGCAGAAGCUGUCUAUAUGAUUUUGGAUGUAGAGAGGUCAACAAAACAUUCAACUUUAUGCUGAGAAUCUAGGAAACCAUGCACCAUUGUGGCUAAUUGAUUUUUGUCUACUGCUUUUCAACUUUAAGAUCACUAUCAUUUCAACCCUGUAGAAGUUAAAACAAAUAGAAGGCCCAAAUCCAACACCAUUCAUUUAAGUUCAGUUGCAACUCGAGUUUUAAAUUGAAACACGUAUGCUCAUAGCAAUAGAUUAACCUUGAAAUUAAAAGCAGAACAAGCUUCAUGCAGCCAUCCAAGAGGUCAUCAUCAAAAGAAGAGAUUACACAAGAAAUUCCAACAAAAAUUACUUCCCAGCACUUUAUGUUCCCUCAAGUUUGCUUCUCGUGAGAAACACAUGAAAAGAUGAAACAAACAAAAACAAAAAAAAGAGGUGUGUGAUACUUGAUGUUGCCUCAUGGCAAUCCUGCUGAUUUUAAUUAACCCUUUGUCGUUCUCCUUUUCUUUCAUAUAAAUAAAAAAUUUACUAUUUUGCAGCACUUGCACAUACAUUUUGUCGACUAUUCUUUUCCGUGAGUCAGGCCGCAAUUGAAUUCUCCAAUCACCCGUGUCCAUGACAGGUUCUCCGCCUGGGACAGUGGGCCAACCAAAAAGAAAAAAAAAAUCAUAUUGCAUGUUAGAAUAGACCCUAAAAAGAAAGUCAGGAACGGCAAGAAGAGCAAAAGCACAUCAAGAACAUGAAAAAUGGAAUAUCAGUUGAUUCAGACUUGAAUAGAUUUAAAAAGAACUUCCGUCUAAUAUCAUGUACUUUAUUAAAGAAUUCAGCCAAAUAUGGAUGCAUAACAAAUAUACACAACCAUUCAGGUCAAGGUGCUAGGAUCCUGGGUAUUCGGCCAUUCAAAGCAAAGAAUCUUCAUGGUGCUUCUAAACCAAAGAAGCAUUCCCAUCUAAGCAAAUACUUACUGUCAAACCCCACUCCACUUUCCCUCCUGUUCUUGUUAUUUAUGCAUAUAUUUACUUCUCUGAAAGAAUAAAUAUUGUAGGGAGCAAAUAGUGUAAAUAGAAAGAGGAAAAUACCACAUCCCCAAAAGAAUAAAGAAAUAAGAAGAAGGCAAAACAAAGUCAUAAAACGAGGCCUUUCAAUCCCCAAUGAAUAUCAGCAGACUAAAUACCACAGCACAAAUAGAAGAUGAAGAGGCCAGAAACACUAAUCCAUCCCGAAGAGAUUGUCUAGGAUGUUUUAGUCUAGGAAAAAGACAAAGAAAAAAACGAGCAUUAACAAUGAAUAUUUCAUGUUAUCAUCAACUCUAAAGAGCAGACUGAUAAGAAUCAACUUAACAAAUUUACAGGCACAUCUUUCUUUGAACAGACAACACAAUAACCCUGACCAUACUAAAUGCUCCACCCACAGUAGAAUCGGCUGAUUGCGCCUUUCUUCGAGUUGCGUUCACGAGCAGCGAUUUCAUCGGGUCCGAUUAUAUAUCUUUUUUAAUUUACUUAUUAAAAUUGAAUUUUUCUCUCUGGAUAGUAAUUUCAAUUAAAUAAAUGGAAACGCAGACGUAAAUCUUUUUUUUUUUAAAAAAAAAAAACAUAAUAGAAAAUGAAGCACCUGGUGGAGAUUUGAAGCCUUAUUGGUUGAGGGGGCGGCGGUUUCCUAGAGCGGAGGAGGGAAAGAGAGCUCAGGUGGAAAGAGGUGAAGAAUGUCGGACCAAAGUGAACAGAGCUUGACAGAUGACUCUUUUUUUUUAAUAUGAAUAUUCUAGUUAACUUAGUAUACCUCUAAUAAAAUUCACAAUCAUAUAAAUAUUUAUAUAAAUAUCUAAAAAAAUUUAAUACUCAAAUUAGUGAUAUGCAGGUAGCAAUAUUUUAUUCUUUCCAGAUUUGCUAACAAACUAAAAGAAAUGUAUUCACUGUGCUGCUUUACUGUUCAUAACUAACAAACUAAAACUAAAAUUAUUAAGGCGGGGUGCUAUGCGCGCGAGGAGAUGUCAGCCGACGGGAAAUCACCUGCAUCGGCUGGGAUGGCUUCAUUGAAGCUGUCCUCUUGGUCUGUGGCGGGCCUACUCAUUAAUGAAAAAAUUAUUCUAACAGAGACAUUGUUUUUGUUUUUGUAAAAUCUUUUCUAUUAUAUUUUUUUUAAUCCAAAUUUUUAUAGAAAACAUCAUAUAAAUUCUGGUGUGAUAUUUAUUCUUGGUUGUGCUGAUAAUAAAUUGUUUUAAAACUACAGAAUUAAUCAUUAUCUCAAUUUAAUUUUUAUUUUGAUUAUUGAUUUAUGUGCAUGUUUUAUAUUAGGUGGAAACUUGAUCAUUGUAGUAAAAAGGAACAAUAAUUUUAUGAAUUAUUCAAAACAAUUUAUUUGUUCUAUGCAUAUGUAUGAUGAUCUGGUUAUACAUGAAAUAGAUAAUUUGUCAAGAACAAAUUGAUUAUAUGUUGACAUAGAUUAAAAAAAAGUUUAAUUUUAACAGGAAAAGUAAAGUGUAUAUAUCUUUUGUUAUCUAUGUACUUAUAUAUUGCCUUGAUUCUAUGGGGAAAUAAAUUUUAUGUUGCAUGGUAUUUUCCUUUGUUGUUGCGUUGAUAGAAAAAAACAAAGAAAACAGAAGAUGGGAAAAAAAGUUGCAUAUCUGGAUAAUAAUUAUCGGUGAAAUAAUAUAUGUAAAGUGAAAUUCUAUUUAAUUGGAAUUAUUUUGUUUAUGUUGCAUAUAUAGCUAUAUAUGAUUAAAGAGUGAUUAACAACUAAUACUCCUAGCAUUGAUGAUGCAUUAUUACCAAGAAAAAAAAAAUUUAGUGUAGGAUUCAUCAAAGGCAUUCUAUUUUUCACUUGGAUUGGUAAAAGACUAAAAGACUCAAAUAUAGUUAUUACUUAAGAUGUGGUUGUAGACUUACCAAACCACAUUAGAAAAUGAGUUUGCAAUCUUUAAUUAUGUUAUAUAUGUUUAGAGUGUUUAUUUUCAUUAUUUUGAUAUAAUUACCAUGUCAGAAUUACCUAUAAAAAGAGACAAUUCUGACAUGGUUUUGACAAUAAAAAAAACUUCUAAUCUUUUUAAAACUCUUCUCUUUAUAUCUUUUUAAUUAAAAUUCUUAUAAAGAGUAACAUAAAAAUUUUAGUUCACCAUUUAUUCUUGGUUGUGCUAUAAAAAAUCAGAGAUUGAGUAAGCUUGAAAAAUAAUAUUACAAUUAUAUUGCUAGCACUAAAGAGCAUGUAAUAAAUUGUUUUAUGAUAAUUUAUAGUCAAUAUUUUAAUUUGUGGCUAUCCGUACAAAAUAUUUUAAAAUGACUAAAAUAAUUAAUAGUUUAUUAGUUUGGAUGUUUUUAGUAAUGUUGAAAUUAUAGAGAAGUGAUCAUUAAGUUGAUUUUUUUAUAUGCGUAGAAAUCAGGUCAUUAUAAAUUUAAUAAACUAUUUAAAGUGUUCCAAUGAAAAGAAAAUGGUGUUGUGAAUUUGAGUCUGCAUUUUUCUCUUUCUUUUUGGUUUUUUUUGUUCGUCCCUUCCUCAAAAUUUAGGGUAUUAAAUUUCUUUGUUUCUUCGGAAGAUGCCUUACUCUUUGUUGAUCGUCUUUCUGUUUUUAGUUGCAUUGUUAGGCUAUAUGUGUGUUUAUUGAGGCUUUGGCUGCCUUUUUUGCUACAGUUAUGAGGUUUCUUGGAGUGUUUUAGUUAACUUCAGCCCUCUAUUAUCCAUUCUUUAUAGAGGUGGUGUUGUCUUUGUUUCGCACAAGGCGGCAUGUGUCUUGAAAGGAAGUUUACUUGGUUUUCUUUACAUGUGUUUCUUGCAUGCUACUUGUUUGGCAAAAGUCUCCUGAGAGAUCGACCUUUUUUCUUUGUUUUGGUUAGGCUGGGUGCUUGAUUUGUGUUAGGCUGUUAAAGUUUUUUCCCUUUCUUUAUAAGAAAAAAAUAUUUCUUUUGUGCUUGGGAACACACCUUUGUAGCUUUAGAGAUGAUAGAAAGCUUUGCUUUUAAAGGCAACAUUGUUCUUUAUGGUUUUUUCAACAUGGGUUUCCUUAACAAAAAUUAAGUUUUGCAUGUUUAUUUAUGUUGCUCAUCCACAUGUAUUGCAACAGGUCUUUCUAGAGGUAACUUGGGUGAGGAAAAAACUUUGUGCCACGAAAAUAAGAGGCUGGAGUUUUAUUUUGCUUUAGAUUCUUCCCUUAAUUCCAACCUUGGUUUGUUUUCAAUUCUUUGGUCUUUCUUUUCAUUAGUCUAUGAUUUUUGUUGGCUUCUUGCUUUGUGUAAGGUUGUACGAGGAUUUUCCUUUUUUAAAAAAAAAUCAUCUUGUGUUUGGGAACACAGCUUUGUACCUUUGGAGAUGAUAGAAAGCUUUGAUUUUGAAGACAACACUUUUUCUUUAAGUUUUUUGGACUUGGGUUUCCCUGAAAAAUGUCUUCUUUUUGCUUGUUUGUUUGUUUUGGUCAUACAUAUAUGUUACAGCAGGUCUUGUUUGUGGCUUGCACAUUGGUUGCUUAUGUUUAUUGAUGAUAGCUUUUAUUGUCUUUUUUCUUUUCAUUUGUAAUUCACAACAAUAGAGUGGGUUUGAUUAUCUUGGUUUGGAAUUGACAUGAAAAAAAGAGAGAAACUUACAUUCUCUACUUUAGAUGGCUUGAGCAUUGUUCGCUAGAAUAAUAGAAUGGGUUUAAUUAUCUUGGUCUGAAAUUGGCAGGAAAAAAAGAAAAGGAACUUGCAUUGUUUGCUUUAGAUGGCUUGAUUAUUGUUCGCUAGAACAACAGAUUGGGUCUGAUUAUCUUGGUCUGGAAUUGGCAGGAGAAAAAAACAGAAACUUGCAUUGUCUGCUUUAGAUGGCUUGAACAUUGCUUGCUAGAUGUUCAUUAAUUUCUCUUUUUGCAAUGAACUCUUGCAUAGUUGACAGAUCAUGCUACAUUAUUCACGCUAUUAUUGUUCUUUAUUGAACUACCAAGAUUAUUGGUUGGAUAAUAGCCACUGUGAUUAGAGAAACUGAAAUAAUUUAUAGUCUGCAAGUCUAUAUAUUCAUUACGGCAGUCAUGUUUUUAUCCAAACAUUGCCAAGAGUCAAGACCAAAGUUAAUCAAUAACAAAAAGAUGGAAAAAAACCCCGAAGAUAAAAGUGACAAAAUUCAUAAAACUCAAACGCCAAUAAUAUAAUUAAUGUCAAAUGAUAAGAUUACAAAAAUCAAUUAAAGAAAAAAAUAAAUCAACCUAUGUUAACUUAACUUAUCCACGACCUGAGAUAUGAAGUAGAAAUAAUCAUACAAAAAAAAAAAACCAGAACAAAUAACAAAGUUUAAAGCCUCAAGGUUGAUGAUAAAAAAAAAAUUUAAUUUUAAAAAAGAACUUAAAAAAAAAUACCAAACUUAAAACGAGUUGAUAUUCAAAAUUGGUAUGGUGAGUUAUGAGACCAGGAUUAGUGUAUUCAUACAGUUUUGACCUGUCUUUUUUUAUUGUUUUUUUUGUUUAUUUUUUUAUUCAAUGUUGGAUAUGACUUUUUUGUUAUUUUUUAUCGAAGCAUAUGGUUGUUUCAUAAAAAAAAAAAAAAACUAUAGGAAACAUAGUUGUUAAAACACAACGAAGCACAUGACCUAUGUCAUGAUAUCAAAUAUCUUAAUCUUAGUUAUCUAUUUAUCAAAUAUUGAUCUAGUUACUAAAUACAUGUAUAGGCAUUUUGAUUUGUGAUUGAAAAAAAAAACUUAUAUUAAAAAGCACAUUAUAAGAGUCUGCUUAUUUUUUUUACUUAAAAAAAUAAUCACCCUGCUGCAAACCGCCAAUAUGAAACUAGUUACUUAUAAUAUAAAAUAUGUGGGGUGAACAUUGUGUAGCCACUCACUUCACCACCUCCUGUUUUAUAGUGGACACAAUGGUCACUGGUUUUUUAUUAGGUUUUGCUAUAAAUUUAAAGGGAAAAUAUGUAAGGUGAACAAUAUACAACCAUAUUGUUCAUCCCCUCAUGUUUGAUGUGCUAAGGAUAUAAAACCAAGUAAUUGUUUCUUCCUUUAGACUAAGAGUCAAUGCGUAGCAGAAUGAGCCUUCCUUCUCUCAUUCUGAUCAAUCAUCUUAGAGAGCCUAUGUUCUUGCCUUGAUCAAGAAUCCUAUCUUAGUUAUUCAACACGUAUAAAGAAAUUUUCCAAAAUCAUUUCUUGACAUACACAUCUUAGUUAUUCAACAGGUUUAGUGGGUUAAUCCAGUUGAAUUAUUUUUAUUUUUUAAUUAAUUUCUUAUUAUUAUUCAAUAUUAGAUUGAUUAAGAAUUAGAUUUCAUAAUUUUUUUAAUUUGCUUUCUAUCAAGAUUCUCCUAAUAUAUUGUUAUAUCUCAAGUUAAAAUUAUGGGGCAAUUGGAGUUUAGAAAGGCCUUACAAGACUGCUAGUGACAUUUUCAUAAUUUUGUUUUGAAAGGUUAUUUUUUGUGUUUUUUUUAGAUUUUUUUCUUCAAUUUAACCAUUCAAUAAUAGGUUUAUUAAGAAUUGAGAUUUAGAAUUUGUUUUGAUUUGCUUUAUUUUGAGUUAUUAUGGUCUCAUAACCUAGAUUAUGGAUUUAGAACGUUAACUUGAGUUGAUCCGGGUCGAUCCAAUAAGUUGUCAUCUCAGUAUUGUUUUUGAAAAUAUGUCAUUUUAAAAUUUUUUUAGUCAAACUCUAUUCUUACUAGUUGUUGUCUUUGGACCCAUAAGUCGAUCGGGUCAUAUCGGUUCAACUCUCACUUUUUUACUUGUGUUUGAAAUUUAAAUUGCAUAAUUUCAAGUUAGUUUAUAUUUAAAUUUGAAUUGAACUUAUGUUUAUUGAGUUUAAUCUUGAAUAUAUAUAUAUAUAUAUAUAUAUAUAUAUAUAUAUAUAGUAUAAUCUUGAAAUAGCACGCUGAAAUGCUCUGAAACCAAAAUAUACAGUUUGAAUUAAAAAAUAAAACACUAUCCGGAACGAGAUUGAUAACCUGACGUGAUAUGUUUAAAAUGAGCAUCAUCGAAUCAUCUAGAGCAACCGUGUACAUAACAAGGGCGUCCCCUUCUCCGUCCAGAGAUUAGGCACUGAAUCUUUCGUUACAGUUAGAGUAGGCGAAGCUUGUCAAUCUUACAAAGGUGGUAGAAUUUGAGGAUUUUUAUUGUUCUGUCUCAUUUUUUGAAUGAAACUGUACUAUCUUACAUAAAAUUUAAAACAACGCUGAGAAUUCUCUGUUAUUAUUACUUGCUUAAAUGGAAGGAGUAUGGAGAUUUGAAAUUACAAUGAUUGUUACAAACCAAACUUUUAAAACCGACAAUUGUUCGUUCCUUCCAUUAAGCCCACGUGAUUCAGAUGGGAUGCAAUCAAUCCAGUUUACACCCAAAGGUGGAGCCUUUCUCUUUCAAUGGUAUAAGUCUUCAGCGGGUGGAGGAUGAACGUGAGGUGGAAUCACCAGGUUCACUGGAUUCAGAAAAGGGAAUCUUCGUUAUAUCAUAACUUACAGUUCUGCUGCAACUGCAGAAUGUAUUGUUGAAGAUGAGGUGCAGAGGAUGUUGUUUGCUGGGCAGGCUUUGGGAAUGCUGAGGACUAGACAGUUUUGACAGCAGACAUUAGAAGCCAGGUGGAUAUAUAAGAAGAUUGCAGAUCGGAAUGCAGCCCAAUAAUUCCAUUUUGCAGUAUAACUUGGUAAGGUUUAAAAUCAUUUAUCAAUGAAGAUUUUAUUCUGGAAUAGUUGUGGGUUGGGUAUGUCUGCUAAGAGGGCCUCUGUUAGGAAUACAAUAACGCAUAGUGAUAUUGAAGUGUGUUUUUUGGAUAAAAUAUUACGUGUUGAAUGUCACGUAUAAUGGGGCAAGGAAUUAUGAACCUGGAGAGGAAAAACAUCUUGAAAUUCUUUCAAAACCACACUUAUUUCUUCAAGUGCUUUCUCUGAAACUUUCUUAGCCACUAAAGCAAAUGAAACAAACUGUUCAUGAACCUGAUUCUCAAAAUCAUUUGGGCUUAUAAGAUUAAGUCCUUUUCCUUUCAUUUAUUGGAGUUACAUCACACUCUCAUCAUGGUAAAUUGAGAAAUUAAUAGGAAAAAUAUAUAUCUUUUUUUGACCCAUGAUUUUUAUCAAUAAUGUAGUCUAUACCCAGCACUUUCUGUUUUUUUUUGGAGGAACCACCGAUGACCAAGCGGUUACAAGUUUAAAUUUCACCAUCCUUAUUUAUUAGCUCUUUGAGAAUUUUAGAGUUAUCCAACAAUCAAUUGUCCACAAUAAAACUAGAACAACUAAAAACAAUAUGGUUUCUCAAGCUGUCAAACAACAAUUUGGAUGGGCAUUUACCGACCUCGGUGUUCAAUUCUUCUAUCUUAGAAUAUCUCUACCUAGGUGGUAACAAUCUUUGGGGUCAGAUAUCAUAUUUUCCAUUAAAUGAGUGGAAAGUGUGUACUGUAUUGGAUUUGAGCAACAAUCAAUUUUCAGGCAUGCUUCCAAGGUGGUUUGUCAAUUCUACAAGCCUUGGCGCAAUUGAUUUGUCCAAAAACUAUUUUAAGGGUAUGAUCCCAAGAGACUUUUAUAAGCUUGACCAACUUUUAUAUUUCAACCUUUCUGAGAACAACUUGUUUGGAUAUAUAUCAUCUUGUUUCAGUUCACCAUCUCUAAUCCAUGUGCAUCUAUCCAAAAAUAGAUUGAGCGGUCCAUUAACAUAUGGAUUUUAUAACAACUCUUUCCUAGUUAUGAUGGAUCUUCAAAAUAAUAGCUUCAUUGACUCCAUUCCAAAUUGGUUUGGCAAUCUUUGAUGGUGAGCUACUUGUUCAGUUAUGCGUGUUAGAAGAAUUAAGCAUUUUGGAUGUUUCACAAAACCAGCUCUCUAGCCUACCACCCUCUUGUUUGGGCAAUCUUACUUUUAAGGAAAGUUUCUGGAAAACGUUCACGCUUCUCGGAGUUCUUUCUCUAUCAAGGUCCAUAGAAAAAGCUUAUUAUGAAACAAUGGAUCCACCACUAGUGGAUAGUAUUUACAGCUUGGAAGAGGGUUUUCUGCUUGACUUCACAAAAAAGUGAUAGAAUUUACAACUAAAAAUAUGUAUUAUGGUUACAAGAGGAAAACUCUCAGCUACAUGUCUAGUAUUGAUCUCUCCAUUAACAACUUUGUAGGAGCAAUCCCACCAGAAUUUGAAAACUUAAGUGAGAUAGUAUCAUUAAACUUAUCACACAAUAAUUUCACUAGAUCUAUCCCUGCAACAUUCUCAAACGUAAAGCAGAUUGAGAGUUUGGAUCUUUCGUAUAACAACUUGAAUGGUAUCAUCCCUCCACAACUUACUGAAAUUACCACACUUGAAGUUUUUAGUGUGGCGUACAAUAACUUGUCAAGUAAGCACCUAAGAGAAAAAAUCAGUUUGGGACCUUCGAUGAUGAAAAUUGUUACGAAGGAAAUCCUUUCUUGUAUGGACCUCCAUUGCGAAACAACUGUAGUGAGGAAGCAGUGCCGUCACAACUAGUGCCUAAUGAUGAACAAGGAGAUGAUGGUUUCAUAGACAUGGACUUUUUCUACAUCAGUUUCGGUGUAUGUUACACAAUUAUGGUGAUGACAAUUGCAACACUUCUUUACAUCAAUCCAUAUUGGCGAUGUAGAUGGUUGUACUUCAUCGAUACUUCCUACUAUUUUGUGGUGGCUAGUUUUCGCAAAUUCUCCAACUUCAGAAGGUGAAUUUGUUACUGGGGAGAUGGUCGUUCCUACUUGCUAUUGGGUGCUUAAUUUGUACUGUACUGUCUCUAAGCUCAGCCUUUCUAUUUGAUUAGUUACUUGGGUUAAAUAUAUAAAGCUUGACUUCUCAUUCCUGAACCAUUAGGAAGGGAACUGAUUUCCUCUGCUUCUUCACCCAUCUCAUUCUAUUUGAUUAGUUACUUGGGUUAAAUAUAUAAAGCUUGACCUCAGCCUUCCUGGCCGUUUCUUUGCUCUGCUACUCAUUUCCUCUGCUUCUUCACCCAUCAUAAUUUUAACAUGAUCUCAAUGCACUCUAAGCCAUUCCUUUAACUCCAGUUUCCUUUUCACCAACUUUUUAAAACAAUCUUCCUCGUCUUCUUGACUCUUUUUGUUUCUUCUAACUACCUGCUGCAAUCUCCUUAAGCUGAGAGGCAGUGAGGUUUGCCAUGCUUCCAAAGCAAAUAUAAACAACUGAAUUUUGGUUUCUUUGAGUCGAGCCACUUCAAACACUCAUGUUGAGCGAUUGAGGCUUCUUUUCUCUUCGUACUUUAUCUUCAAUGUCUCUACUGCAUAGUGAAACCGGGCCUACGUUAAUUCACACCCUCUUUAAUUGACCCAACAAGACUAUAUCCUAACCAUACAGCUUCUUCUUCUACAGAUUCAUGGAUCACUUUAUGCAAAGCAGAGGAAUGAUUUUCUGGAAAAAGAGUGUCUUGGGAACUUACAGUAGAGUUUAUUCGAACUCUUGUCUCAGGACAGUAGCAUAGCUUCUUGAAUCUCUGUUUCUAAUCGAACAGGGGAGCCACGAGAAGCUUGGAGUGUAUAUAUCUUCUGUUAAAUUCCAUGACUAUGUUAAAUUCCUUAUCGUUUGUUAUUUGUGUACUUGUUGCAUUGAUUGUACAGGGAAAUAAAUUUUACGUUGCAUGGUAUUUUCCUUUGUUGUUGUGUUGAUAUGAAAAAAAAUAGAAGAUUGGGAAAAAAAGAAGUUGCAUUAAUAUAAAUAUAAUCCCAAGGAUACAGUUAAAUUUUUAAAGACGCAGCGUGAAUACUAAAACAUAAGAGAGAAGAUGGGGAGGGAAAAAAUACUUUGUCGCCACUGAACCAACGCGAAUAUGGCAACACACGCCAUACCAUCAACUACACCUUCACAUUACACGUUGAACUAUCACACGUCUCCUUGAUAACGUGGUGGCCUAUCAUGCACUGACAUGUGCUAUGCACAUGUCAAUCUUUUUUAUUGAUUUAUUAAUAUUUUAAUACUUUAAAUUACUAAAUCGCUUUUAAAAGCGUAUAAAUAUUACAAAAAAAAGCCAUAUUGCAAGGAUGAAAAUGUUAUCCCAAGCCAACUUUAGAUUUUUUUUAUUCCAAGGUUAACAUGAAAACAUGAAAAAGACUAAAAAAAUACCUCUUGUCAAGGUCAAUAUUUUUGAACUCUCAAUGGUAUUGACGUCAUUUUUCUAUCUAAAUAAAAUAAAAUAGACAAAAAUAAACCCUAACCAAAAGGUCAAAUGUUUUUUUGAUUGCAAGGGCAAUGAUGUAGUUUUAGUGUGCGAAAAAGGAGUAAACCUAUUAAAUUAUCCCCAAUCAAUUUACAAAUAACCUUUAGAUCACUUGAAAAAGAUAAUUUUACCUCGUUAGCAAGUCAAUUGUUUUGUGUAGAGAAGGGCAAAAGAUAAAUAUAUUGUACUAAUCCACGAUAUUUUACCUCACAGUCUAUAAUGAAUCACUUGAAUCAUUGAUCUCUUUUAAGGGGUUUUUUUUUGUAUAUAAUUCUACUUUUUUUUAGUUUAUGUUUAGAUCUUUAGCAUGCAUUUUCAAAUCAAAUCUCUAUUCUCUUGCACAUGUAUAAUUGUUUUUAAAAUAUAUUUUUUUCACAUUUGACAAUGCUUUUGCACUAAAAAAUUUAGGAUUGCCGGUAAUGUGAGCCACUUAUCUAGUUAGGUACUAUAAUAGUGUUUCAUUUUUAUAUGAAUAGUGAAACACUUUAUUUUAAAAAAAAUUCUUUCUUUUUUAUUUGGUUUUGUUUUGUUUUCUUUUUUACAAAUUAGUCCUUAUUUUUUAUUUAAUUCUUUUUUUGGCCUCAUUAUAUAUGAUAAAGCUUUCAAUUUAAUUAGAAAUAAACUACUAUACUAAAAAAUUAUGCUUCUCUUUAUAUAUAUUUUUUGUUUUUUUAAGUAGUCCUUAUAUUUUUUUUGCUUCUUGAUUUAGUGUUUUUUUCAUUUUAUUUCCUUUCUUAUUUUUACAAAUCGGUCUUUAGACAUUUUCUUCCCUUUUUUAUUUAACUUUUUUUGGGUCUAAUUGUAUAUGAGAUAAAGAUUUUAAUUUAAUUAAAAAAUUAUUUAUUAUACUAAAAAAGUUAGGGUUUUCCCUCCUACUUCACUAUUCAUAUCCUCUUUUUUUUUUAAAAAAAUAAUAAUCUAUCUUCUAAUUUUUUUCUUCUUUUGAUUGAAUGAUUUUUGUUGUUUUUUCUUUCAAUUUCACUUUAAUAUUUUGUUGAUUUUGAAUUGCUCAUCUUAAUUUUUUUUUGUUUCCUUUAUAUGUAAUUAUCGCGGUCUCAAAUAGACAUCUUUAAAUUUGUUUAGUGCUUAAUUUUGUAAGUGUCUAUUUUAAUUCUCACAUCAUUAUAUUAAAAAUAGUUUUUAAAUCCAAUAGAGUUCAUGAUCUACGUUGUGCAUUUGACGAGUUAAACUGCGAAGCUCGAGUUGAUCUAGUAUAUCAUCAUAUCAAUAUUAAAAAAAAAAAAGAUAUCAUCUUGAUUUUCUUUCUUAAAAUUCAAACCAUGUUUGUAUUGAUCAUUUGAGUUGCCUUAAUUUGCACAUGUCAAGCCAACUAGGUCAUGUACAGACAACUCCCUUGCGAAUUAAUUUUAAACCUAUGUUAGAUAAGAAGUCAAGUCGAGAGGUUUCAAGGUUGUCAAUGAGAUCACGUUUAAUAACAAUGUCAUAUUGUUCCUUUGUUUUUAAACUCUACCUUCCAUUUUUUUUAUUUCUUUCAAUUGAAUCCUUUUUGACUUUUUUUUAUUCCAUCCUUUAAUAUUUUUUUGAUUUUGAAUUAGUCUUGUUUCGGUUUGCUUUCUAUGAUAUUAUUGCAGCCUCAAACAAAUGUCAUAACAUUUGGUUGGUAUUUAAUUUUAUGAGCAUCUAUUUUUGUUAUCAUAUCAUUAAGCAAAAAAUAAUUAAAAAAAUUAAAGUUGUUAAACUAGGUGGAGUCCAUUAUUUAGGCCGUGGGUUUGGAGAGUUAAGUCACGAAACUAGAAUCAAUUUAGUGGGUUUGGAGAGUUAAGUCACGAAACUAGAAUCAAUUUAAUAUGUCAUCAUAUCAAUGUUAAAAAAAGAUGUCAUUUUAAAAUUUUAGUUUGGACCUACCAUGUUGACUUGAUCGUAUUAAAAUAACUUUCACAUUAGUUAAUUUUAAACUUGAUAUAGAUAAAGAAUUAAAUCAGAAGAAUUUAAAAUUAAUCCACUAGAUCCAGUUAGUUUCUUAAGCCUAGAUGAUUUUUUCAUGUUGGGCAAAACAUAAACUAGUUCCUUCCAAAAUAAACACUCACGCAUAUGAUUAUAAAAAUUUGAGUAAAAUUUUAUAUAACCAAUGUCUGUUUUUCGUGAAACAAACAAGUUAAUCCUUCAAGUUUUUUAAAUAAUUAAUUGAUUCUUUAAUCACAUUUUACCGUCAAGUUAAUUAGUGGAACAAGCUAUGGGUGUUGUAUAUCACUACUAAUUUUCUUUCCCUUAAUUUUCUCUUUUCCUUAAUGGGUGUUGCAGGCUUCUUUCUCUGAAUGUUAAAUGCUUUCUCUAAUCAUCUAUAUUCUACAGCCCAGCAUUUUGUUAUAGUUGUUGUUGCUGUGGAUAAAAGUGCAUUUAUUUUCUUUUAACUUUUUAAACAAUUCAGUUAGUUUUUUGUUAUAGUUGUUGUUGCUGUGUAGUUUCAUGAAUUUUUGUCGUUUGGUAUCAUCUUUCUAAUUUUACUAUUAGUUAAUGGAUAUUAAUUCGACCUCUUGUUCGUUUUUAAUAUUGUUGUUUGGCUCACUUGUAUAUUCUUUUUAUAGAUUUUUUGCUUGACUUAAUAUUAAUUAAGUAUGCAUCCAAUUUGCAAAAAUAGAUACAUACACCACUUUUAUUAAUUAAUAAGACUGAUUACAUUAAUUCUUGAACUUGUUUUAUUUAAAUAAAUAAAUAGAAUUAUGAUAGUUCAUAAUUUGAUGAUUAGAUAAUAUUCAUAUAUUCAGAAUACACGACGCAUGUAUUGAGUUUAAUGUUUUUGAAAAAGAAAUUUUUUAAUUGAUUAAUGUAUAAGUAUAUAAAUUUAUUUACUAAAUAAUAUUUUGAUUAAUUAAUAAAUUUCAUGGUCUAAAUGAUAUUAAUUAAAAAAAAAAAACUAAGAGCGCUCAUUAAAACACGGUGCUCUGUAUGUGAAUCCUAUGGAUUCACAGUGGCCCCUCUUCUGUUUUUCGCGUUUCUUCUGCCAGUGGAUGUUCCCUUGCGCGCUUUCUUCCUCCAUUUUUCUAGAAGCACUUUAUUUUUUAAAAAUUAAAUUGUUUUUCUUUUUAAUUUGUUCCUGUUCUUUAUUUUAUUUUCUCUUACAAAUAAGUCCUUAUUUUUUCAUUUAAUUCUUUUUUGGCCUAAUUAUAUGGGAUAAAGUUUUCAAUUUAAAUAGAAAUAAACUACUAUUUAAAAAAAAGUUAUGCUUCCCAACCUCCUCCACUCUCUCUUUUUUCACCAUCCAUAUCCUCUCUUUUUUAAAAAAUAAAUAAAUUAUAUCUUCUAAUAUUUUCUUCUUUUAAUCUAAUUUCUCUCAUUGGAUAAGAAUUUCAGUUAAAUAAAUGAAAGCGCAGACGUAAAUUUUAAAAUAAAAACACGAUAGAAAGGAAGCACCUGUGGAGAUUUGAAGCCUUAUUGGUUGAGGUGGCGGCGGAGGCGGGCGGUUUCGAGAGCGGAGGAAGGAAAGAGAAAGAUCUCAGGUGGGGAGAGGUAAGGAAUGUCGGACCAAAGUGAACAGUGCUUGACAGAUGACUUUAUUCUUUUCCAGAUUCGGUAACAAACUAAAAGAAGUGUUUUAUAGUGCUGCUUCACUGUUCAUAACUGACAAACUAAAACUGAAAGAAAUAUAUAUAUAUAUAUAUAUAAAACUAAGAGUGCUCAUUAAAACACGGUGCACUGUGUGUGAGUCCUGUGGCUUCACCGUCUUUACAGCGCUCCCUCUCUGUUUUUCGCGUUUCUUUUCGCGCGGUGGGUGUUCCCGCGCUUUCUUUUAGUUAGGUGAAUUCAUAACUAAAACGUUUAUUAAAAUCACUAAAAUAACUAAUAGUUUAUUAGUUUGGAUGUUUUUAGUAAUGCUGAAAUUAUAGAGAAUUGAUCAUUAAGUUGAUUUUUUAAUAUGCGUAGAAAUCAAAUCAUUAUAAAUUUAAUAAAUUAUUUAAAGUGUUCCAAUGGAAAGAAAAUGGGUGUUGUGAAUUUGAGUCUGCAUUUUUCUCUACUUUUUUUUGGUUUUUUUCGUUUGUCCCUUCCUGAAAAUUUACGCUCAGUUUUUGCCUUCUACCUGCUGCUUAGUUUAGGGUAUAAAAUUUCCUUGUCUCUUCGGAAGAUGCCUUACUCUUUGUUGACUGUCUUUCUGUUUUUAGUUGCAUCGUUAGGCUAUGUGUGUGUUUAUUGAGGCUUUGGCUGCCUUUUUUGCUAUAGUUAUGAGGUUUCUUGGGCAUAGUCUUUUGGUUAGCUUCAGCCCUCUAUUAUCCAUUCUUUAUAGAGGUGGUGUUGUCUUUGUUUCGCACAGGGUGGCAUGUGUCUUGCAAGGAAGUUUACUUGGUUUUCUUUACAUGUGUUUCUUGCAUGCUACGUGUUGGCAGAAGUCUUCUGAGAGAUCGACCUUUUUUCUUCAAUUGUUUUGGUUAGGCUGGGUGCUUGAUUUGUGUUAGGGUGUUAAAGUAUUUUCCCUUUCUUUAUAAGAAAAAUAUAUUUCUUUUGUGCUUGGGAACACAUCUUUGUAGCUGUAGAGAUGAUAGGAAAGCUUUGCUUUUAAAGGCAACAUUGUCUUUAUGGUUUUUUCGACAUGGGUUUCCUUAAAAAAGUUUUAGUUUUUGCAUGUUUAUUUAUGUUGCUUAUCCAUAUAUAUAUAUAUACUACAACAAGUUUUUAUGGAGGUAACUUGGGGGAAGAAAAUACUUUGUGCCACGAAAAUAAGAGGUUGGAGUUUUAUUUUGCUUUAGAUUCUUCCCUUAAUUCCAGCCUUUGGGCCUGAAUCUUCAUGGUGCUUCUAAAACCAAGGAAGCAAAAAACUAGCCAGCUAGUUCACAACUUGCACUACUAAAAACAGGGGUCAUUUGCAUCAGAAUUUAGCAACGGAUAAUUCCGUUGCUAAAUUCAGUAACGGAUUUGCAACGGAUUACACAUGUAUUAUUUUUUUAAUAUUAGCAACGGACUUUAGCAACGGAUAAUCCGUUGCAAAAUUUACGUUGAAUUUAGCAACGGAUUUUCCGUUGCUAAUUGAAAAAAAAAAGUUAAUAUAAAAUUAAAAUUAUAUAGACCGUUGAUUACAUUAAAUCCGGACCGUUUAUUUCAAUAUCUCGAUCCCCGCCCCACACCGAAAUACAAAUCCAAUUAACAAAACCAAAAUGUACAUUCACUCUUACUCUUCCAACAGAUCCUUCGUUCGAACAAAAUCAUCGAUCCAUCACCCUCAUCAAAAAUCACCAUAACUGUUCAACAGAUCCGAAACUGUUCAUCAUCUUCUCCUUCGUGUUCAUCAUCUCCUUCGUGUUCAUCAUCUUCUUCUCCUUCAUUUUAAACCAACAAAAACAGAGACCCAUGACAACAUCGCACCAGACCCAUCAUCAUCACCAUCGAACAUCCUGUUUUGCCCCUUCUCUGUAAACGGGUUAGGUUUUGCACUGUUUUCUUCAAUAGCUCAGGUAAUUAAUUUAUGGUUUUUGUUUUCUUUGUUGCAAUUUAAGUUACACUAAACAGUUCUAACCUAACUUUCCCAAUCUCAGGUGUGAUUCUGUUGUGUUGAUCCAUCUCCCUCACCCAUCUCCCUCACCUGUAACCGAAGAACACAGGUAAGAAUUUUUUUUCCCGAAACUUUGAAUAAUGGUUUUAGGCUAUUAAUUCGAUAAUAUAAUGUUUAUGAUAUGUUUUUACCAUGAUUUAUAACAUAAUGAUGCACGUUUAAAUGUAAAUUUAUGAAAACCCCCAAAUUAAUUUUUAGGGUUACGGUUCAUAAAUUGAAUGAUUUUAUUCAACCUGACCAAUGCUGGCAAUUCUUGUGUCUGGAAGAGAGUGAUUGAUGGAAAUUAUGCAUGUUUAAUUGAAAAUUUAUCAAAACCCCCAAUUUAAUUUUUAACAAUUAGUAUUAUUGAUGCUGUGUGUUCUUUGAUGUCUGCAAAUUGUCCUCCUGUGCACCGAAACCUAGGUGUUUUGAAUGUAUUAUAUGCUUAUAUAUAUAUAAGGAAACUUGAUUGUUGUUGUUGUGUUUCGUUAAUAAGAUUGCUGUUUUAUUUUUGUUUCUUCAUUAAUUAUUUUUUUUCUUGCUGUUUUACUUGUUAUAUAUAUAAUUAGCAGAAUUGUGUAGUGAAAGAGGUUAGAAUUCAUGGUUGCCUCCUCCUUGCAUGGUGAUAAGUUAAUUUCCCACAUUAGCUAUAUAUGUUGUCUGUUUUCAUUUGAUUGUCCUGUCUUGAGGUCAGCAUGCAUGAUUUGGAAAUUAACUAUUAGUCUCUUGGAUGAGGAUUUGUUUUUGUAUUAAAGAGUUCUACAGCUCUUUUGGCUUUUUUUAUAGUUACUAUGUUGCAUGAACUAAGUAGCAAAUUUUUUGGAGCCAACUUGUGUAAUUGCAGAAACAAUCGCAUGUUUUUAGCAUGUUUGUAUGUAAUGAUACAUGUAAAAUGCACCAGCAUUGUGCAAUGGUUCAUUUUUUAGUCAUUUCUGUGUGAAUUAAGCAAAUUGAUGCUGAAAAUCUUUGCUUGCUUAGCCAUUAUCAGUGGAUAUAGGAUCAGUUAACAAACUACAAGCAAUCGCAUGGGCUUGUUAGAAUUAUUUGUGGAAAAGGCUAGGGUCAAGUGCUGUGAGGUCACUGGACUUGACCCUUUAAAUUGUGAAAUUGGAAAUAUUAGACACUCUUUUGCUGUUUUCGGUUCACAAGGUUGAUGUUUACACUGUGAAGUCAGUUCUAGCAAAGCACUAAUUAGUAUAGAUCCAUUUCCAAUCACACAAAGGAUAAAGGAUUAGAGAGCAAAGCACUAAUUUGUUUUAAAGACUAGCAAUUGUUAUAACUUGAUGGGUGUAACAUACUGUUUAUGUUUUUUAUUUUUCCAGCAAUAUGAAUGGCUUAUUGGAUCACAACAUAAUCAAAUAGAGUUGGCUAAAUCUGAUUGGGUUGCAAUAAGAAAACCUCCACCUUGUGCCAUUGAUUUUUGGGGCUUUGGUAAGUCUAUUUUGCUCCAUUUUUACAUGGUUGCUUAAUUAUAUGGUGCGUAUUUUUUCUGUUGGGCAUGCAUAUUGUAAUCCUUUGAAGUAGUUGGAACUUUGCCUUUCAUUGGGAUAAUAUUGACAGUUUGUAUAAGAAAACUAAUGGAAUGAUUUUCUUUCAUUAAAUGUGAUCUUGAGUACACAUUUAGGUUACAUUACAAUGAUGGACAAGUUGAUUCCUUUUACUAUAUGCACAACAUAAUUGAUAAAAUAAGAAAAAGAAACCCCAGCAGUAAAAAGAGCUUGAAAUCUAUUGAAUUUGAUAUUGAAUUCUGUUGAUCGGAUUUUGAGGGAGAGAUGGGAGAAAUGGGUGAGAGAUAUUGAUGUUUGAAAGAAAUGUUUAAAUUGUUAUUCAACACUUUGGAAAAUGCAAAACCACUUUUAGGUGUUUUAUGGAAAAGUAAGUAUUCUUUAAAUUCGGUGAUUGCAAUUAUAAUUACGCGUGGAAAACAUGUAUACACACGCAAAUUAAAUAAUGUCGUGUAAUUUUUUAUUGAAAUUAUAUUAAAAUAAAUUUUUUAAUUUUUUUAACAUUGUUAUAUUAAAAUUAUUUAAAAAUAUAAAAAAAUUAAUUUGAUAUUUUUUAAAAAAUAUGUCAUAAUACAAAAACAAAUUCUCAUCCAAGAGACUAAUAGUUAAUAUACAUGUUUAACUAUAAACUUUGAUUACACAACAAAAUAUAAAUAAUAAGUAUUUCAUAGAAAGAGGUUUAACAUAAAUAUAUUAACACCUCCAUUACCUUAACCAUAAAUAUUAACAAUAAUUAUUGCUCGUCCGUGUAGAACUUGUAAUCAACUAAAUUGGAUUGUGCCUAAAGAAUUUAUAAAACAAAUGUAUUUAUAUUUUCAUCCACCAAUAUUAUAAUUAUUAUUUAACUACGACAUAAAAGAUAUAUACAAUGUAUAUGACAAGAGACAAAGAUACAAAUGUGAGUAACUAUUGUAACCCAUAAUAAAUUAUGUUUUUUUUUAUAUUGCAUUUUAAUCUUUUUUUAAGAAAAUUAAAAAAAUUCUUUAAUCUUGUAUUACCUCGCAUGUUUAUGAUUUCAUUUACCAUUUCUUAGUUGAGCAAAAAAAUAUCCGAAUAAAAAAGAAAAAGUUUGAUGAAUCCAAUAAAAAUAAAAGGAUCCAAAUUAAAAAAAAAAAAAAAACUAUUUGAGGUGGUAACAAAAGUUAGAAGGACCAAUAAAAAAAAUGAACUCUAAAACUAUUAUAAAGAUAAAUUUAUUUAAAAUUUGUUCAACUAAAUAUUUUUUUUUCUUUAUCCAUUUAUUCUGUAUAAAAUAUUAACCGAACAUAAUCUAAAAGUCUACUUUUGUCACUAGUUAGAAAAUAUAAAUGAAAAUAUAAAAUACUAACCGAACAUAUUUUAUUUUAAAAGAUUGUUUAAGUUUUAGUAGUUAAAGAAGUAUGCUUAUUUCAAAAAAUGCUUAUUGGUGUUGUCAUGUUAAUUAGAUUAAUAUGGAUGAUCGAUCGUGGAUGUAUCGUCGUCUUAUGGAUGGUCGCCUUCGUCCUGAAUACAUUACGGGUGUUAGAAGAUUUAUCAAUUUUGCAUUUUCAAUUGAUAAAAAUAUAUCUGGGGGGAAAAUUAGAUGUCCUUGUGUGAGGUGCAAAAAUCAAAAGUUUUUAAAGGAAGAUGAUGUUUGUAAACAUCUAUUGACAAAAGGUUUUUUACCUUGUUAUGAAAAUUGGACUGUACAUGGGGAGCCUUAUGUCGCAGAACCAAUAUUGGCUGGACCUUCAUCGAUUGGAAUGAGUCAUGUUGUGAAUGAUGUUUGUCUAGAGAAUCCAUAUAGGAAUCUGGUUAUGGAUGCAAUGGGGGUUGGUGAUGCAUUCUACAAUGAUAAUGUGUCUAGUCCUGUGGUAGCAGGGGAAAUUCCAAACCCGGAGGCAACUAAAUUUUUUAAGCUUUUGAAAGCUGCGGAGGAGCCGUUGUGGGAUGGGUGUACCAAGCAAUCCAAAUUAUCUGCUUGUGUACAAUUGCUUAAUAUGAAGUCAACUUUAAAUUUGACUCAGAAUGCCUUCAACAAUUUUAUUGACUUUACAAAAAGUUGCAUGCCUAAUGAUGAAAAUUUGGUUUCAAAUUUUUAUGAUGCCAAGAAAUUUAUGCGGCCACUUGGACUUGGUUAUGAGAAAUAUGAUGUGUGUCCUAAUUACUGUAUGUUGUACUAUGGGGCAGAUGCAAUGAAAAUAAAUUGUGAUUUUUGUGGAAGUUCACGAUACAAACCUAGAAAUCCAACUAGUAAAGGUUCCAAUAAGGCGGAGAAGCAACUCCGAUACUUUCCCUUGACACCAAGGCUUCAGAGACUGUUCAUGUCUCCAUAUCAUGCCAAAGAUAUGACAUGGCAUCAUUUUCAUAAUUCUGAUAAUGGGGUUAUGGUGCACCCAUCUGAUGGGGAGGCAUGGAAGGAGUUUAAUCGUGUCCACUUAAGCUUUGCAUCAGAUCCGAGAAAUAUUCGGUUAGGGUUGUGCACUGAUGGGUUUUGUCCAUUUGACAUGUCUUCAAAUACAUACUCUUGUUGGCCAGUAAUUGUGACUGUUUAUAAUUUGCCUCCGUGGAAGUGCAUGACUAGACCAUUCAUGUUUUUGACAAUGAUGAUUCCUGGGCCAAAGAAUCCGGGUAAAAAGCUUGAUGUUUUCCUAAGACCUUUGAUUGAUGAGUUAAAGAAUUUGUGGUAUGUUGGUGUUGAAACAUAUGAUGUAUAUAGAAAGGAAAAUUUUCAAUUAAGGGCAGCUUUAAUGUGGACCAUUAGUGACUUUCCAGCAUAUGGCAUGUUAUCGGGGUGGAGUACUCAUGGAAAUCUGUCUUGUCCUUAUUGUAUGGAGCAUAGCAAGGCUUUUAGAUUAAAAAAUGGAGGGAAAACUACAUUUUUUGAUUGUCAUCGACGAUUCCUACCCAUGAACCACCCAUAUAGAUUUCAAUCUGAUAAGUUUUUGAAAGGAGUAAUUGAAAGGCUCCCUCCUUUACCUCGUCCAUCUGGUUUGGAAAUGUUGAACGAAGUGUUGAAGUAUACUGAGGGACAUAAUGGAGGGUCAUCAUAUAAUGAUAAAAUUCCUGGCUUUGGUGUUAAGCACAAUUGGGUGAAAAAGAGCAUUUUCUGGGAGCUUCCAUAUUGGCAUACAAAUUUGAUUCGUCAUAAUCUUGAUGUCAUGCAUGUUGAGAAAAAUGUCUUUGACAAUAUUUUUUAUACAGUUAUGGAUUGUCCGAAUAGAAGCAAGGACAAUUUAAAGGCUAGGUUGGAUAUUCAAUUGUAUUGUCAGAAGCCAAAUUUGCAUUUGCAACAAGAUAUGAGUGGUCGGGUUUACAAACCUAAAGGCACUUAUUGUCUACACAAGAAACAACAACAAGAAGUCUUGUCAUGGAUGAAGGAAUUAUCAUUUCCUGAUGGUUAUGCUUCAAGCAUUUCAAGAUGUGUGAAAGAGGCACAAUGUAAGGUUUCGGGGAUGAAGAGCCAUGAUUGCCAUGUCUUCAUUCAAAGACUUCUUCCAACCGCUUUCCGACCUUACUUACCUAGGCCACUGUGGGAGGCAUUAACUGAACUGUCCGUAUUUUUUCGAGAUAUUUGUUCAACAAAUUUAAAUGCCCAGCACAUGGAGUUAAUGCAGAUGAAUAUAAUUGAAAUAAUUUGCAAACUUGAAAGGAUUUUUCCUCCAUCAUUCUUUGACUCCAUGGAACACUUGACGAUACAUCUACCUUACGAGGCAAAAGUUGGUGGACCAGUUCAAUAUCGAUGGAUGUAUCCAUUUGAACGGUAUGUUUUCAUACUAUGUUAAUUUUAUUAACUUUUGAUUUUUAAAAUAAACUAAUUGACAUAAAUGAUAUAGGUAUAUGUUUUAUUUGAAGAAGAAAGUGACCAAUAAAGCUAAAGUUGAGGGUUCCAUAUGUGAAGCAUACUUGAUUGAUGAAAUUACCAAUUUUGCAUCUCAUUAUUUUGGUGAUGACGUGCAAACAAUUUGGAAUCGAGUUCCACGGAAUGAUGAUGGUGGCCUUAGAAGUGUAGAUGGAUGUCUCUCUAUUUUUUCCUAUCCAGGGAAAAAAUUAUCCAAAAGAUUUUAUAAAAGGCAGUUGUCACAUGCUGAAAUGCAAAUUGCGCAUAACUAUGUGAUAUUCAAUUGUCAAGAACUGAAGCCUUAUUUAGUGUAAGUAUGAAAUAUUAUUUUAUACUAAAUUUAUAAUAAUUUGUUAUUAACUUUAACAUUUUAAAAUUUUAGGCAAUGUCGACAAGAGCUAAAGUCACAACAACCACAUGCGAGUGAUGGUGAAAUUGAAAAAUUAUGCGAAACGAUCUUUCCAAAUUGGUUAAAAAAUAAUGUAAGUAUUUUAAUAAAAUCAAUUUAUAUUUUAUGUCAAUUAGCUACUUUAAAAAUAUUAUUAGGGGCUUUUAAAUUAUUAUUUCUUAUGGAGUUAACUAUUAUGCUAGGUGGAAUACCAAUCUAACGGAAUUGAAAAUCAGCUCUUUGGACUUGCUAUGGGCCCUUCAACUUCAGUGAAAUGUUAUAAUGGGUAUUAUGUCAAUGGUUUUAAAUUUCAUACUCAACGUUAUGAUGAUGAUGAACGUGAUUAUUAUGGAAUGCUUAAAGAAGUUGUUCGGCUAAAAUACUUGGGGAGUAAGUGCAAGUUAUUUAUGUUUAAAUGUAGUUGGUAUGAUACAAGACGAGGGAUUAGAGUGCAUCCUUCGAAUGGUUUGGUUGAAAUCAAGCAUACAUCUCGACUACACGGAAAUGAAGAUUUUGUGUUAGCACAACAAUGUCAACAAGUCUACUAUACAUAUCCACCUGGUAAUAAAUCAUCUGAAUGGUGGACGGUUAUUAAGACAACUGCUAGAAGUCGUUAUAAUGUUGAUAUGGGUGAAUUUAUUGAAGAUGCAAACAAUGUGAGAUCAUUUGAUGUCGAUCAAUCAGAUGAGAUUUCUCAACCAUCUCUUGUCCUUCCUACUCAAACACUUGAUGAUCCAAAUAUACUUGUUGAAUCAUCUUAUUAUGAAGAAAUCGGGCAACAUGAAUUGAUUCAACUUGACAUAAAUUGGGGAAACAAAGAUGAUGAAGCAGAAGAAGAAGAAGAAGAAGAUGGUGAUGGUGAUGCUGAAGAAGAAGAAGAAGAAGAAGAAGAAGAAGAUGAUGAUGAUGAGGAUGAUUGUUAUGGUGGUGAUGGUUAGGAGUGAUAAUAAUAAUGAGUAGCACAAGUUAAUUAUAUUUCGUAGUAUAUGUAAUGAAUUAUCUUUAUUAUAUGUAUGGAUGAUUUCAUAUUAUUUGACAAUUUUUAGGCUUUCAAUGUUUUUUUAUUUAUUUAUUUUAUUCAAGUGUGUUAUGCAUCACAUUACAUAAAUCAUUUUCAUUGACCUUUGAAACCAUUUAUAACCUUUCAAGUAUCAAUCUUUAAAUUGUGAUUCUGAUGUUAUAUUUUAUUUUGUGAUUUGUUUUCUUGCUUAUAGGUGCUGAAGCGUGAAAGAAAGGGUUUUUCCUACUAAUUGUUUUGAUUUAUAGGACCAGACAUUAAGGUAAGCAUACUCAUAAAUUUUGAUUAUUGCUUAAUUAAUUAUUUAGAAUUUUUUUUUUAUUGUUUGUGUUAAUUGGCUUAUUACAAUUUAAACUUCAUAGCUGAUUUUUGCAUUGCAAGGAAUGCUUAAUGAAAUUGUCUUGAUGUUAUUUACAUAUUUGGUUUUGUUGCAGUAAUUAUUUUAUUUGAAUUAUAAUAUUUUUCGGAGUGAUGGCUAUUAUUGUUAUGUUGUAUAUAUUCAUAUGAUAAUGUAUAUAUUUUUUCUGGUUUUUAGCAUGCCUCGACGAGGAUCCAUAUUAGAUUCUAGGAGUGACAGGUCCACAUCAAGGAGUGAAAGGUCCACUUCAUCCAAAUCAUUUCAAACUACAUCAAGGCAUAAUAACAAAGGAUCCACAGUUCAUCAACCUGUGUAUCAGAACACAAAUGAGUAUUAUAUACCUACUUUGGGGAGUACACAUCCUCCUCAACAUGAUUAUGGGAGGGUUGAUGGAUAUCAAUAUUGUGAGGGAUUUCGUUUUCAGGAUUUGCUUCAAACUCAAGGAGGUUUCUCUCGAGAAAACCAACUUGUUUAUGGAGGACAUAAUUUAUAUGGGAGUCAUGGGAGAGUUGGUGAUGAUGAUGAUGUGAACAUUAGAGAUGAAGAUGAGGGAGACGGUAGUAAUGUGAGAGGUGUAUGUGAUGAGGAUCAAGAUGGUGUUCCAUCAUAUCACGGUUCAACAUCUUCUCCAUACAAUUAUGAUCACAUUGUUAAAAGGAAGGGUUUUGACACGCCAAUGGAUCCAAUAACAAGAAAAAAAGAGCUUUGUUUGUAUGGAACAACAGAGUAAGUUCAACUUUUUAAUAACUAACUGAUUAAGGUUAUAUUUUUAGGUAUGAAAAAAAUUAUUUAUUAUUGUAUAAUUAUUUGUUUAAUAUAAGUUUAUUAUUAUGUAUUUUCAGGUUCAAUAACGCAUCAUGUGGACGUGUAAUUGGAGAUAUUUUGAGGUCCAAUUUUAAGGGAGCAUGGCAUUUCUUGGGAAAAAGUAGAUUCAAUGUGCAGGGAUGAACUUUUUAGAGAGUUUAAGGUAAGAACCAACACUAAUUGCCAUAAUAUUCUUUUUAAUUUUGAUCGCUUUAAUGUAGCAUUAUGAAAAUUAUCAACUGAAUAGCUAUGACUGAUUUGUGUUAUAAUUUGUUUUUAUUUCUUGUUUACUCUUUAAUAUCAUUUAAUUUCUUUAGUUAUUACAUUAUCUUGCAAAUUAUGAACAAGAUAACACAAUAUGAUUAAUUAUUUAUAUAAUUUGAAAUUUUGUGCACUCUUUUUACUUGAUAUAUAUAUUAUUUGGUAGAAAAAAUAUUCCUUUCCUGAGGAAGAUGAGUCAAUUGUUCGUAAUAUUUGGGAAGAUAAGGCUAGAAUAGCUUUGAAUCAACAAUUGACACGAGCUCGCAAGAAUGCCAUGUCAAAAGAAAACACGACAAAUAUUCUAGAUUGCCUUGAUAAAGGUCCUGCCUGGAUAAACAAUGAUGAUUGGAAUCAAAUGAUCAAAGAUGUUUGGUCCACCCCUGAAUUUCAAAGGAGGUCUGAAUCUGCCAGGAGGAAUCGAUUAUCCCAAACAGAUGGCAAAAUAAGCACUCAUUCUGGAGGAACAGUGUCAUUUGCUUCAUAUCGAGCUAACAUGGUAAGGAUAUUUUUUUUUAUGCUUAAGAUUAUGAAUUAAAAUUUGUAUAUUUAUCUUUUAUAAUAUUUAUUAAUCUUGAAAGCAAGAGGAAGCUGGUGGAAAAGAACCUCCAUGGGAUGAUGUCUUUUCAGCUUUGCAUCAAAGUACGAAGCAGUCUGGUAGCUUUGUCGACAACAAGUCAAAAAAAGUGGUUGUAUGUAUUUUUAUUUGAUUAUUUUUUAAUAUAACUCAAGUAUUAUUUAACAUUCAAAUUAAUUUAUUGUUGCAUGUAUUUUAUUUGUAGGAAAAUUAUAAAAUGGAGAUGAUUUCAAAGUAUGGAACUGAUCGGGAAAAUCAUCCUUCAUUUGAUGGAGCAGCUUGGUGUGUCGCUUCAGGAGGAGUUACAAAGGGUAGGGUAUAUGGUGCACCUCGUAUGCCAAAAUCUAUAGUUAGUACAAGCUCUUCAUCACAUUCCUACUCGGUGGAGUCAUCAUAUCCAAGUUCAUCAUAUCGAGCAUUGCAAGAGGAGAAAAGGAAAAAAGAUGAAGUGAUUUUUGAAAUGAAACGGCAGAUGGAUUCCAUGAAAGAUUAUCUUGUGAACAAUCUUGGAUAUCAUGGCGGGACAUCAAAUAUUGAUCAAGGUAUGCCACCACCUUUGACUCCAUCAAUACCGCCACAUAUGGCUCCUCAGAUAAUGACACCUAUGGGUCCCACAUCUCAACCAAUUUAUCGACCUAUACCCCGACCUUUAUAUCCUGAUCAAUCUUGUGACGAUCCACAAUAUCAUGGUUCGUCUUCGCAACCAGCACCAUGAUUGUAUCUUUUGUUGUUGUUUUUUUUUUGUAUUUGAACUUAAUUGUAUUAAUGCAUGUUUAUUUAAAUUUUUAUAAUAUGAAUAUUAUUUUUAUUCUAUUUUUUAUUAAUUAUAUAAUUAUUGUUAAUAUUAAUUUAUGCUGGUUAUAUAUAUUCUGCAACUUUUAAAAUAUCCAUAAAUUAAUUAAUUAAUUAAAAAUCAUUUUAAUAAAUAAAUAAAACGUAAUUUAAUAAAAAUUUAAUAAUACAAUCACCAACGGAUUCUCCGUUGGUGAUUGUAUCUGAUGCAGGCAUCAGCAACGGAGAAUCCGUUGCUGAUGCAGCGAACCAGCAACGGAUUCUCCGUUGCUGAUUCAGCGAACCAGCAACGGAUAAUCCGUUGCUAGUUUUGCAACGGAUUAUCCGUUGCUAUUUGUAAGCAACGGAUUUAUCCGUUGCAAACAAAUCAGCAACGACAAAUCUGCAUCCGAUUUGUGCCGUUGCUGAUUCCGUUGCUAAAUUACUUUAGCAACGGAUUUUAAUGGUUUUUGCAACGGAAUAGUCCGUUGCUAAUUGCUAUAUUUUUUAGUAGUGUUGCCGCACCAACAGAUGGUGAGUGUUGGUAAACCAAGCCAUAGAGAAACUCAUGGUGCUUCAAUUUUAACUUUUGGGUCAUGUUAGUUUUUAGGAAUUCACUUUUCUAAAAACCAUUUUCCUCACUUUUCUAUGUUUGACAAAUACAUGGAAAGUUAGUCAAUGAAAUUUAAAUUCUGGUCAAAGGAAAAUAUUAACUUAAUAUGAGGAAAGUGUUUUCCCCUUUUUAUUCUUGGAAAACACUUUCCUUUCCUUUUUAAUUUACGGAAACAAAUCACUCCUUCUCUUUUACAAUUGAUCUCUUAAAAAAAUUAGCGUGGCUGUUAAAUCUUCCUUUCUCAUAUCUCAGUGUUGGAAAAAGAAUCAUCUUCAUCUUCAGGUAAUUAUUUUCCUCAAAUAUUUCUAUUAUUAUCUAUCUUUUUUUUUCCCUGUUCUAUAUUAAUUGUGAUUGUGAAAUGUUGUGAGCUUGUUAAUUCUUGGAAAAAAAUCAAAGCAAUUCCAUGCUCUGUUUUGCAUAGGAUCUCAGAUCUUGCGUGUGUUUGAUAAUCUCAUAUCAAUCUUUUAACACUUGUGAUGCAUCAUCGAUGCAAUGUUUACAAUGACAAACUUGCAUUUCUAUUCAUUGUGGUUUUUUUUUGGAAUAAGUCGAUAUAUUGAAAGGGCUAACCAGAAAAUAGCCAAAAAAAAGAUACAUGGAAAAAAAAAAAAAAAGAAUCACAAUAACAAAAAGCAAACACAAAAAGAAAAGAAAAGAAACUCAACAGAUACAUAACCGAAAAAGCAAACACAAACAUGAUAUAUUCAUUGUGGUUUUAGGUUCACAGAUUCUGAUCAAAUAGAUAUUUAAUGUUCCAAAAACAUUGUAUACACAUUUAAAUGCUUUACUUCAAUAGAUAGAUUAGGUUAUCUCUCUACACAUAUUACCAAUUUAGAUUCAGCACAGGACCUUUUUCAGGUGCUUACCACUUUGUACUCGCAAGCAAAUACAUACUCCCCCCUCCCCCCUCCCCCCCUCCCUUCCUGUUCUUGUUAUUUAUGCAUGUAUUAACUUUUCUGAAAGAAUAAAUGUUGAAGGGAGCAAAUAGUGUAAAUAGAACGAGGAGAAUACAGAAAGAAUAAAGAAAAAGAAGAAAACAAAACAAAGUCAUAAAAAAAGGCUUUUCAAUCCCCGAUGAAUAUCAGCAGUCUAAAUACCCCAGCAAAUAGAACAUGAAGAGGCCACAAACAAUAACCCAUCCCAAAGAGAUUGUCUAGGAUGUUUUAAGCUAGGAAAAUGAAGAAGAAAACGACGAGCAUUAACAAUGAAUAUUUCAUGUUAUCAUCAACUCUAAAGAGCAGACUGAUAAAAAUCAACUUAACAACUCUUGUUGAAAUAAGAUUAAAUUUACAGGCUGACCAUGCUCGACCUUGAGGUGAGUUAUAAAAUGUUCUUCCUAACUAGAUGCACAGCUACGCCUUUGGGGUGAAGUGAACUAAGUCAUUUGUUUUACACUUCCACAUGCUCUCAAGCUUUCACCUCAUACUCAAGACCAGCUGAGCAGUCCUAAAAAGAAAGAUAUAUCAUGUAGGGUCAUCAAGGCAGACCUGUUAUUUUUAUUUUUUUCGCGUUAACGUCAUGACCAAAUUAUAAAAUUUAAACUUCUUUUCUUUCUUUCUUUUUUCCAUGUGUGAGCGAGCAUAAAACCCAAGGAAAUCGAUUUGUUGUUAAAAACACAAUAAUUUUGAAGAAUUUGGUAAAUUCCAAAAAAGAAGAAUCAACCAAACAGCUCAUUUUUCGGCCAUUCCGGCAGUAAUAUCUCUCCCACUCCAGCUGCUGCAUAAACUAAUUAACAAAUUAUCGAUCGAGCCUAAAAGAUUUGAAUUGAUUUCUAUUCUCAACUUUAAAAUAAAACUAAAAAAUAAAAUAAAAUAAAUUUGGGUUCAAGAAUUCACGGCUUGAUUAUUACAACAAUAACUGUGUGAAAAAUCGGAUAAUAUCAUGUAAAUUGGGGGGGGGGGGUUGAAAAAGAAAUAUUAGAAUCGGCUGAUUGUGCGUUUCUUCGAGCAGCGAUUUCAUCGGAUCCGAUUAUAUAUUUUUUUAAUUUACUUAUUAAAAUCGAAUUGCGUUCACUAGCAGAGAUUUCAUCGGAUCGAUUAUUUGUUUUUUUUUUAAUUUAAUUAUUAAAAUAGAAUUUCUGUCUCUCAAUAAUAAUUACAAUAAAAUAAAUGAAAACACCCAUAAAUUUUAAAAACAAAAGCAUGAUAGAAAAGGAAGCACCUGGCAGAAAUCUGAAGCCUUAUUGGAUGUGGCGGUUUCCGAGAGGCGGAAGAGGGAGGGAGGAAUGUUGUCCCAAAGUGAAAUAGAUGACUUUGGCCUUAUUUGUUUGUUAGAAAGUAGUUUCUUUUUAGAAAGUGAAUUUUAGGGAAAGUGAAUUCCAGGAAAGUUUUUUUCGAUGUUUGGUAGUAUAAUAAAAAAUAAAUUGGAAAACACUUUUCAGUUUUAGGUUAUGUCAUGGAAAAUAAGCUGGAAAAUUGCUUAUUAAUAUUUUAUUUUUCUCAAGUUUAUUAAAAUAAUGAGGAACAAAUUGCAAUCUAAAUAUAUAUAGAAAAAUAAUAAGAAAAAAGCAAAUAGAAUUAUAAAAAUAAGGACCAAAGUUAAUAUAAAAAUAAAAUUUUAAGAGAUGAAAUUGAAAAAUAAAUAUUCAAAACAAAAUAUAUAUAGCAAUCAAAAGUUUGAGGAUCAAAUUUGAUAUAAUCAGCAAAUAAUAACAUUUUUAAAUUUUUCACAACUUCCGAAAAAUGUUUUUCCUCCAAAUUUUUUAGGAAAACACUUUCUUGAAAACCAAGACAAAUUUUCCUUUUACUAGAAAGUGUUUUUCAUUGACCAACUUUCCUAAUGGCAAACAAACACAAGAAAGUUUGGAAAGUAAUUUCCCGAAAACCAUUUUCCGGAAAACAAACACAGCUAAAGAGAAAACACUUUCCUGAAAACCAAGUUAAAUUUUUCUUUAACUGAAAAGUGUUUUUCGUUAACCAGAAGUGUUUUCUGUUGACCAACUUUUCUAAUAACAAACAAUCACAAAAAAAUUUAAAAAAUGAUUUUCCAAAAUCUAAUUUUCAAAAUACAAACAUAGCCUUUAUUCUUUUCCAGAUUCCUUCUAAAAAAAAUUAACAAGUAAACACUCGCUCGUCAAGCAUCCGCGUUCACGACCUUUUAAUUAUGCCUUAACUCAUAUUGGCCAGUAGUGCUAUAAAGAAGACAAAGUGGUAUAUCCACUUUUUCAUCAAUUACUUACACGAGACAAAGAAAAUGAUUGCUAUUAUCGACAAUUUCUCUGUUACACACACACACAAUUUGUCUUUAGCUGUAUUUUCUUACAAAGGAUCUUUAGCCAUGCAUUAGAGAUGAACACCUCCAACUUCUUGAUUUUCACUCGUUUUCAUCCCAUUUAAAAAAGUUUUAAGUUUGAAUGCUCAUUAUACAAAUUCUAAUAACAGGCAGCUAAAAGGGCUUGUCGAAGAGCUCAUCUUUAACGACUACUCUUGCAGGUUUUGAGAUCAUAUCAUCACAUUUGGGAAAACUCAAGAACCUUGACCUGAGCUAUAAUAUAUUCAACGACAGCACCAACUUUUAAAACAUCAGUCACCAACUUUUCAUUAUAGAAUUGCUCAGCAAAUAUUGGCCUUAUGCCUUCAAGAGUUGAGUUCCAUCCUCAAUGAGUCACAAAUGCACCUAUUGCUUUAUGAUCAAGAAUCAAAACUUGGAGUGUCCAUCCUCUGAUAAUAGUCCUUUGCCUUCCAUUCUUUCCUCAAAUCCUUCGGGUAAACAAUCUUUCUUGUCUUCUUGACGCUUUGUUUCUUCUAACUACCCGGAUAAGGAUGAAACACUUCACACGCAUUACAGAAUUAGCAUUGUGGAGGUGAUCAUGACAUUUUGCCAGCAAGGCGAUAUACAUAGCAAUUUGCAGCAAUAGAAUGUAAAAGAGUUUGAUAACAAUGCGAGAAGAAAAACAAAAGGUAAGAUGUUUAGAAAUUCAAUGCUCGGAUGCAUUAUUACCUGCUGGAUCCAUGGGGGCAGUGGGCAUGGCAUUUUGAGACCUGAUCUUCAUCAAAAGCAUCACCAGAGAUAUUUUAUGCAGAUAAUCAGACUAAAAUCAGAUAUUAAUAACAAAACAUUAGAUCUCAGAGCAAUCCAUGUUACAAGAGGAGGAAAAUGGAUAUAUGCUCUAUCAUUUCAUCUUUUGUGAGGAUAGACUUCUGUUUCCUCUCUUUUUAUUUACUUAUUUAUGUAUUGAUUCGCAAUUUGCUUUUUGCACACUUCCCAUGUACUUGAACUUGGUCACUCUAAAUAAAACACUUGUCAAGAGAAUUAACAAAAAGAUGCAAACUCUCAAUCAGCCUUGCAUUCAGAAUGAACGGUGUGGAAGUGUAGGCACACUACACACACAUUUGUACAAGCAUAAAUGCGUGUGUAUAUUCAUGUCUAGAUAAUAUCGUAAUUAUUGAACCUCGCAUUAGGCAAAUACCUGAUUGGUAGCGGUGGUAUAAAUCUUUUCCUCAAAACGUACGGCAAAUUUCUUGAGUUCUGGUAAUCCCUCCUAACCAGAAAACAGAAGAUGCCUCUUUAAUGUCUCCAUUCUGCAUAUGCAAAUCAUCACGUUUCAUUUUUAAUGACCAAGCAAGUAUAGAGAAGUUGCAGUAGCGAGUAAGAACCCUGAACUCAUAAACCACACCAAUAUAAAAAAUGUGUGGAAUCAUUAGCAAAAAGUAAAAACAAAUAAUGAGAUAAGCAAGAGAUGGUCAAGUAAUAUAAGACAUCAAAAUACAUAGACAUCCUUUCCCUGCAUUAUUCCAGAGGUACAGAGUAUAGGAGUUUACUUGGCCACCCUUCUGUCUAAAAAUUCUAGCUACUAGCUUCAUGGUUAAUUUUCUUGAAAUGGAAGAACCUUUCAUUUAUGGCUAUGUUCCAAGAUAAUUAGUGACUUAGUUGCAAAGCAAGAGAGUCCGUGAAAACAUUACAAUAGCAUUUACUCGAGUAAGAACACUUCUAUGCAUGUGCUGUAACUGACAAAAGAAAGAAGAGAAAUCCUUUCAAUAUAUGAAAAUGCAACGAGUUAACCUUAUCUCAAACUGCAAUAUAUACUCUACAGUAUUUAUUGACCACUGCAAGUGCCAGCAGUAGCUGUCUAUAUGAUUUUUGAUGUAGAAAGGUCAACAAAACAUUCAACUUUAUGCUGAGAAACUAGGAAACCUUACACCAUUCAACAUUAACUGCUUUUCUACUUUAAGAUCACUAUCAUUUCAACUUUGUAGAAGUUAAAACAAAUGGAAGGCCCAUAUCCAACACCAUUCAAUUUAAGUUCAGUUGCAACUAGACGUAUGCUCACAACAAUAGAUUAACCUUGAAAUUUAAAGCGGAACAAGCUUCAUGCAGCCAUCCAAGAGGUCAUCAUCAAAAGAAGAGAUUACAAAAGAAAUUCCAACAAAAAUUACUUCCCAGCGCUUUAUGUUCCCUCAAGUUUGCUUCUCGUGAGAAACACAUGAAAAGAUGAAAAAAAAAACAAAAAAAAAGAGGUGUGAUAUAUUUAUUUCGGGCAUUCUAAGCAAAGAUUUGGGCCUGAAUCUUCAUGGUGAUUCUAAACCAAGCAUUCCCUUCUAAGCAAAUACUUGCUGUCAAAACCCCCUCUCCUUCCCCUCCUGUUCUUGUUAUUUAUGUAUAUAUUUAUUUCUCUGAAAGAGGAAAAUGCCACAAAAGAAUAAAGAAAUAAGAAGAAAACAAAACAAAGUCAUAAAACGAGGCCUUUCAAUCCGCAAUGAAUAUCAGCAGACUAAAUACCACAGCACAAAUAGAAGAUUAAGAGGCCAGAAACACUAAAGCAUCCCAAGAGAUUGUCUAGGAUGUUUUAAUCUAGGAAAAAGUAGAAGAAAACAACGAGCAUUAACAAUAUUAAUCUUUUUAAAAACAACAAACAGAACCUAAAAAUGCUGAUUAAAAAACGGUGAACUGUAAGUGCCAGCAAAAGGUAAGGAUGUUUAGAAAUUCAAUGCUCUUUCUAAUACGCACACAUGUGUACAUGCAUAAAUCCACACACUUAUGCAUGUGUAUAUUCAUGUCUAGAGAAUAUCGAAAUUAUUGAACCUGGCAUUAGCCGAAUACCUGAUUGGUGGCGGCCGUAUAAAUCUUUUUCUCAAACCGUAUGGCAAUUUUCUUGAGUUCUUGUAAUCCCUCUUGACCAGAAAACGGAAGAUGCCUCCUCUCUUUUCAUUUAACUAUGUAUGCAUUGAUUCAUUAUUUGCAUUUUGCACACUUCCCUUAUUCUUGAAAAGGACCUUGGUUACUCUAAAUAAAACACUUGUCAAGAGAAUUAACGAAAAGAUGUGAACUUCUACAAAAUGACCAGUGAGGAAGUGUGGACACACUACGCACACAUGCAUAAAACCACACACUUAUGCAUAAAUCCACACAUUAGCCGAAUACCUGAUCGGUGACGGCAGUAUAAAUCUUUUCCUCAAACUGUUUGGUAAUUUUCUUGAGUUCUUGACCAGAAAACGGAAGAUGCCUCUUUAAUGUCUCGAUUCUGCACAUGUAAAACAUUACAUUUAAUUUUUUAAUGACAAGGCAGGUAUAGAGAAGUUAGCAGCAGUGAAAAAGAGUCGUGAACUCAUACACCACACUAAUAUCAGAAAUGUAUACAACGGGAUCAUUGGCUAUGGCUAUGCUCUGUCUGAAAUUCCAGAGGUACAGGGUAUAGGAGUUUACUUGGCCACCCUUCUGUCUGAAAUUCUAGUUACGAGCUUCAUGGUUAAUUUUCUUGAACCGGAAGAACCUUCCAUUUAUGGCUAUGGCUAUGCUCCAAGAUAUACAAGUGAAUUGGAUGCAAACCAGGGGAACUCUGUGAAAACAUUACAAUAGCAUUUACUCUGAGUAAGAAAACUUUUAUACAUGCAUGGACUGUAAUUAGCAAAGAAAAGAAGAGAAAUCCUUUUAAUUUAUGAAAAUGAAAUGAGUUAACCUUAUCUCACGCCGCAACAAAAAAUUACUUCCCAGGCACUUUAUGUUCGCUACUUGUGAGAAACACGCGAAAAAUGAAAAAGACAGAAACAGAGGUGUGAGGUGUAUGAUACUUGAGGUUGGUUGCCUCAUGUCAGUCCUGCUGAUUUUAAUUAACCUUUUGCCCUUCUCUUUUUCUUUUUCUUUGUUUACUAUUCUUUGAACACAUGGUGCUUCUAAAACCAAGGAAGCAAAAAACAAGCCAGCUAGUUCAUAACUUGCAGCACCAGCAGAUGGUGAACCAAGCCAUAGAGAAACUCAUGGUGCUUCAAUUUUAACUAGUUCGUGCUUGGACCCCUCAAAGAACAUUAGCACUUAUUCAAGAAAAAACAUAUAAAGUUGUGAGACACGAGAGACUAUAAUUAUUAUUAUUAUAUAUGGAAAGCAAUGCAAUGCAAUUUAUUUUUUAAUUUUUGUUAUGAUUUUUUUUCAAAUCUAUUUUUACAAUGGUUGAGAAUCUUGGUAAAACAAUUAGUCUUAAUCGUUGUUGAUACUUAAUUUAUAAUGAUAGAUGUUGGAAAGUCACGGUAACUCCUAAUUUUACUCUUGUCGACAAUAAUUUAUAAUGGGUGAUGGUUGAGGAUCAUCUGAUAAGUACGCUAACUUAGCAAAUAAGUGAUAAGUGCCUCUCUUUUUUUUUUUGGCAACUCUCUGUGGCCGCAUGACCAUUUUUAUAAGGGAAAAAGAAAGAAAAAAAACCCAUGACCUUUAUUUGCUCAGCAAGAAACAAAACACAAAGCAGAAUUGGACCUUUAUUUGCUCAGGUGUAACCUUGCAGAGAUUACAAUAAACAAAACACAUAAGAAAAACAAGAGGUUUAAUUGACUUAUAAAAUGUAUGUUUGUGAGCUAUGAUGUAGUGUUUUUUGUUCAAUUGUUGAGAGAAUUUCAUGAAACCAAUGGAAAAACAAAAUAAUAAGGAUUUAUGUAAGAAAUACACCUGUUUAUUUUCGUGUUGUGUUCGUUAACCAUUUUAUAACCAAUUUCUUUUUAAUUUAUAAUUUAAGAAAAAGUAUGGAAUAAUUCUGUAGAGUGUUCUCCUUCUGGGGUUUGGAAAGCGUAGAGGCUUUCCAUUGGAACUGCCAUUCUAUAUUUUGAGAGUUUCUUUGCGAAUAGCUUUUUUGGCAUUUUGACAGAUAUGAGAGAUUCUAAGAUGGAAACUACUUUAGUUGCUGAUAAACGUGCAGCUAGCAUCAUUCUCUUCAUUUUAUUUAUAAUUAAACGAAUAACGAUAAUUGAUGGUGGAUCCGUUUCCCUUUAAAUGUUUUUUUUUUAUCUGGUAUCUUUAAAUUAAUUUCUCCAUCAAUUAUUAAGUUUCACUAUAACGUGUAUUAUUUUUCACUAUGAGUGAAUUUACUGUGGAUGCAUUGUAAGUCCUGGCUUUACGCGGGGCGGGCUCGAGCGCCAAGUGGUGCUGGGUGGCUACAUGGAGCGGGGCAGAACCCUGGCACUUGGGUCUUGGCAAAGGCCUGAUUGGAUUGGGUAUAGCAGCACAGCGCUGCAUGUCGCUGGGGAACCCCGAGCGCCACCUGGCGUUAGAGCACCACCUCGUGCUGGGGCGGAUCCAAUUCUCUGGGUAAACCCCAGCGCUAGGUGGCGCUAGGGUCUUGUCAAAAGGCAUUUUUGGUUAUGAUAGCCCCAAUGUCACGUGGCACUCGAGUCCGGACGCGUUUUGCCCAAUCACAUGUGUGUUUAAUAAUGUGUGUUAUAAAUAUUAUUUUUUCUUUUAUAAUUCAAAGUGUUCAUAACAAAAAUAUUAGUAUUUGUGUUAUAAAUAUUAUUAUUUUUAUUAUAACUCAAGUAUUGAUAUAAAAAAAAAUAUUAUUAUGCAUUAUAAUCAUCCUUGAAAUUCUUAAUAUAAUUAUUUCUGUUAUUUCUUAAUUCUAAAUAUUCAUAUCAAAAAUAGUAUUAUUUGUGUUAUAAAUAUUAUUAUUUUUAUUAUAAUUCUAAAUAUUCAUAUAAAAAAUAGUAUUAUUUAUGUUAUAAAUAUUAUUAUUUUUAUUAUAAUUAAUAUUAUUAAUAUUAAAAAUCUUAUUAUUUAUGUUUUAAAUACUAUUUUUUUAUUAUAAUUCAUAUAAUUAAGAAAUCUGAAAAAACAAAUUCUUAUUAAUAUUUUAAAAAAUAUUAUUUGUGUUAUAAUUAUUUUUAAUUUAUUAUGAUUUGUAUUAUAAUUCAUAUUAUUAAUAAAAUAAUUAAUAAAUUUGCAAAAAAAAACAUUCUUAUUAAUAUUUUAAAAAAUAUUAUUAUUUUAUAAUUAUUUUUAUUUGUAUUAUGAUUAAGAGUAUUAAUAUUACAAAUAGUAUUAUUUGUGUUAUAAUUAUUUUUAGUUUUUAUUAUGCUUAAGAGUAUGAAUAUUAAAAAUAGUAUUAUUGAUUUAUUAUUAUAAUUAGAACUAUUAAUAUUAAAAAUAGUAUUAUUUGUGUUAUAAUUAUUUUUAUUUUUAUUAUAAUUAAAAGUCUGGGCGCAUCUACGCCCAUCCCAACGUUGGGCCUGGAGGCGUCCACGUUCAUCCCCAAAUAGGGUUCGCCCAGCCAUGCCCACCCCUAAGAUGGGUCUGGACGCGUCCACGCCCAACCACAUUUGUUAAUAUAAUAAUGUGUGUCAUAAAUAUAUAUUUUUUCUCUUAUAAUCCAAAGUGUUCAUAUCAAAAAUAUUAUUAUUAGUGUUCUAAAUAUUAUAACUUUUAUUAUAACUCAAAGUAUUGAUAUAAAAUAUAUUAUUAUUUGUGUUGCAAUCAUUCUUGAAAUUCUUAAUAUAAUUAUUUAUGUUAUAAAUAUUAUGAUUUUAUUAAUGAAUUUGAAAAAUAAUUAUUGUUAAUAUUUUAAAAAAUAUAUUAUUUGUGUUGUAAUUAUUUUUAUUUUUGUUAUGAUUAAAAGUAUGGGUGCGUCCAUACCCAACCCAAAGUAGGGCUGGCUAAGAGUAUUAAUAUUACAAAUAGUAUUAUUUGUGUUUUAAUUAUUUUUAUUUUUAUAAUGAUUAAGAAUAUUAAUAUUAAAACUAGUAUUAUUUGUGUUAUCAUUAUUUUUAUUAUAAUCAAAAGUAUGGGCAUGUCCACACCCAUCCCCAAGGGGGGCUGGGUGCGUCCACGCCCAACCCCCCGGCAGGCGUUGACGUGUCCUUGCCCACACCCAAGUGGGGCGUGGAUGCGGCCACGCUCGACUCCAAGUGGGGUCUGGACGCAUCCUCGCCCAACCGCUUGUUAAGCGUGGAGGCGUCCACGCCCAAACCCAAGUUGGGUCGGAUGUGUCCAGACCCAACUUGGAGUAAAAAAUAUUAUUAUGUGUUGUAAUUAUCCUUGAAAUUUUUAAUAUAAUUAUUUAUGUUAUAAAUAUUAUUACUUUUUAUUAUAAUUCUAAAUAUUCAUAUAAAAAUUAAUAAUAUUGGUGUUAUAAAUAUUAUUAUUUUUAUUGGAUGGAUCUAUCGAGCAUGCCCCAGCGCCAGGUGGCGCUCGGGGUUCCCAAUCAGCUAAGUGGCACUCGGUUGUUCCAAAGUGCUAGGUGGCGCUUAGGUUUUCCAUUGAGUUUCUAAUAUUAUAUUUCUACGUCAAAACCAAUUUUUUUUAAAAAAAAAAAUGGCAUUGUUUUGCUUACAAAAUUGAUCAAGUUAACCAAUAACUCACCAGUUGAUCAACAAUUCAACAAAAUAGGUUUUUAACAGGAUCAAAACCUGAACCAGGCUGGAUGACCACGCCAUAAGUUGCAUCUUAUUUUUGUCUUUGCAAUACAAUAAUACUUACAAAUAAUAAAUAACUAAUUUGUAUACAUCUUUUUGUCACAUCUUUAUAGUUUUUGUAGAAUAAAUUGGAACUUAAGAUUUUGUCACAUCUUUAUAUAUAGUUUUUGUAGAAUAAAUUGGAACUUAUUAAGAUAAUAUUCUUUAAUUCUCAAUGCUAUUUGUAAUCAAUAAGAAAGAUAUGGACAAGUCGAUCGUGCGAUUCACAUGGAUUGAACCCCACAUUACACACGGAAUAGACAACACAAUAACCCUGACCAUGCUCGAUCUUGAGGUAAGUUGUAAAAUGUUCUUCCUAACUAGAUGCACAGCUACGCCUUUGGGAGGGAGGGAGGGAGGGAGAGAGAGAGAGAGCAAAGUGAAAUAGAUGACUUUAUUCUUUUCCAGAUUCCUUCUGAAAAUAUUAACGAGUAAACACUCACACUCACGCACGCAUAUGAUGAUUAAAAUUUGAGUUAAAUUCUAUUUAACUAGUAUCUGUAUUUUUGUUAAACAAACAGAUUAAUCCCUCAAGUUGAUUUCAAUAAUUAAUUGAUCAUUUAAUCACAUUUUACUGUUAAGUUUUUCCAUUAGCAACGUCGCUGCUUUAUCUUGUUGCCUGGCAGAGUUCCUUGAUGAAAAAGAGCCUAAUGCUUCUACUUCUUUCCAAGUUUUUGAAGACAUGCUUGAAGAUAAUAUCUCAUCAAGGUAUAUUUAUUAUAACAAAGAAGCAUACUCAAGGAUGAUACUUCAACUCUAAGAGUUGAUAUAGCAAGUAAGAGUAAGGAUAUAGAGCAAAAUGAGCCUCCCUUCUCUCCUUCUAGUCAAUCAUCUUGAAGAGCCUAUGUUCUUGCCUUGAUAAAGACUCCUAUCUUAUAUUUAUUGAAGAAAUAUCAAGAAAGUUUCCAAAUUCAUCUCUUGACAAAAACAUCUCACCCACCUUAGCACAUGUCAAAUCCUUCAUCCCCUUAUGCCAUUGCACAGACUUGCCCUCGGGGUAAAUUCUAAAACUUCAGGCAUUUUUUAUAUGGAAAUUUAUAAUCAUAACUUGGUGUUUGUCCAUUUAUAUACAUGUUUAAUGCUUAUAAUUCAUUGUAAAAUAACUUCAAAACGGUUAAGGAGCACUUUUAUUACCAAAAAGAAAUGGCCCAGUAUAUAUUAUUAAAGGAUCUCAAAUCUUACAUUGUAAAAAUAAAAUAUUCUUCUAAUAUUUAUAUAGUGAACUUUGAAAAUGGUUAAUAACUAACCAAAAAUAUAUAUAAAAAAAGGAGUUUCUGACUACGAGAAAAAAAAUAUUUGAAAAAAAAAAUGGAUCUCAACUGCAUUUUGCUGGAUUGUUUUCGUCACGGAUUAACCUAAUGAGUUAAAAAAAUAUAUAUAAAAAAAAGAGAGGUAUCUGAAUAAAAUAAAAACAUUUUCAAUUUUUUUAUAUGUCAUGUAUAGCUAAGGGACCCAUUCCUUUGUAUAAAAAAUGAUUUGACGGUGCUUGGAUUGGGUGUAUGCCUACGUACUUGGUUUUUUAAACAGACCUUGAGCUUUAUUUUUUAUUUUUUCUAUGUAGUAUUAGUUUUUAAAAGAAUUAUUUUUUAAAAUCUUAGUAUAUUAUACAAUUGGAUUUAUUAUGAUGUUUCUCACACGUGUAUUAAUUAUAUAUUCAAUUCUUUAAUAGUUAGAAAAUACAAAGAGUUAGUGACACUUACAGAGCAUUUUGUAUCUUGUUUUUUCUAAUUAAAAACUUGUAUGGAUUUAUUUAUUUAUUUGAAUACUUGCUUUUAAUUAUGAUAUUUUUAUCAAUCAAGUCUCUAUAUUAGUUUUGUUGUCAGAAUGCAAAUAACACGAUUAAUAGUAUUUUAUUUUCAAUUUUUUUUCAAGGCCUAAAUUUUCCACACGUAAUUUCCAUUAAAAAAAAGUAGCCAGUCUUCUUUAUCCAUCAUCGUCAUGUGCAUAGCAUUAACCUUUUAUUCAUAUUUUUUUCAUAAAUAAAUAAACUUAACUUGGGGUCAACGUUUCAAGAAGGAAUAUAAGUUUCGGUUAAUUACAUAGUUUUUUCCAAAAUGUUCCGCUUUUGUUAUCUCUCUAUUACUUUUCCUUUUAAAGGGGUUAUGUACAGCCCUUGUAUAUUAUUUUGAAUUUAAUAUAUAAAAAUCUUUAGUAUAGAUGAAUUUUGUUUUUUAAAAAAAAAAAAAAAUUAUUUUCAAAUAAUAUUUCUAAUAUGUACAACAUUGCAUAUUAUUAUUUUUUCUUUUAUUUUGUUCAAUUAAUUUAUGAUAUGUAUGUUCUUUUUAUUAUCGUUUAAUUGAAUAAAUAAUUUGAAUUUUUAGAAAAUACAAUUGCAUAAAUGUCAUGUCUUGUGAAAUUAAAUAUUUUGAUCUACAUCUGUCUCUCGAUUUUUUUAGUUUUUAUUUUGAGUUAUCAUUUAUGUUUUUUUUUUUCAUUUAUUGACACACAUAAUUCUCAAUUUAUUUGACAAUAUUAUUUGUAUAUAAUUUUUUUAAUAUCCACUUAAUUUUUUUAAAAAUAAAAAAUAUAUUAAAAAAAUCUAUAUAUAAUUUUUUUAAUUAAACAAAUUUAACUUGCAAUGAAGCUUUAAUCGAAUAACUAAGUCCAUGUACUCAAAUGAGUGGCACUCGAAACUUUACAUACCUUAUCUUCCAAGCAAGAAGAGACAAGAAAAGCAGUAGGUGAUGUUCUUUUCCCCGGUUGUAAAUGAAUGAAGGGGUUAAUACCAAAAACAUGGACAAAAAUUGACAUGGACCCGCACCACUUUGAUUAUUCUUCACUCUUCCUAUGUUUCACUACUUGUUGAUUCAAAAGUUAUCUAUUUAAAAAAAUUUAAAAUAUUUUAAAAUAUGGUUACAAUAUUUUUUCUUAAGAAAAUAAAUUGAUGUCAUGUGUUAAUAACAAAUAAGGAUUUUUUGCAAUCAAAAAAUCAAAUUUAUUUUAAUUAAAAAGUUUCCUAUCAAUAGCAGCAUUCCCAAUUAAACCAAAGUUUUUCCACGAACCCAUCUUGUGGAAAAAAUGCAUGGUGGUUGGAAGAGGACGUCUCAUGGCCUCUCCUCUGGAAAAAUGCAUGAUGGCAACGGUCUCAGAGACCGAUGUCGCACCCCAAAAACAACAAUUUUCAAUUGCAAGUUCAACUGGCGAAAUUUUUUUUAUUUUUGGUUCUUUGGAGUCGCCACCUAGUAUUUUGGUCACUAGGAACCUAACUGGUCUCAGAGAUCGGGUACGGAGACUGGUUGCGUAAAGGGAAGGUAUUAGCACCCCAAAUACACCUUACCUAAGGUAAGCUGCAUUGUUUAAUUGUCUGAUAAAAAUAAUAAUAAAAAAAAAAAAACUAAGGUGUUAUUGUGUUUUCCUAGUUGUUGGUCUGUCUAUGGUUCAAGAAAAAUCCUCCUCGGUAAGGAGAUCUUUAUCUUAUCGGGUAAAAAAAAAUCCUAACCGUUCUAACGUCCAUACCAAAAUUUUAUUAAUAAUAUUUGGGAAUACGUUUUACGUAUAAAUUCGUAAUCCCAAAUACUAAAAUAAAACAAAAAAAGAUUUUUUAGAAUUUUUGAAAUAUUGGCCUAGUUCUCAUGGCUUGAAUAAACUGGUUAUUAAAGCCAAAAUGCAUGUUAAUACAUAUAUUGUUUUGAAAAUUUCUUUGUUGCGUGAAAAUAUGAUGUUAUAAUAUUUAUAUAUAUAUUGGAGAGACUAGGCCGUAUUUUAAAACAAAAAAAAAACAAUUUUUGGAAAAUAUUAUUUUUUUUAUGCUUUGACGAAAAUCGGGUAUUUUAAUACUGAGCUUGUAUCCUUACGGUAUAAAAAUACAACCCAAUAUUAAUCCACUUUGAUAAAAAUAUGCAGAAAAAUCAACAACAUUUUUUAGGGACUUUUUAGAAUUUUUUUUUUUAAAAGCAAAAACAUUUUUUAUUCUGAAAAUCUUUGAUAUUUUGACGAAAACCGGGUAUUUUUAACACUGGUUUUGUAUCUUUACAGUAUAAAAAUACAAAACCAAAAUGUAUAAAACAAACAAUAUAUUUAUAUGAAAAGAAAAUAACAACCAGAUUUUUUUAGAUUUUUUUUCAAAGAAAAAAAACGUAUAUAUGUAUAUACACAUAUAAUAAUAAUAUAUUUAUAUAUUAAAAAGGGGCUGGGCCGGCCCAAACCAAACUGGGCCGGACCCAGCCCUAACAGUCGUUGGGCCGAACUCGGCCCAGCAGGUACUGGGCAGAACUCGGCCCAGAAACUAAUUAACCUCGGUCUGGGCCGGACCCGGCCCAGACCGCCGGACUGGGCUAGAUCCCUCUGGCCCGUCCCACAUAACUCUGGGCCAGACACAAUCUGGCCCAGAAAAAAAAUAAAAAAAACACGGGGGGGGGGGAAUUAAUUUCCCCCCCCCCCGCCUCCUGCAUGCAGAACGAUUCUGCAUGCAGGAGGCAAAACAUAUAUAUAUUAACAAAAAAAAUGCAGGGGGAGGAAAGGAGGCGUACCUGGUGCGGUGGAGGAGGUGGUUUGCUGGCGGGGCUGCGGUGGUGGUGGCAGUGUCUUAGCUUCACAGACGACGGCUUCUCUCUCCUAUGUUACAGUGUUUCUCUCUCUUCCUCUCUCUCUUCGUUUUUUUUUUCUUUGUUUCGGGGUUCCUCCCUUUCUCUCUUUUUUUUCGUCCCCCGUUUUCCCUUUUGGUUCUCUAUUUAUAGAACCAUGGCGCGACUUCGACGUGGAGCCCCGAAGUGGGUCGAGGAGCGUCUGUCGGGGAGCGGCGGGCCUCCCUCGGCUUCGGCCACGAGGAGGGUUGUCGACCAUUGUUUCUGUCGGUGGCCCACCGGCGUGGGGUCUCUGUCGGUGGUAAGGGGGACCUGCAAAAAGAAUAAAAAAUACAAAGUUUUUCUUCUUCCCCGCUGUAAUGUUCGGGGGGGAAGAAGACAGUGAACAGUGUCGUUCAAAACGGCACCGUUCGGUUCCCCCCCCCUUUUUUUUUUUUUUUUAAUUUAUUUAUGCAUGAAACGGCGUCGUUUUGGACAAAACGCGCCGUUUCAUUUAAAAAAACGCCAGAAACUUUGUUUUUAAAUCAGUCCCUAAUUUGUCAUUUGUUCUAUCAAGUCCUUCAAUCGAGUCCUUUAAUCAAGAAUAAAAUUCAAUUGCGUCCCUGCCAAAUUCGGUCCCUACCCCUAUAAUUGGCCGCGUUUUUCACUUUGAUCCUUGACCUCUGAUUUUCACAAUUAAGCCCUUAAUUGAUCAAUAAACUUCCAAUUUCUUCAAUUAAGCCCCUGAAACAAUUCCAAACAGCCCCCUCUAUCUUUGCGCCUUCUCCAAAUUGGUCCCUGGUUUCGGAUUUUUCACAAUUAAGUCCCUAAUUGGCCAUUAAACUUCAAUAUUUAUGCAAUUAAGCCCCUGAUUUGACCCAAUAAAUUCCUAAAAAAUAUAUUUUGACCCCAGAACUUAAAUUUCUUCAAAUUAAAGCCCAAAUUGACUUAAAAAUCAAUUUUUCUUGCAAUCAAAUCUUCCAUAAAUUCAAAUAAAAAUCCAAUUAAGUCCAUAAAAAUCCAAAUUUGGGUUUUUCUCCUCAAAAUUCAAAUUUUCCUUCUCAAUAGGGCUUUCAUCCUUCAAGAAUAUACUGUCAAAAAUUCAAUCCUUGUAUUUUUAAAUUCCUUGACCAAUUUUCUGACUGUUUUCCGAGCGCUUCUACCUCCUGUUAUUUUUCUAACCUCUUUUGGCUAUUUAUUUUAUUUUUCAUGGGGACCCAAAAAUGGGUUACAACAACCGAUAUGCAGAUGUAAAUGUUCUCAUGUACCCAUCUCGUAGAAAAAACGCAUCCGAGUAAAUAGAAUUUUUUUUUCUUUUUUUUUAGAUGAACAUGACUUUCUUAAGCUCAUUGUAGUAUAUAGGAUUUUUUUUAAAAUGAAAAAAUAGAAAUAUUAUUCGCAUCCGAUUAAAUAUCUCCACCGAUAUAAUUCCAUUGAAAGUUGCGUCAUGUAUUAAUCUAAGGUCCAUUGUUCAUUAAUUAAUCGGUGGUUGCGUUUUAACACUUGAGAUUUAUUUUUUAUGCAUAAACAUUUAAUUUAUUUUUUUGCAAACUAAAUUGAAAUUAAAGCAUAUUAAUUAUCCAUUCCCAAGCUUACAGGGCAAUGGUCUCAUGGACCCAUCUCGUAGAAAAAACGCUUGAUAGCAAUGGUUUCGUGGACCAUCCCACCAGCCUAUAUCGUGGAAAAAAAUGCAGAUGGCAAUACAUGGUCUCACAGUCCCAUUUCACACUGCAAAUUGCUAUUCAUCUUACUUGUUGAUUGUGUUACAUAAAAAUAGACUGACAAGUACUUUAAAAAAAAAAAAAAAGACUUGUUGUCAUGACAAUGACAAGAAGAAUUUUAAAAAUAAUAUUAUUUGAGGUUCAUUUUAUCAACGAUACUCUUUGAUUUUGUCAUCACAAUCAAAAUUAAGGCAUGAUUUUUGAAGAUUUUAGAUAAAGAUGAUAAUUUUGAGUUAUGGUUUGUUUAAAUAAUGAAUUUGAGUUAUAAAUCUUGAUAUAUUAAUAAGUGAUCUGUGUGUAUUUAAAAUUAAAGUGCAUAAAUUUAAUAUUGAAAUUUAAUUAAAGUCUCUCUUACAAUCCAAAAUUUAUUUUUAAUUAAAGUGCAUAAAAUAAACAUGGUUAAAGUUCUUUCUUUCUCUUUCUCUUUCUCUCUGUCUCUGUGUAUGUUAGAUGGAGUUUGCAUUAGAUAAUCAAUAAUAUUGUAUAUAUUGUUUUUGGAGAAGUAACUCAUUUUCACACCCUUGGUGUAGUUUUCCAUUCAUUUUCACACCCCAGUUGCCACCCUGCUUUUCUUUUCAUUCACGCACACAGAUAGUGCAUCAAAGCACUACGACAAUAGUUGACUCCCAGUCAAUACGGUCAAGAUAAGGUAAUCAAAAACUAAAUUUACUUUUACUACUAUUUCAAUUUUAAAAAAAUAUUUUUCUUUUGUUUAAUGCAUUAAUUUCAAGAAAUAUUUUUAUUUUUUUGUAAUUUGAAUACUUGCUCUUAUGAUUUUUUAUCAAUAAAGUCUCUAUAUUAGUUUUGUUGCUAGAAUACAAAGAACACAAUUAAUAGUAUUUUAUUUUUAAUUUUUUUCAAGGCCUAAAUUGUACACACGUAAUUUCUAUAAAGAAAGUAGCAAGUCUUCUAUAUCCAUCAUCGUCAUGUACCUAGCAUUAACUUUUAUUCAUGUCUUUUCCAAAAAAAAAAAACUUGACUUUGGAUCAAUGUUUUAAGAAGGAAUAUAAGUUUCGGUUAAUUACUUAAUUUCAAAUUUUUUUUGUACUCUAUGUUUUCGAUGAACAUCACUUUCUUAAGCCAGUUGUAGUAUAUAGAAAUUUCUUCUAACAUUUUAGAAAUAUAAUUCACAUCUGAAUUGAUAAAUUCACAAAUUAAUAUAAUAGGUUUUAAUAUUUAUUUUUAAUAUAUAUUUCGAAUUUAAUAUUAAUAGUUAUAAAGUUUAUUUAGUUAAUAAAAAUUGUUCCACUUUUGUUAUAUCACAUUCCUUUUAAAUUAUUGUAAAGUUUAUUUAUUUUGAAUUUAAUAUAUAAUUUUUUUUGGAAUAAAUAAACUUUAUUUUUUAAAAUAAAAAAACUAUUUUCAAAUAAUAUUUCAAAUAUAUGAAGCUUGUCAUAUUAUUACUAUUUUUUAUUUUAUUCAAUCAAUUUAUAAUAUGUGUCUAUUUUUAUUAUUGUUUGAUCGAAUUAAAAAAUUAUUUUAAUUAGAAAAUUUAAAAAAUGCAAUUGCGUAAAUGUCAUGUCUUGUAAAAUUAAAUAUUUUGAUCUACACAUGUCUCUUGAUUUUUUUACUUUUUAUUUUGAGUCAUCGUUUAUGGUUUUUUUUUUUCACUUAUUAACACACAUAAUUCUCGAUUUAUUUAACAAUAUUUGUGUAUAAGUUUUUUAAUUUUCACUUAAAAUUUUUUUAAAUAAAAACUUUAUUGAAGAAAUCAAUAUAUAAUUUUUUUUAAUUAAAAUAAUUGAACUUGUGGUGAAGGUGUGGUCAAAUAACUAAAAAUAGGUGGCACUCAAAGGUUCAUAUACCUUAUCUUCCAAGCAAGAAGAGACAAGAAAAGCAGUAGAUGAUGUUCUUUUCUCCGACAAUAAAUGGAUGAAGAGAUAAAUAUCAAAGACUAUUAUAUUAAUCGUUCAUACCCCCCCCCACCCCCACCCCACGAUCUCUUAAAUGCAAAACAAUUUGGAAUAGUUGAUAAAUCACUUUUGGUAAUUUCACAUCAAAAACAUCUCACCCACCUUAGCCCAUGUCAAAUCCUUCAUCCCAUUAUGCCCUUGCCCAGACUUGCCCUCGGGGUAAAUUCUAAAACUUGGGGCAUCUUUUAUAUGGAAAUUUAGAAUUAUAACUUGGUGUUUGUCCAUGUAUAUACAUUUUUAAACGUUAAGGAGCACUUUUAUUACGAAAAAGAAAUGGCCCAGUAUAUAUUACUAAAAAAACUCAAAUUUCACAUUGAAAAAAUAAAAUAUUCUUUUAAUGUUUAUAUAAUAAACUUUAAAAAUAAUUAAUAACCAACCAAAAACAUAUAUAAAAAAGAGAGGUUGGAAAAAAAAAACAUUUAACAAAAAAAAUGAGUCUCAACUAGGUUUUCUUGAAUUGUUUGGAUUACGGGUUAACGAGUCAAAAAUAUAUAUAUAUAAAAUGAGAGGUUUCAAUAAAAUAAAAACAUUUUCAAGUCUUUUAUAUGUCAUGUGUAGCUAAGGGACCCAUCCUUUGUAUAAAAAAUGAUUUGACGGUGCUUGGAUUGGGUGUAUGCCUACGAACUUGGUUUUCUAAACAGACCAUGAGCUUUAUUUUUUAUUUUUUCUAUGUAGUGUUAGUUUUUAAAAUCUUAGUAUAUUAUACAAUUGGAUUUAUUUUGAUGUUUCUCACACGUGUAUUAAUUAUUUAUUAAAUUCUUUAAUAGUUAGAAAAUACAAAGAGUUAGUGACACUUACAGAGCAUUUUGUAUCUUGUUUUUUCUAAUUAAAAACUUGUGUGGAUUUAUUUAUUUAUUUAUUAAUUUGAAUACUUGCUUUUAAUUAUGAUUUUUUUUAUCAAUCAAGUUUCUAUAUUAGUUUUGUUGUCAGAAUGCAAAUAACACGGUUAAUAGUAUUUUAUUUUUAAUUUUUUCAAGGCCUAAAUUUUCCACACGUAAUUUCCAUUAAAAAACGUAGCCAGUCUUCUUUAUCCAUCAUCGUCAUGUGCAUAUCAUUAACCUUUUAUUCAUAUUUUUUCCAUAAAUAAAUAAACUUAACUUGGGGUCAACGUUUCAAGAAGGAAUAUAAGUUUCGGUUAAUUACUUAGUUUUUUCCAAAAUGUUCCACUUUUGUUAUAUCUCUAUUACUUUUCCUUUUAAAGAGGUUAUGUACAGCCCUUGUAUAUAAAAGUCUUUAGUAUAGAUGAAUUUUAUUUUUAAAAAUAAAAAAAAAAUUAUUUUAAAAAAUUAUUUUUAAUAUGUUCAACAUUGCAUAUUAUUUUUUCUCCUUUUAUUUUGUUCAAUUAAUUUAUAACGUGUAUGUUGUUUUUAUUAUCAUUUAAUCGAAUAAAAAAAUUAUUUUAAUUUGAAUUUUUAGAAAAUACAAUUGCGUAAAUGUCAUGUCUUGUGAAAUUAAAUAUUUUGAUCUACACAUGUCUCUCGAUUUUUUUAGUUUUUAUUUUGAGUCAUCAUUUAUGUUUUUUAUUUAUUUAUUAACACACAUAAUUCUCGAUUUAUUUGACAAUAUUUGUAUAUAAAUUUUUUAAUAUCCACUUAAUUUUUUUCAAAUUAAAAAUAUAUUAAAGAAAUCUAUAUAUAAUUUUUUUAAUUAAACAAAUUUAACUUGCGAUGAAGCUUUGAUCGAAUAACUAAGUCCAUGUACUCAAAUGAGUGGCACUCGAAAGUUCACAUACCUUAUCUUCCAAGCAAGAAGAGACAAGAAAAGCAGUAGGUGAUGUUCUUUUCUCUGGCUGUAAAUGGAUGAAGGGAUUAAUACCAAAAACAUGGACAAAAUUUGAUGUGGACCCGCACCACUUUGAUUAUUCUUCAUUUUCUUCACUCUUCGUGUGUUUCAUUACUUGAUGAUUCAAAAGUUAUCUAUUUAAAAAAAUUAAAAUUUUUAAAAUAUUUUACAAUAUGGUUACAAUAUUUUUUUCUUAAGAAAAUAAAUUGAUGUCAUGUGUUAAUAACAUUUAUGGAUUUUUUCCAAUCAAAUUUAUUUUAAUUAAAAGGCUUCCUAUCAAGAACAUCAUUCCUAGUUAAAACAAAGUUUUUCCACGAACCCAUCUUGUGGAAAAAAUGCAUGAUGGUUGGAAGAGGAUGUCUCAUGGCCUCUCCUCAAGGAACAAUGCUUGAUGGCAACGGUCUCAGGGACCAAUAUGUAGAUGGAAAUGUUCUCAUGGACCCAUCUCGUAUAAAAAACGCAUCCGACUAAUUAGAAUUUUUUCCGUUUUUUAGAUGAACAUGACUUUCUUAAGCUCAUUGUAGUAUAUAUAACUUUUUUAAAAUAAAAAAAUAGAAAUAUUCGCAUCCGAUUAAAUACCUCCACAUAUAUAAUUCCAUUAAAAGUCAUGUCAUGUAUUAAUCUAAGUUUCAUUAUCCAUUAAUUAAUCGGUGGUUGCAUUUUAACACUUGAGAUUUAUUUUUUAUGCAUAAGCAUUUAAUUUAUUUUUUUGCAAAUUAAAUUGAAAUUAAAGCAUAUUAAUUAUCCAUUCCCAAGCUUACGGGGCAAUGGUCUCAUGGACCGAUCUCGUAGAAAAAACGCUUGAUAGUAAUGGUCUCGUGGACUAUCCCACCGGCCUAUAUCAUGGAAAAAAAUGCAGAUGGCAAUACAUAGUCUCACAGACCCGUGCAAAUUGUUAUCCAUCUUACUUGUUGAUUGUGUUACAUAAAAAUAGACUGACAAGUACUUUAGAAAGAAAAAGAAGAAGAUUUGUUGUCAUGACAAUAACAAGAAGUAUUUUAAAAAUAAUAUUAUAUGUGGUUCAUUUUAUCAACGAUACUCUUUGAUUUUGUCAUCACAAUCAAAAUUAAGGCAUGAUUUUUGAAGAUUUUAGGUAAAGAUGAUAAUUUUGAGUUAUGGUUUGUUUAAAUAAUGAAUUUGAGUUAUAAAUCUUGAUAUAUUAAUAAGUGAUAUGUGUGUAUUUAAAAUUAAAGUGCAUAAAUUUAAUAUUAAAAUUUAUUUAAAGUCUCUCUUACAAUCCAAAAUUUAUUUUUAAUUAAAGUGCAUAAAAUAAACAUAGUUAAAGUUCUUUCUUUCUCUUCCUCUCUGUCUCUGUGUAUGUUAGACGGAGUUUGCAUUAGAUAAUCAGUAAUAUUGUAUAUAUUCUUUUUGGAGAAGUAACUCAUUUUCACACCCUUGUUGUAGUUUUCCAUUCAUUUUCACACCCCAGUUGCCACCUGCUUUUCUUUCCAUUCACGCACACAGAUAGUGCAUCAAAGCACUACGACAAUAGUUGACUCCCAGUCAAUACGAUCAAGAUAAGGUAAUCAAAAACUAAUUUUACUUUUACUACUAUUUUAAUUUUUAAAAAAUAUUUUUAUAUUGUUUAAUGCAUUAAUUUCAAGAAAUAAAUUCCUUUUAUCUUAAAAUAUGAACUUGAAAAACCAAAUGUAUUUUAUAAUGAGGGAGAAAACUAGAAAAAAUGAUUAGCCUUCUCAUUGUAGUAAUAUAAAUCGUAUAUCUUUGACUCGAUUGAGUUGAAAUGUAAUAAAAACAAGUCAAGAAUACCUUUCCUAACAUAAAAACAAAAGUGUGUGUGUUUUUUAUUUGAAGUUUUUGUAUAUAAUACUAUAGCCACACAAUCCACAGGGAUAAGAUUUAUAAUUAUUCCGUGUUUAUUAUUAUUGAUAAUUUAUGUAUUUAAUUAUAUAUAUAUAUAUAUAUAUAUAUAUAUAUGAUAGUGAGAUGACACCAUGCAAGUAGGCUGCAAGUAGGCUACUAAAUGAUUCUAAAUUAUGACAAGAUAAGUACAAUUAUAAAGCUAAAAAGAUCUUACGCGGAAUCAUACACGAAUGUUCGAUAAUACUACAACAAUUUUUAUUUUUUAUUUUUUCAUAAAUUAGAUAAUUAGUAUGCAAAAUAUAAUUAAAUGCAAAUAGACUAAGUGCUAAACAAUAAAAUAAAAUAAUAUUCAAAGGUUUCCGUAGUGAAGUUGUGGUCAAAUAUCUAGUCUAUGUACUAAAAUGAGUGGCACUCAAAGAUUCAUAUACCUUAUUUUCUAGGCAAAAAGAGCUAAGGAAAGCAGUAAGUGAUGUUCUUUUCUUUGGUUGUAAAUGGAUGAAGAGAUUAAUACCAAAAACAUGGACAAAAAUUUAUGUGGACCCACACCAGUUUGAUUAUUCUUCUCUUUCUUCACUUUUUCUGUGUUUCACUACUUGAUGAUUCAUAAGUUAUCUAUUUAAAAAAAAAUUAAUUUAUUCAGUUUUUUAAAUUAAAAUAAAAUAUACCUACCAUUCUUAGAUGUGACAUAAUGAAAUUAAAAACCAUAGCUUUUAGAGCCCCAAGUGCACAGCCCCAUCUCGUGGAAAAAAUUGCUUGAUGACAAUGGUAUCACUAACCCAUCAUCUAGUGGUGGAUAAUUUGUUUCAUGUCCUCUCCAUCAAAAUCCUUUUUGUUUUGAAAAGGAAUAUAUAUAUAUAUAUUAGUUUUCAAGAAACAUACCACAAGAUUUAAAAAUAUUUUAUAUUUCAUUAAAAUGAAUAAAUAAAUUACUUAUAUGGUUACAAUAUUUUUUUUCUUAAGAAAAUAAAUUGAUUUCAUGUGUUAAUAACAUUUAAGGAUAUUUUCCAAUCAAAUUUAUUUUAAUUAAAACGUUUGCAAUCAAUAACAACAUUCCCAAUUAAACCAAAGUUUUUCCACGAACCCAUCUCGUGGAAACAAUGCAUGAUGGUUGGAAGAGGAUGUCUCACAGCCUCUCUUCGAGGAAAAAUACAUGAUGGCAACGGUCUCAAGGAAAUGGUCUCACGAACUCAUUAAUGCAUUUAUAGUGAUAUUUUUAUUGUUAGAAACAUACAAUAGCUUAGGGAAUUUUAUCAAGGAACAAAGAUAUUUUCAGAGAAUAACAUUUAUAAUGAUACUUUUAUGCCAUUCAAUUUUUUCUUCUUUUUAGUCUAUGAUCCUGAUAAACAUGACUUUCUUAAGUUAGUUGUAGCAUAUAGAAUUUUUUUUAAUAAAAAAAAUAGAAAUAUAAUUCGCAUAUGAGUAAAUACCUUCACAAAUUAAUAUAAUAGGUUUUAAUAUUUACUUUUAAUAUUUAUAAAAUGAAAAAUAUUAAGAGUUGAUUAAUUUGUAUAGCUCCAUUUGUAUAUCAUUCUAUUUUUAUUUUCUUGCAAAGAAAAACCUCGUUUUGCGUAACUGUUCCUAUGUCUUUUUAUUAUUGAUGUAUGUUUGACAUUUUUAAUAUCUUAGAAGAGCACACAUAAACGUUUACGAGGAUUCCAUGGGAGGCUACUGAUUUUUGCUCUCCAUGAGAAGAGCAUCAUGGAACUUCUAACUGAGCAUUGAAUGUCAUAAUGAGAAAGAUUGGCAGUUGCACACCCAAGAGAAUGCUUUUUUUAUCUUUCUUUUUUUUCCCAAGAUAAGGUAAUUAGCUGUUGUGUGUUUUUACUUUUAGCAUUCUUUUUAUUAUUAUUAUUAACGUGAGUGUCUGGACAGCUUGCGCGCAACUUGACUAAUCCCACAAGCUCUAAAGUUAACGAUUAUGUAAGUUUCUAGUGGCUUUGAGGUUUAUAAAACUUGAACCGGUAACUUUUAGAAAGCAAAUCUAGAACUUGAUUAAUUGAGUACACCCUCAGAAUUGCUUUUAACAAUUUUUUAGAUUGUCUUGUGGUGGUACUCCAAGAUUCCGGAGGACCACCUGUAUGGAUAAGGAAAUCACUGCAUGGUUGUGUUUAAAAAUCAAAAUGGCAUACAACAAGUCAAGCAUCAAUUACUCAAGAUUUGUGGAAGAUAUGAUACAAGAGAUAAGAAAAUGAUUGCUAUUAUCCACAAUUUCUUUGCGGAGUUUCCAUUAGAUAAUCAAUAAUGUAUACAUAUUUUUUUGGAGAAGUAACUCAUUUUCACACCCUCAGAUGCCAAACAUUAACAUCCCUUUCUCUUCUCUUCUCUUCUCCUCUUUUCUUCUUUUCUUUUCUUGUUUUUUUAAUUAACAUAUUUUUAUGAAUUUGUUUAUCUUCUUAGCUUCACUAGCAACUACAUUAAGAUAAAAUUUUUAUUUUUUCUUCUUUUUUGUGUUCUUUUUCAUUAUAUUUGUUCUUUUAUUUAUUUAUUUUUUAUUUUUUUCUGUUCUUAAUAAUUUUAUAAAUGUUGAUGUAGGAUUUGUUUUUCACGUGAGAUCAAUUUUUAGUUGAUUUAUUUAUAGGAUUUUUAAAUAAAUUUUAAUUAUUUAAUUAUUUUUCUAGUUUUGUUAAAUAGAUUUUUUUUUUAAAUUUUUUUUUUAAAUAGUCACUGACAGAAUUGCAUACGGUAUGUUUGUCGAUUACAUGACAAGCUUCCCGAGGAAAUUACCAAUGAAAUGAAGUAAAUAAAUUUUUUUUAGCCUGUUUUACUUAUUAGUAAAUCUAUCAGUGAUAAUAUUUUUUUAUUGCUAACAAACAAAAAAUUACCAAUAAAAAAUUCAUGAAUGGAACAUUUCUGUUUGUGAUCCCAUCAAUAAUUAAUUUACCUAGAAAAUUAAAUAAUAAAUCAAGAGGGUGAGCCUUUCCUUAACGAAUAUCCUCAAUGGCCUCUGGGGUCGAACCAAAUCCUGUGGCCACGAUUUAUUGUUAGCACGUGUUUGCAAUUUGCAACAUAUAUUUUGAUGAGCUACUUGUAGAGUAAGGUGCUGUUUUUGUUUCUAGCUUUAGGUGAUUGCACCAAACAUGGACUGAACAAAAGGGACAUCCAUUGGUGGAGAAAUUGGUUCCAGUUCCUUUUGAUACAUUUAACCAGUUUUGUAUUCUUGCUCACUUUUCAAUUUGGUUUCGGUAUCGUGUUUUGUUAUUAUUACUUACUGCUGCUGUUUUGAAUUUACUACAACAAUUUUUUUAUUUUAUUUUAUUUAUAUAAAUUGGAUAAUUAGUAACCAAAAUAUAAUUAAAUGCAAAUAUACUAAGUGCUAAACAAUAAAUUAAAAUAGUAUUCAAAUCCUAGAAUAUUCCAAAAAAAAUAUAUAUAUAUUCAAAUCUCAAAACAUGAAACCCUAAAUUAUUACGAGAGAAGUAUAAUUAUAAAGUCAUGAAAACAAUCUUACGAAUGUCUACAAUAUUUUUAUUUAUUUAUUUAUUUUAUAAAUUGAAUAAUUAGUAACCAAAAUAUAAUUAAAUACAAAUAGACUAAAGGUUGAACUGAACAAUAAAAUAAAAGCCGAACUGCACAAGAUAAUAUUCAAAUCUAUAUUAUCAACAAACACACCAUAAAGGCCGAAGUGUCAGACUUUGUCACUUUUAGGUUAAUUCCGUUGGAUCAUGUUGAAUUGUCAACAAUGGUGCGAGGUACUCUAGGAUACUUAAACUUUAGUACUUGCACACAAGCCAACUGACGGACAAAAGUGAUGUUUACAGUUUUGGAGUGGUUCUUGUGGAACUACUAACUGGGAUCGAUGAAGGCAAUUUCCUUCGAUAAGCUUGAGGGCCUUUAAGUGCUAAAUAAUAAAAUAAAAUAAUAUUCAAAUCCAAGAAUAUUCCAAAAAAAUAAUAUUCAAAUCCAAGAAUAUUCCAAAAAGAAAUAAAAUAUAUAUUCAAAUCUCCAAACAUGAACCUGCACACAAGAUAUGCAGAUAAAGUCAAGGAAAUUAAAUGGCCAAAGUGUAGUAUAAAUAGGACCUCUAUGGUUGCCCAAAGGCACAUAACAAACAACAAUAUUCUACGUAGUAGUUCAUAGAAUAUUAUCUAAGAUGAUGAUGAAAAGAAUUGGGGCUUGGAUGCUGCUAGCAUUAUUGACUCUGGUUGGCGAAUGGGCUGGUCGUUGUUAUGGAUGUUUGGAGGAGGAGAGGGUUGGUCUCUUGGAGAUCCAAUCUUUGAUCGACCCAGAUGGCCUUUACUCGAGAGAUUGGGUGGACGGUAGUAAUUGUUGUGAGUGGGGGUGGAUCGAGUGUGAUAACACUACAAGGCGAGUGAUCCAACUCUCUCUUGGCGAAGUAAGGGAUUUCCGCUUGGGCGAUUGGGUUCUCAACGCAUCGUUGUUUCAGCCUUUUAAAGAAUUGCAAAGUCUUGAAUUGGAAGAUACUGGAUUGGUUGGUUGCAUGGAGAAUGAAGGUUAGUUCAAUGUUUCUGCACUUAAUUAUAAUCAUAAAAUAAAUGAAGGUUGGUUGGUGUUUAAUGUCAAUUAUCUUGCUUUGAUGAUUCUCUUCCAGGCUUCGAAGUCCUAUCAUCAAAACUGAGGGAACUUGACCUAUAUUAUAACCGAUUUAAUAAUGAUAAAAGCAUUUUGUCAUGUUUCAAUGGUAACCUUUCCACUCUCAAGUCUUUGGAUCUAUCAUAUAAUCAGUUGACAGAUGGAUCAGGUAGCUUCUAUGGUAACCUUUUAAUUAUUUAGCUUCGAAACCUUUUCUGUUCUUCUUCCAAUAUGCUUUUGAGGAACAUCAUGCAGGUCUAAAAGUCUUGUCAUCAAGGUUGAAAAAGCUGGAGAACCUUGAUCUAAGUGACAAUCAAUACAACGAUAGCAUUUUUCCAUCUCUUACUGGAUUUUCAUCCCUCAAGUCUUUGGAUCUAUCGGCUAAUGAGUUGACAGGAUCAGGUAUAACACACAGUUUCUACCUAAAUGCUUCACAUGACAUUCUCUUAAUUAUAUUGUUUCCUUAUCAACAAAAAUGAGGACUUUAUAUCUAUUUAAUAAAAACUAUCAACAAAACUCUCUAAUACAAAUCACUAGACAGCCAACGAGAGACUGCCAAUUUCUUUAUUAGAAAAACUCUUGAACUGUUUUAUCAAUGAAGACCACAACAUAAAACCCACAUAUUUGAUAUUUAAUUCUUGUUUGUAGCCAUUUAUUAUUUCCUCUCUUUUUAAUUAUGGUUUUAUAUUAUUUUGGACCUUUUUUAAAUCACAAUAUUAUUCAGUAGUGGAGGAUAUAUUGCCUUAUGGUCGUGGUGAAUGGUGAAAUAUUUGGACUUUGAAAAAUAAAACGUGAAAAAGUUUAUAGUUCUUUAAUGCCAUGGAUAAAAUUGGGAAACUUGCUAGAAAACAGAGGCAGUUAGGAAAAAAUUAUAAUGACUAAAUUAGUAACAGCUAAGCAUCUUACUAACUAAAUAGAUAGAGGAAUUAAGUUAUGAUUAUUAUUCUUGUUUAACUAUUAUUAUUCUUGUUUUAAUUACCGAUGAGGUCUUAAUUACAAGUUUCUUUAUCAUAACUUAGCUUCCAUCUUUUUAUGUAUAAUUUGAGAAUCAUAUAUCAAUUGAACAACAGCAUCUCAUCAAUUCUAAUUAUCUUUAGUUUCUAUAUAUUAUGCAUAUCGUGAGCUCAUAAUUAUGACUUACUCUUAGAAACAACUCUCUUGCAGGUUUUGAGAUCAUAUCAUCACAUUUGGAGAAACUCGAGAACCUGGACCUCAGCUAUAAUAUAUUCAACGACAGCAUUUUCUCACAUCUGCGUGGACUUUCUUCUCUCAAGUCUUUACAUUUAUCAGGCAAUAUGUUGCUAGGAUCAACAACUGUAAAUGGUAAAGUUGUGAAAUCUCUGGAUUUUUCAGGCAAUUUGUAGUUUAUAUCCAAAAAUCAUCUCACUAUAAAAGUACCAGUUCUUUAUCAUAGAUUUAAGAACUCGACCAAGAUAACACUUAAUUUCACUACUUACUUGAUUGCAUGUUUUCAAUUCUACACAUCAUAGGUUCAAGAAAGCUAGACUUCCUGCAGUCAUUGCCAUCCCUGAAGACCCUUUCUCUCAAGGAUACUAAUUUAAGUCAAGGUUAAUCAUAGUUUAGUUUCUUAAAAUCAUAAUUAAGAAUAUUGAAUGGAAUGGCCAUUCUGUACCACCACUAUUUUCAUCAUAUCUUUUUUCUUCUUCUUCUUCUUUUCACAGGGACUUUCUUCAAUUCUAGCACCCUUGAAGAAUUGCAUCUAGAUAAUACUUCUCUCCCAAUAAACUUUCUCCAGAACAUUGGAGCAUUGCCUACUCUUAAAGUUUUGUCUGUUGCUGAAUGUGACCUCCAUGGCACCUUACCCGCUCAAGGUAAAUUAACAACUCUCCAUUCGCCUAUAAUUACAUCAUUAAUAAAAGAUUCUUUCAACAUUGUUUUGACUGUUUCGAGAUAAAUUAUACAGGUUGGUGUGAAUUGAAGAAUCUGAAGCAGUUAGAUCUCGCUGAAAAUAAUUUAGGAGGUUCACUCCCAGAUUAUUUGGGGAACUUGUCAUCUCUACAACUAUUAGAUGUUUCUGGUAACCAGUUUACUGGAAAUAUUGCCUCUAGUCCUCUUACCAACCUCGUAUCCCUUGAAUUCCUCUCACUAUCAAAUAACCUCUUUGAAGUUCCCAUUUCAAUGAAGCCUUUUAUGAACCACUCAAGCCUCAAGUUCUUCACCAGUGAGAACAACAGACUUGUAACAGAACCUCCAACCUUUGAUAAUUUGAUUCCAAAGUUCCAACUAGUCUUUUUCCGCUUGUCAAAAACAACGGAAGCACUUAAUGUAGAAAUUCCUAACUUCCUCUAUAACCAAUACGACUUAAGAGUCCUUGAUCUCUCCCACAACAACAUCACCGGAAUGUUUCCAUCGUGGUUGCUUAAGAACAAUACACAAAUGGAGAAACUAUAUCUGAGCGAGAACUCCUUUGUUGGUACUUUGCAAUUGCUAGAUCACCCAUAUCCGAAUAUGACCGAAUUAGAUAUAUCCAACAACAACAUGAACGGUCAAAUUCCAAAAGAUAUUUGUUUGAUCUUUCCAAAUAUGUUGAUCUUAUGGAUGGCUAAGAAUAGAUUCACAGGUUAUAUUCCUUCUUGUUUAGAAAAUAUUAGCUCUCUUUCAUUUUUAGAUUUAUCCAACAAUCAAUUGUCUACAGUAAAACUAGAACAACUAAAAACAAUAGCGGUUCUCAAGCUAUCAAACAACAAUUUGGGUGGGCAAUUACCGACCUCGGUGUUCAAUUCUUCUAGCCUGGCUUUUCUUUACCUACGUGGUAACAACUUUUGGGGUCAGAUAUCAGAUUUUCCAUUAUAUGGGUGGAAACCAUGGAUUGUAUUGGAUUUGAGUAACAAUCAAUUUUCAGGCAUGCUUCCAAGGUGGUUCGCCAAUUAUACGAGCCUUAACUCAAUUGAUUUGUCCAAAAAUCAUUUUAAGGGUCCGAUCCCAAGAGACUUUUGUAGGCUUGACUGGCUUCAAUAUUUGGACUUUUCUGAGAACAACUUGUCUGGAAAUAUACCAUCUUGUUUCAGUUCACCAAUUCUAAUCCAUGUGCAUCUAUCCGAAAAUAGAUUGAGCGGUCCUUUAACAUAUGGAUUUUAUAACAGCUCUUUCCUGGUUACGAUGGAUCUUCGAGAUAACAGCUUCAUCGACUCCAUUCCAAAUUGGAUUGGCAAUCUUUCAUCAUUGAGUGUUCUUCUUCUAAGGGAUAAUCACUUUGAUGGUGAGCUCCCUGUUCAGUUAUGCUUGUUAGAGCAAUUAAGCAUUUUGGAUGUUUCACAAAACCAGCUCUUUGGCCCACUACCCUCAUGUUUGGGCAAUCUUACUUCCAAGGAAAGUUCCCAUAAAGCGUUGGCGUAUCAAAGAGCUUAUUUUCCACUAGGGUCCAUAGAAAAAGCUUAUUACAAAAAAUGGGUCCACCACUAGUGGAUAGUAUUUCCAACUUGGAAAAUUAUGUUUGGCUUAACUUUACAGAAGAAGUGAUAGCAUUUACAACUAAAAAUAUGCAUUAUGGUUACAAGGGGAAAAUUCUCAACUACAUGUCUGGUAUUGAUCUCUCCAAUAACAACUUUGGAGGAGCAAUCCCACCAGAAUUUGGAAACUUAAGUGAGAUACUGUCAUUAAACUUGUCACACAACAAUCUCACUGGAUCUAUCCCUGCAACAUUCUCAAACCUAAAGCAUAUUGAGAGUUUGGAUCUUUCUUACAACAACUUGAAUGGUGCCAUCCCUCCACAACUUACUGAAAUUACCACACUGGAAGUUUUUAGUGUGGCGCACAAUAACUUGUCAGGCAAGACACCCGAGAGAAAAUUUCAGUUUGGGACCUUCGAUGCAAGCUGUUACAAAGGAAAUCCUUUCUUGUGUGGACCUCCAUUGCAAAACAAUUGUAGCGAGGAAGUGGUGCCAUCGCAGCCAAUGCCUAAUGAUGAACAAGGAGAUGAUGGUUUCAUAGACAUGGAGUUCUUCUACAUCAGUUUCGGUGUAUGUUACACAGUUGUGGUGAUGACAAUUGCAGCAGUUCUCUACAUCAAUCCAUAUUGGCGACGCAGGUGGUUGUACUUCAUCGAAGACUGCAUAGAUACUUGCUACUAUUUUGUGGUGGCUAGUUUUCGCAAGUUCUCCAACUUCAUAAGGUGAAUUUGUUACUGGGGAGAUGGGGAGACGGUCGUUUCUGGUUUGUCAUGAUUGUUUGUUUAGCUAUUGGGUGCUUAAUUUUGUAAUGUAUUGUCUCUGCAUCAAAUAUAUAAGUCGGACUUCUCAUUCCUGAACCAUUAGGAAGGGAGCUGAUUUGGAUUUGCCAUUGACUAUUUGUCCUGUAUGUCUAGCUAUUGGGUUCUUCAUUUGUAGUGUACUGUCUCUAAGCUCAACCUUUCUAUUUGAAUAGUUAUUUGGGCUAAAUAUAUAAGCUGGACUUGUCAUUCAUAAAUCAUUAGGAAGGGAACUGAUUUGGAUUGGUCAUUGACUCGGCUGUGAUUACUCUUUCAACUCUCAAGACUUGUCUGAAAAUAAAUUGCCAAAACCACUACUAAAGUAUAAACAAAAUAUUCUAUGCCUUUGUUUCAAGGGCGACCCCACCUCAGUUAUUCAAUCAAAGCAUUGAAAUCGGAGCAAGAAGAUCCACCUUCUUCAACAGCCUUCCUGGCCGUUUCUCCUAGCUUCUUUGCUCUGCUCCUCAUUUCCUCUGUUUCUUCACCCAUCAUAAUUUGAGUGAUUGCCUUCUCUACAGCUUCACUUUUAACAUGAUCUCCAUGCACUCUAAGCCAUUCCUCAACUCCAGUUUUUAAAACAUCAGUCACCAACUUUUCAUUAUAGAAUUGCUCCGCAAAUAUUGGUCUCCUAAGCACAAAAAAAUAAAAUUGUCCUUGUCAAACAUGCAGCUGUGACUUGAGACAUUCAGAAUUUCAACCUCAUUUUCUAUAAAAUUCAACAAUACUGGAUAUGGUCAUGAUUCAAUGGAAUAAUCCCCACUUAUUUUCUUGAGACCUUUUUCCAUUGAAAUCUUGCAAGACUGUGGCAUACAUGAACUCCAUCUAAUGAACAGUAAAUCAAAGAAAUUACCUUCUGAUAGAUCUCCUCUUGCCAAUCAGCGCCUUUUGCAUGUCCAGUCUGUGCUGUAGAAUCUAGGGAUGCUACAAAAAUUUCAAUGCAGACAACAAAAUGUUAGAAUUCAUGUAUUUUUGUGUGUUUUCCAUAUACAAGGGUAUUUCUGUAAUUUUAACACUAGCUGAAAGUUAUGAAAUAUUGCAAGUCUCAGUUUUAUUUUCCAUUUAGUAUUUAAUUAUUCCCAAAGUAUAGCGAGCUUCAUUAGGUUUUUCCUAUUCUAGAUAGGCUAUUAGUAUUUUCCUAUAUAGGAAUACAAGUCCUUUUUGUAUUAGGAACUUCAUCUAAAUGUUACGUAAUCAUAUAAAUGCAGAAUCAGAGGGUGAACAGCUGGUGCAAUGCACUGGAGGGUAUGAUGUGGUAACAAAUGCGUGUGUGAUUGCAAUGGUUUCAAUAGCAGUGGCAUUACUAAUGCCACAAGUGGCAGCAGUAGCACAUAAAGCUACCUAAAAGAGUAUUGCUGACUUGAACCAUUAUGAGAGGUGAACAGUUGGUGCACCGCACUGUAGGGCAUCGUGUGGUUACAAAUGCAUAUGUGAUUGCAAUAGUUCCAAUACCAGUGGCAUUUCUAAUGCCAUAAGGGGAAGCAGUGGCACAUAAAGCUACGAAAAAGAGCAUUACCUGGCAUUUGUCUCUGAGAAUUGACAAACAUAGUGGAGGGAAUCCCUUGUCCCAUUGAAUUCCCCAAUGAGUUCUGUGAAACACCAGGGAUACUCUGCAUGUUAGGAUUCUGGACAACAGUGUUGGGGAUAGUCUGGGUUACACCAGAGACAGGAGGCAGUGCCGCUUGUAAACCAGCAUAACUUUGAACUCCAUUAGAUGCCAUGCAAUUCUGCAUGUUCUGUGAUACCAACUGCUGAUGUGCUUGAGACUGAUCAGUGGACAAUAGGAUAGGGAGAAACAGCCCUUGAUUCUGAACUUCAGGGGGCAUACUAUGGGAUGCUGUUCAAGAUAAAAGGCAAAAGGGAAAAACAUGUCACAGAAAAAAAGAAGGCACUGAACAAGGAAGACAAAUGAAACAUCGGCAGUCCACACAUAAAGUUAUGAGCGAAAGAAUUGGGAUGGAUUUGAGUCAACCUGACAAUUUUCAGGGAUGGGGGAAGAAGAGGCGGCUGAAAACAAAAAAAUAAUAUGACAAUUUUCAGGGUGGGCGAAAGAAAAGGAGGAGGCAGAAAACAAAAACAAUCUGUAAUAUUCUUGCAUAACAUUCAUCAAUUACUCAACUUUUUGAUUAAAGCAUGCCAUACACAUAGAAAUAUGUUGCAAUAAAACGCAAAAGAGUUUGAUAACAAUGCGACAAACAAAACAAAAGGUAAGAUGUUUAGAAAUUCAAUGCUCGGCAGCAUUAUUAUAUAUGAAAAAAGGAUCAAAUACUUUCUCUCGGAAGAAAAGCAAGAAAGUGACGUCUUACCUCCUCAACAGGAAAAUCUUUAAAAUCUACCAUCUCAAUCAUAAAAUUUAAAAUACCAUGUAUCACAGUCCUUGUUGCUGAACAAGUUAAGGAUGAAACACUUCACAUGCAUUAAAGAAUUAGCAUCAUGGAGGUGAUCAUGAGAUUUUUCCAGCAAGGUGAUAUACAUAGCAAUAUGCAGCAAUAAAAUGUAAACGAGUUUGAUAACAAUGUGAGAAGAAAAACAAAAGGUAAGAUUAGAAAUUCAAUGCUCGGCUGCAUUAUAACCUGCUGGAUCCAUGGGGGCAGUGGGCAUGGCGUUUUGAGACCUAAUCUCCAUUGAAAGCAUCUCCAGAGAUAUUUUACGCAGAUAAUCAUACUGAAAUCAGAUAUUAAUAACAAAACAUUAGAUCUCAGAUCAAUCCAUGUUACAAGAGGAGGAAAAUGGAUAUAUGCUCUAUCAUUUCAUCUUUUGUGAGGAUAUACUUCUGUUUCCUCUCUUUUUAUUUAAUUAUUUAUGUAUUGAUUUGCUAUUUUCUUUUUGCACACUUCCCUUGUACUUGAACUUGUUCACUCUAAAUAAAACACUUGUCAAGAGAAUUAACAAAAAGAUGCGAACUCCCAAUCAGCCUUGCAUACAGAGUGAACGGUGAGGAAGUGUAAGCACACUACACACACAUUUGUACAUGCAUAAAUGCAUGUGUAUAUUCAUGUCAAGAGAAUAUCAUAAUUAUUGAACCUCGCAUUAGGCAAAUACCUGAUUGGUGGCGUAGUAUAAAUCUUUUACUCAAAAUGUAUGGCAAAUUUCUUGAGUUCUUGUAAUCCCUCCUGACCAGAAAGAAAAAGCUGCCUCUUUAUUGUCUCCAUUCUGCACAUGCAAAUCAUUACGUUUCAUUUUUAAUGACCAGGCAAGUAUAGAGAAGUUAGCAACAGUGAGCAAGAACCCUGAAUUCAUAAACCACACCAAUAUCAGAAAUGUGUGGAAUCAUAGCAAAAAGUAAAAACAAAUAAUGAGAUAAGCAAGAGUUGGUCAAGUAUUAUAAGCCAUCAAAAUACAUAGACAUCCUUUCCCUGUAUUAUUCCAGAGGUACAGAUUAUAGGAGUUUACUUGGCCACCCUUCUGUCUAAAAAUUCUAGCUCCGAGCUUCAUAUAUUAGUGACUUGGUUGCAAAGCAGGGGAGACUGUGAAAACAUUACAAUAGCAUUUACUCUGAGUGACUUCUAUGCAUGUUAAUUGACAAAGAAAAGAAGAGAAAUCCUUUCAAUAUAUGAAAAUGCAAUGAGUUAACCUUAUCUCACACUGCAAUAUAUACUCUACAGUAUUCAUUGACCAAUGCAAGUGCCAGCAGAAGCUGUCUAUAUGAUUUUGGAUGUAGAGAGGUCAACAAAACAUUCAACUUUAUGCUGAGAAUCUAGGAAACCAUCCACCAUUGUGGCUAAUUGAUUUUUGUCUACUGCUUUUCAACUUUAAGAUCACUAUCAUUUCAACCCUGUAGAAGUUAAAACAAAUAGAAGGCCCAAAUCCAACACCAUUCAUUUAAGUUCAGUUGCAACUCGAGUUUUAAAUUGAAACACGUAUGCUCAUAGCAAUAGAUUAACCUUGAAAUUAAAAGCGGAUCAAGCUUCAUGCAGCCAUCCAAGAGGUCAUCAUCAAAAGAAGAGAUUACACAAGAAAUUCCAACAAAAAUUACUUCCCAGCACUUUAUGUUCCCUCAAGUUUGCUUCUCGUGAGAAACACAUGAAAAGAUGAAACAAAAAAAAAAAAAAAGAGGUGUGUGAUACUUGAUGUUGCCUCAUGGCAAUCCUGCCGAUUUUAAUUAACCCUUUGUCAUUCUCCUUUUCUUUCAUAUAAAUAAAAAAUUUACUAUUUUGCAGCACUUGCACAUACAUUUUGUCGACUAUUCUUUUCCGUGAGUCAGGCCGCAAUUGAAUUCUCCAAUCACCCGUGUCCAUGACAGGUUCUCCGCCUGGGACAGUGGGCCAACCAAAAAGAAAAAAAUAAUAAUAUUGCAUGUUAGAAUAGACCCUAAAAAGAAAGUCAGGAACGGCAAGAAGAGCAAAAGCACAUCAAGAACAUGAAAAAUGGAAUAUCAGUUUAUUCAGACUAGAAUAGAUUUAAAAAGAACUUCCGUCUAAUAUCAUGUACUUUAUUAAAGAAUUCAGCCAGAUAUGGAUGCAUAACAAAUAUACAAAACCAUUCAGGUCAAGGUGCUAGGAUCCUGGGUAUUCGGCCAUUCAAAGCAAAGAAUCUUCAUGGUGCUUCUAAACCAAAGAAGCAUUCCCUUCUAAGCAAAUACUUACUGUCAAACCCCACUCCCCUUCCCCUCCUGUUCUUGUUAUUUACUUCUCUGAAAGAAUAAAUAUUGUAGGGAGCAAAUAGUGUAAAUAGAAAGAGGAAAAUACCACAUCCCCAAAAGAAUAAAGAUAUAAGAAGAAGGCAAAACAAAGUCAUAAAACGAGGCCUUUCAAUUCCCAAUGAAUAUCAGCAGACUAAAUACCACAGCACAAAUAGAAGAUGAAGAGGCCAGAAACACUAAUCCAUCCCUAAGAGAUUGUCUAGGAUGUUUUAGUCUAGGAAAAAGACAAAGAAAACAACGAGCAUUAACAAUGAAUAUUUCAAGUUAUCAUCAACUCUAAAGAGCAGACUGAUAAGAAUCAACUUCACAAAUUUACAGGCACAUCUUUCUUUGAAUAGACAACACAAUAACCCUGACCAUACUAAAUGCUCCACCCACGAGCUGAUUGCACCUUUCUUCGAGUUGCGUUCACGAGCAGCGAUUUCAUCGAUCCGAUUAUAUAUCUUUUUAAUUUACUUAUUAAAAUCGAAUUUAUCUCUCUGGAUAAGAAUUUCAGUUAAAUAAAUGAAAACCCAGACAUAAAUUUUAAAAAUUAAAAACAUGAUAGAAAAGGAAGCACCUGGUGGAGAUUUGAAGCCUUAUUGGUUGAGGCGGCGGCUUCCUAGAGUGGAGGAGGGAAAGAGAGAGGGCUCAGGUGGGGAGAGGUGAAGAAUGUCGGACCAAAGUGAACAGAGCUUGACAGAUGACUUUAUUCUUUUCCAAAUUCACUAACAAACUUAAAUAAUUGUAUUCUGGUGUUGCUUCACUGUUCAUAACUAACAAACUAAAAGAAUUAUAUAUAUAUAUAUAUAUAUAAAAAAAAAAAAAACUAUGAGUGCUCAUUAAAACACGGUGCACUGUGUGUGAAUCCAGUGGCUUCACAGUCUUUACCGCGCUCCGUCCCUGUUUUUCGCGUUUCUUCUCGCGCGGUGGGUGUUCCCGCACUUUCUUCUCGGCUGCUGAGGCUCCCUGGCGUCUUUUCAUCGACUUUUGUCUGGUGCAUGUUCAGAUUGAGGCGGUUUGGCUGGUGCUAGGCGCGCGAGGAGAUGUCAGCCGACGGGUAAUCACCUGCAUCGGCUGGGAUGGCUUCAUUGAAGCUGUCCUCUUGGUCUGUGGCGGGCCUUCUCAUUAAUGAAAAAAUUAUUCUGAGACAUUGUUUUUGUUUUUAUAAACUCGUUUCUAUUUUAUUUUUUUUUAUCAAAAUUUUUAUAGGAAACACCAUAUAAAUUCUGGUUCGCUGUUUGUUGUUCUUGGUUAUGUUAUCAAAAAUACAAUAUUAAGUUAAUUAAAAAAUGAUGUUACAAUUACAUUACUAGCAUCAAAGAGGCGAUGAUAAAUUGUUUUAAAGCUAGAAAAUUGAUCAUUAUCUCUAUCUAUUUUUUAUUUUCGUUAUUGAUUUGUAUGUAUGUUUUAUAUGCUGACAUAGAUUGCAAAAAAGUUGUUUAAUUUUAGUAGGAAAAGUAAAGUAUAUAUAGUUUCUGUUAAAUUCCAUGACUUGUUAAAUUAUUUGUUGUGUGCUAUCUUUAUACUUGUUGCAUUGAUUCUACGGGGAAAGAAAUUUUAUGUUGCAUGGUAUUUUCUUUGUUGUUGGAUUGAUAUGAAAAAAUAAAUAAAACAAAAGAUUGGGAAAAAAAAGUUGCAUAUUUGGAUAAUAAUUACCGGUGAAAUAAUAUAUUAUUGGUUAGUAAAAGAAUACAAUACUCAAUUACGAUUAAUACUUGAGGUGUGAUGUAAAUUUAUUAAAUCACGUUAAAAAUCGAGUUUACAAUCUCUCUUUUCUUAUCUAUUUACUUUAAGCAUUUUAAUUAUAUUGUUUAUUAUUAUAUUAUAUGUGUUUAGUAUGUUUAUUUGUAUUAUUUGACAUAAUUAGUGUAACACCUAAUUCAUUUCCAUUAGAUGUUAUUGUUGUUUUAAUCCUAGAAUAUCAUAAGUAUCAAUUAGAUUUGUUUUUAUCAUAACUUUAGAAAAGUGCAUAAUGUUUUCUUAUGUUGAUGUCAAAAGAAAAAUAUUUAUAAUUAUUUGUAUUGUUAUAGUUUCUAUUGAAAAUUACAUUGUAUCUCGUAGAAAAACAAAUAAAUAAAUACAGAAUUGCAAAGUUAAAUUGUUUUUUCACAAAAUUAGUGUGUUAAAUUUUUGUGAUUAAUUAUAAUUAAUAUUAUUUGAGAUUAUAUAAGUAUGAUAUAUAAUUGCAAAGUUAAUUGAGAUAAUAGAUUGAUAAACCUAUUGAUAAUAAUUUCAAUAUACUUGUUAAUGUGGUAAUCUUUGUGGUUUAGAUGGCAAACCUAAUUCCUCAACAUUCUUCAUAUGGGGUAAAAACCAAAAUAAUUUGAGUGGUGUGAACUUAAAUAUAAAGCAUGAUGAAACAAUAAUCCUUCCAUCAUCAAGCCUUGUUAUGACAGCAAAGCUCCACAAAACCAUGAUUUCUUAGCAUAUAAUUGAGAAUGUUGAUAAGAAAGCUACUAAGCUUGUUGUAGUUGUGUUAGAAGUAAACUUCAUGGAAAAUCCUAAUAGUGGUGGAUUGUUAUUGGAGUUAUCUAUCAUGUAUGUUUUGAUAUUUUUUUUAUUUUAGUAUGCAACAACUACUAAUGGAGAAUAAUUAUUCUUGGAUAACUCCUUAGUGAUUGUUUGAGAGUGUGGUAACGAUUGCGUUACAAAGUUUUUUCGUUUGAAAAUACAUUAAAAUAAUUUUUUUAAUUUAUUUUUGACAUUAGUAUAUCAAAACUAUUCAAGAACACAAAAAAAUUAAUUUGAAGCAAAAAUAAAUUUUUAAAAAAUAGCAAAACAACAAUUUAACUAUAAUGGCAAACAAGCCUUUAAUAUGCAAAAUCCUAGACCACAAAAAAGGUGAUGUUAAGGAUGACAUAGGAAAGAGUGGACUCUGAACAAUAUAGUUAAUGCUUCUAAUAUUCAAAAGAGUAUUGUUUGUGGCUCACUAUUAAGCAAAUACAAGUUUAAGUUAGUUUUCUAAUCUAAUAAAUGUAUCCUCACCAAGAGUGGGAUGGUUGUGGGGAAGGUAUAUUCAUGUAAUGAGUUAUUUAAGCUCAAUGUGAUGACUAUUGUACUAAAAAGCCAAAAAAAAAUAUGAACAUUCCUUCUUCUUUUUUUAAUUGGUUAGAGCCUUCUAAUCUAUUCUAUAGAUAGAAGUAGCGAGCCUCUAGAGUUAAUUCACAUUAAUAUUUGUGAUUUAAAUUUAUACCAAUUAAAGGUAAUAAAAAUUAUGUUAUUAAAGUUAGAAGUUAUUCUACUUCUUUUCUUUAUUUAAAGUUGUGUUUGUUAAAACUCUACCUGAAAUAUAAUUGUUUACUUUUAAACUAUAAAGAUGUAACCUUUUGUCUUAAAAGUUAUGUUAAAAUUAAAUAUUAGAAUUACCUAUAAAAAGAGAUAAUUCUGACGUGAUUUUGAUAAUGAAGAAAACUUCUAGUCUUUUUAAAACUCUUCUCUUUUAUAUUUUUUCAACCAAAAUUCUUACAAAGAGUAACAUAAAAAUUUUAGUUCGCCGUUUAUUCUUGGUUAUGCUAUCAAGAAUAAGAGAUUGAAUAAGCUUGAAAAAUAAUAUUAUAAUUACAUUGCUAGCACCAAAGAGCAAGUAAUAAAUUGUUUUAUAAUAAUUUAUCGUCAAUCUAUUUAUUUUAAUUUGUAGCUAUCCGUACAAUAUAGAUCUCAUAGACCUAUAAAAAUUCAAAAUGGUAUUGAGAUUUCUAAAAUUAUAAGUGAAUAUGCGGACAAUGAUAAAAAAUUAUUUUUUAUGGAUGUUAAAGCCAUGAAUAUUUUAUAUUAUACAUUGGACAAAAGUAAGUUUGAUAGAAUUAUAUUAUAUAACAAUGCUUAGAGAUAUAUAGAUUGCGUUCCAAGUAACUCAUAAAGAAACUAAUAAGUUAAAAAAUCUGAAAUAUGAAUUGUUCAAAAUGUUUGGUGACUUCAUCGCUAAAAUGUUUAUUAUUAAUAGUUUAUUAGUUUGGAUGUUUUUAGUAAUGCUGAAAUUAUAGAGAAUUGAUCAUCAAGUUGAUUUUUAUAUAUGCAUAGAAAUCAGAUCAUUAUAAAUUUAAUAAACUAUUUAAAGUGUUCCAAUGGAAAGAAAAUGGGUGUUGUGAAUUUGAGUCUGCAUUUUUCUCUACCUUCUUUUUGGUGUUUUUUGUUCGUCCGUUCCUGAAAAUUUACGCUCAGUUUUUGCCUUCUACCUGCUGCUUAGUUUAGGGUAUUAAAUUUCUUUGUUUCUUCGGAAGAUGCCUUACUCUUGGUUGAUUGCCUUUCUGUUUCCAAGAUAAAUAAGUGAAUUAGUUGCAAAACAGGGGAAUCUCUGUAAGAACAUUACAAUAGCAUUUACUCUGAGUAAGAAAACUUUUAUACAUGCACUGUAAUUGACAAUGAGUUAACUUUGUGGAUUCCGUAGCACCGACUACAUCGCAGGCCAUGCCUGAUAAUCAAAUUCAAGCUGUUCUGACUUCGGUUGUUGGAAAGCAAAGUUAACAUAAGUGAAAAAAAAUGUUUCUAUUCCAAUUCUUCUGUGUCAAUGCAUGGCUGUGGGGUAGUUGGGGGUGGGGGGGGGGUAAUUAGUGCAGAUGAUACAGUGACAAGCAAUGCUGAUGGGGAAAACAAAUUAAUCAAAAGCUCAGCUGUGGGGGUUUAUGAAUCAUGUGUGAGCAAAUAAAUCAGAAAAAAAUUACAAAGACAACUUACCUGCUGUAACUUGGUAGCAAUUCUCUGGUACAUUUCAUUUAUUUCAGGCAAAUACGUUUCCUUCAUAACUUUGAUCUAGGAAGUACAUAUAACCAGCAAAACAUUAUCAAUCAUAUGCUUGAUUUCUUCAGGUGGCAGAGUCAGAAAGCAACUUAAGCAAACUUGAGAGAAUUGAUAGAUAAAUAAAUAAAAUGGCAGAGGACAGCAUAUAUUGUUUGAGAUAAAAAUAGCAGAGUGGAAUCAAUGCUGAAAACUCAAUAGAGAAUAUAGUUAUUGAUUGCAUGCAAAGAUGCAAAGGAUUGUGUAGUUACCCCUUCAGACAAGAUUCAGGGAUUGGUCAAGUUCAGUUACUUUGUCUCACGGCAAACUACUCACCAUUGUUUUCUAUUGUUCUCACUCAAGUCAAUGGAUGUCACGACUUUGGUAAACACUUCUUAGCUUUAUAACUUUAGAUUUAUAAUCCUUAUAUCCUAAUUACAACCACUCCUAUUCCCGUUUUAGUACCCUCCCAGGCACAAAAAAAUUGACCUCAUCAAAUAUGCAGUUAUGAGUUGCAACUACAGCCAUUAAACGAUUCAGAAUAUCAACCUCGUUUUCUAUAAAAUUCAACAAUGCUGGACAUGGUCAUGAUUCAAUGGAUUAGGUCCACUUAUUUUCCUUUCUUCGAUUGUCACAUGUUUCAGAACAAAUUUGAUUGUAAUCUUGAAAAUAACUGUUCACUUAACCAAAUAUAACGAUGACUAUUCAGAAACAGUUCACUCUUGUUUUCAAGUCUGUCUAUUAUUGUAAGAAGUAUUGUCAAUUGGACUUAUUGGAAAUAAUAAAAUAAUAAUUCACCACACAAUAAAUGUAUGGAAAUACAGGGAAAAAAUUGAAAGGGAGAGAUUUGCAAUAGAAAAAAUUGUCGUGUCAGUACCAAGAAAAUAACCCUCUUGACCUAGAAAUCUGAAUAUUUACCUUUAAUCAUCUUAUCAGUAAUUUAUCGUUUCUUAGUUGCUGCAAUCAUGGAACUUACAAUGCUUCCUAACUAAUCACAACCAUAGCUGAAUAAAACUCCCUUGUACCAAAUUCCAGGAGACCUUUUCCAUUGAAAUCUUGCAAGACGAUGACAUACAUGAACAGUAAACUACAGAAAUUACCUUUUGGUAGAUCUCCUCUUGCCAAUCAGCACCAUUUGCAUGUCCAGUUUCUGCUGUAGAAUCUACACACACAUGUGUACAUGCAUAAAUCCACAAACUUAUGCAUGUGUAUAUUCAUGUCUAGAGAAUAUCGAAAUUAUUGAACCUAGCAUUAGCCGAAUACCUGAUUGGUGGCGGCAGUAUAAAUCUUUUCCUCAAACCGUACGGCAAUUUUCUUGAGUUCUUGUAAUCCCUCUUGACCAGAAAACGGAAGAUGCCUCUUUAAUGUCUCCAUUCUACACAUGUAAAACAUUACAUUUAAUUUUUAAUGACAAGGCAGGUAUAGAGAAGUUAGCAGCAGUGAGAAAGAACCGUGAACUCAUACACCACACCAAUAUCAGAAAUGUAUACUACGGAAUCAUUAGCAAAAAGUAAAAACAAAUAAUGAUAUAGCCGAGUGUCGAUCAAGUAAUAUAUGGCAUCAACAUACAGACAUCUAUUUUUACUUCCUUUCCCCGUAUUAUUCCAGAGGUACAGGGUAUACGAGUUCACUUGGCCACCCUUCUGUCUAAAAUUCUAGUUACGAGCUUCAUGGUUAAUUUUCUUGAACCGGAAGAACCUUCCAUUUAUGGCUAUGGCUAUGCUCCAAGAUAUACAAAUGAAUUAGUUGCAAACCAGGGGAACUUUGUGAAAACAUUACAAUAGAAUUUACUCUGAAUAAGAAAACCUUUAUACAUGCACUGUAAUUGACAAAGAAAAGAAGAGAAAUCCUUUUAAUUUAUGAAAAUGCAAUGAGGUAACCUUAUCUCAUGCUGCAAUAUAUACUCUACAGUGCUCAUUGGCUACUUUAAGUGCCAACAGUAGCUGUCUAUACGAAUUUGGAUGUAGAGAUAUCACCAAAACAUUCAACUUUAUACUGAGAAACUAGGAAACCAUGCACUAUUGUAGCUAAAUGAUUUUUGUCAGCUGCUUUUGUACUUUAAGAUCACUAUCAUUUCAACCCUGUAGAAGUUAAAGCAUAUAGAAGGCUCAAAUCCAACACUAUUCAUUUAAGUUCAGUUGCAACUCAAGGUUGAAAUUGAAACACCAAUGCUCAUAGCAAUAGAUUAACCUUGAAAUUUAAAGCGGACAAGCUUCAUGCAGUCAUCCUAGAGGUCAUCAUCAAAAGAAUAUGUUACACAAGAAGUUACUUCCCAGCACUUUUUAUUCCCUCAAGUCACUUCUUGUGAGAAACACGUGAAAAAUGAAAAAGACAAAAACAGAGGUGUAUGAUACUUGAGGUUGCCUCAUGGCAGUCCUGCUGAUUUUAAAUAACCUUUUUCCCUUCUCUUUUUCUUUCAUUUAAAUACAAGAUUUACUAUUUUGCAGCACUUGCACAUAUUAGGAAACAGAUACUUACAUUUUGUUGACUAUUCUUUGCCGUGAGUCAGGCUGCAAUCAAGUUCUCCAAUCACCUGUGUCCCUCACAGGUUCUCCACCUGGGGCAGUGGACCUCCAAUUAUUGGCAUCCAUGGGGUUUUGGCCAACCAAAAAAAUCACUUCUAUCACCAAAUUUUUUUUUAAUUAUAUUGCAUGUUAGAAUAGACCCUAAAAAGAAAGUCAGGAACAACAGAAAAGUAAGAGCACAUCAAAGUCAUGAAACUUGGAACAUCAGUUUAUUCAGACUUGAAUAGAUUUAAAAAGAACUUCCAUCUAAUAGCAUGUACUUUAUUAAAGAAUUCUACCAAAUAUGGAUGCAUAAAAUCUGAACAGCCAUAACAAAUAUACACGACCAUUCAAGGCAAGGUGCUAGGAUCUUGGGUAUUCAGGUAUACGGGUAUUAUAAGAGAUUUGGGCCUGAAUCUUCAUGGUGCUUCUAAAACCAAGGAAGCAAAAAACUAGCCAGCCAGUUCAUAACUUGCCGCACCAACAGAUGGUGAGUGUUGGUAAACCAAGCCAUAGAGAAACUCAUGGUGCUUCAAUUUUAACUUGAUGUUUUCUAGCAACACUCGUGAUGCAUCAUUGAUGCAAUGUUACAAUGACAAACUUGCAUUUGUAUUCAUUGUGGUUUUAGGUUCACAGAUUCUGAUCAAAUAGAUAUUUAAUGUUCCAAAAACAUUGUAUACGCAUUUAAAUGCUUUACUUCAAUAGAUAGAUUAAGUUAUCUUUCUAGAUAUCAGUAUAUCACAUCUUACCAAUUUAGAUUCAGCACAGGACCUUUUUCAAGUGCUUACCAAUUUUUACUCGCAACCAAAUACAUACCGUCAAACCCCAACACCCCCCCCCCCGGUUCUUGUUAUUUAUGUAUGAAUUAACUUUUCUGAAAGAAUAAAUGUUGUGUGGAGGAAAUAGUGUAAAUAGAAAGAGGAGAAUACCACAUCCCCAAAAGAAUAAAGAAAGAAGAAGAAAACAAAACAAAGUCAUAAAACAAGGCUUUUCAAUCCCCGAUGAAUAUCAGCAGUCUAAAUACCCCAGCAAAUAGAACAUGAAGAGAUUGUCUAGGAUGUUUUAAGCUAGGAAAAUGAAGAAAACGACAAGCAUUAACCAUGAAUAUUUCAUGUUAUCAUCAACUCUAAAGAGCAGACUGAUAAGAAUCAACUUAAUAACUCUUGUUGAAAUAAGAUUAAAUUUGCAGGCACAUCUUUCUUGGAAUAGACAACACAAUAACCCUGACCAUGCUCGACCUUGAGGUAAGUUAUAAAAUGUUCUUCCUAACUAGAUGCACAGGUGCGCCUUUGGGGUGAAGUGAACUAGGUCAUUUGUUUUGCACUUUCACAUGCUCUUAACUUUCAACUCAAUCAAUCACAAUACAGUCCUUGGUUAGGACUAACUGUCCUACUCAAGCUUUCACCUCAUACUCAAGACCAGCUGAGCAGUCCUAAAAAGAAAGAUAUAUCAUGUAGGGUUAUCAAGGCAGACCUAUUGUUUUUAUUUUUUUUCGCGUUAACAUGACCAAAUUAUAAAAUUUAAAGUUCUUUUCUUUCUUUCUUUUUUCCAUGUGUGAGCGAGCAUAAAACCCAAGGAUAUCGUAUUGUUGUUAAGAACACAAUAAUUUUGAAGAAUUCAGUAAAUUCCAAAAAAGAAGAAUCCACCAAACAGCUCAUUUUUUGGUUAUUACAAAAUCUGAAGCCUUCUUGGCAGCGGCGGUUUCCGAGAGGCGGAGGAGGGAGGGAGGGAGUGAGAGCUCGGGUGGGGAGAGGUGAGGAAUGCUGGGCCCAAGUGAAAUGGAUGACUUUAUUCUUUUCCAGAUUCCUUCUAAAAAAAUUAACGAGUAAACACUAGCUUGCUCGCUCGCUCGCACGCACGCACGCAUAUGAUAAUUAAAAUUUGAGUUAAAUUCUAUUUAACUAGUGUCUGUAUUUGUGUUAAACAAACAGAUUAAUCCCUCAAGUUCAUUUAAAUAACUAAUUGAUCCUUGAAUCACAUUUUACCGUUAAGUUAGCGGCACAAACUAAGGAAAUAUUGCUGACAGCUCAACAUUUUACUAACGAAAAAUUUAUGAAGGGACCGCAUUGUAAACAUAUUUAAAAGUAUAGGGAUUAGUUAGAACAGCUAGUUAUCAGUUAUCACUGCCUCUGAGAAUUAAUAUACAGCUCAGCAUUUUGUUGAAGGGACGGGCAAAGGUACAUUUAUUUCCGUUAACUUUCUAAUAUUAGAUCUUGCUUCAGUACACUUUAUUAAAUUUAUUUUAAUAUAUUAAAUAAUAUAAAGCACAAAACAGAUCAUAAUAAAAUACAAUAAAAACAAGUUGUGAUAUAUUUGUUGCACAUGGCAAUCUAUAAAUGAAGUGGUUGGACCUCAAUUUUCAAUUUUUUUAUUUAAAAUUAAUUUUUAUUUUAGAUUAUUUUGAUGUAUUGAUAUUAAAAAUAAUUUUUAAAAAUAAAAAAAUUAUUUUAAUGUAUUUUCGAGUUAAAAACAUUUUAAAUACAAUCACACUUUCAACCACCCUCAAAUUGUUUGAUAUACACUUUCAACAUGACAAGGAUUGAUCAUUGUCUUAUCCAAAGUUUUUCUCCGGAUAAGAAAUUUGUAAAAAAAAAUAUUUUUUCUUAAUUUUGUAUUUUGUAUUUAUCGCUUAUUUAUCUUUUAAUUCGAAAAACUAAAAUUUGACCAAUUUUAUUGAAAUAGAUAUGUGCAUGUAAGAUUUUAAUUGCAAAAUCUUUUUGAUUUAAGAACUAGAUUGUUCUAGAUGACAGAAAUUCUAGUAAAGACUAAAAUAUCAUAAAAAUAAAAAUAAAACAAAUAAUUGAAAAAAUAUCAAUAAUAAAAACAAAAUUAUUUGAUCUUGUCUCGUGUGCAUCAAACAUAGAAUAAAAACAUAUAUUAUCUAGUUCAAUUCAAUUCAAUCUUAAAUAUUGUUUAGUAUUUAUAUUAUCAUUUUCAAACUAUAAUAACUAACGCAUUUUUAGUUUCAAUUUACAUACAAACUCAUCUAAUGAUAUUUUUAUUGUUAAAAAAAUAUCAUAAUUUGGAAUUCCAAAAAAAAAUUCUAUUGGAAAAAUGUUCUACAAAAAUAAAAAGAAAUGUGGAAAUAUACUUAUAUAUUAUAAAUUAAUGGAAAUACAUCAAAUUAUUGAUAAUGUCAAAAUGUUGCAUGGCACUUUAAUCACAUGUCUCCUUCUCCUCCUCCUCCUCCUCCUCCUCCUUACAAUUGUGUUUCAAAAUAUAUGAUAAGAGAAAGGCUUGAAUGACAACAUACACGUUUCUAUAUGCUAUCAAAAGGUAAUAUUUGAUUACAAUCCUGAACAAAAGAGACGAAAACCAUGAAAAUAAAGGAAACAAGAUAGAAAAGAAUUUGAAAAUAUAAUUAUGUCUAGUAGUAACUAUUUAUAUAUCUUAUUUGAUAAUGAUAAAUAAAUAAAAUAAAAUAUAAAAAAUUAUUUUAUCUUUAAUAUGUAUUAUUAUUAAACUUAUACAUUUAUACAAAUAAGUUUGUAUUAAGUGUUAAAAUUAAUAAUAUUAUGAUAACCCUAAUUAUAAAGCCUACACUGGCCUAGUGGAUCGAUUCGGGACUUAGUCGUCUCUAGACCUGGAUCAAUACAAGUUUAAGAAAAGAUAAGGUGAAUUAAAAAACCUUCUUGAUUCAGGAUAAAGCAUGGGUUGACUUAGGAUAAAACACGGGGCAAAACCCAUUGUUUUUUUUUUUUUUAAAAUGGUCAAAACAAGGUUGUGUUGAUUCUCAUUUAAAAAAAAAAAAUUUGGGUCAACUCGAGUUGACCCUCCCAACUCAUGACCCAAGCUUUGCCUCAGAUCGAAUCUUAGAUGAAGUUUCAAAACUAUGAUAAUAAUUAUUUUUAUCUAUGCAUUAAUCCUCCUGACCCAAGACUUGAGCUUAUAUCAGGUCAAUCCCUGAGUUGAGUUUUAAAAAUAUUGUAAUAACCAUUUUUAUCUUGACAUUGACCCCGUUCAACCAGAGUUGACCCUCCUGACUUGUGACUUGAGCCUUGCCCUAAGUCAACCUUCAAGUUAAGUUUUAAAAUUAUAAUAAUAACCAUUUUUAUUUUUUUAUUGACCUGGGUCAAUGGUCAACCUAAACAAUAACUCGAGCCUUGUUCCAGGUCGACUCUCGUGUUAGAUUUUACAACUAUAAUAAUAACUAUUUUUAUGCUUACCUUGAUUUGGGUCAACAAGGAUCACAUAUUUUACUCCAAGUCAACCCCCAAGUUGGGUUUUAAGACUACAAUAAUAACUAUUUUUAUUUUUACAUGUCUUAGUUAGGCAAUUUUGAAAUUGAAAGUUUUUUACAAUGAUAUUUUAUGAAUAAAAAAUAAUAAAUAUUGUUUAUAAAGAUAUGUCUUAUUUGUACUUUCUAUUUUGAAAGUCCAUAAAUUCACUGUAAAAUUAUCCUGUAAAAAUAUUAUUUUUAUAUCUAUUUUUAUUUUCAAUUAAACACAUUUUUGUCUCUACUAUUUUCAUUCUUUUUAUCCUAAGAUAAUAACUAAAUGCUACACUAGAGUUUAAUAAUGAUAUAAAUGCGAACAUCUUAACUUCGUAAAAUCAAAUGAGUAAAGAAGAAGACAUAAAAGGGAAGUUCAUGUUAAUUUUAUAAAAUCAUAGUUAUUAUAUCUUGCUUAAAGCUUGAUUCGGCUAAAAUCCUAGAUUAGCAAGUUAUAGGUCAACCUAUUAAGUUAAUGAGUUGACUAGUAUAUCAAUUAUGAUAAUAAAUUAUACAUAUAAUAUUAAAUCUAAAUGUUUCAUACAUGUUGGUUUUGGUGGGUUGGUAAUUUUUUUGUGUCAAUAAAAAAACACCAAGAUUCAAACAUUACUGUAUGAAUAUUUUUUUCAAAGUCAACCUUUAAAUCAACUAGGUUUUAAAAUUUAGUAGUUAAACUCACAAAUCAAUCAUUUGAUUUAUGUGAUAGGCCUAUAUUUAAGAUGAACAUUUACCAUAAAUGAAAUGUAUCUUACAGUAUCAGACUUGUUAUUAUAAAACAUGUUUUUGUUAAAGAGUUAUUGAUACUUCAAAUGCAAAAUGAUGAUAUAAAACCUUGAUAAAAAUACACUUUUAAGUAUUAAUCAAUGUUCUACUAGAAUGUAGGAGAAGCAUAGAGAGUGGGACCCGACUUCUCACGUGCAAGUACAACAGGAGUUCAAGGUAAGGGUUGCCCCCUUGCUUCUUUAAAAUGUUUAAAUUCUUGUAAAGCUAAUAUGUUAUAGACAUUAUAUGUAUCAUGUACUACUGUGUAUCAUGAGAAAUAUGUCCUAUAUGAACAUUGUCUACGGGUAGUAUAAAUAUUGUUGCGUGAAAGUUACCAACAAGUAGGAGAAAUAUUAUUAUUGUGUGAACGUUGCCAAUGAGCAAGAAAUGUUAUUACAAUGUGAAUGUUGCCUACGAGCAAGGAAAAAAAUAUUAAUUCUAUGUGAAUGUUGCCUACGGGUAGGGAAACAAAUACUAAUUCUAUGUGAAUAUUACCUACAAAACAGAGAAAUAAUAUUAUUAUAUGAAUAUGUCCACCUAGUGAAUAUGACUAAAGAAAGGAAAGAUACAAUGAAACAAACAUGGAUUUGAAAUUUGAAUUUUGUUCGUAGUCUCUAGGAUUUGGAGUUUGGAUAUGGGUCUAUAUUAUGUUUAUAUAUAUAAAAAAAAGAAAAAGAAAAGAUUGCCUAUGGACUUAAUUACCGACCUCGAAUAGGGGUAGCUAAUGAUGUUAACAAAUAUUGUUAACAUUGGCAUGAUCUUGAUGGAAAUAUAAUGAAUAUUGAACUUGAUUAACUAUUUGUAUCACUAAUAGUUAAUGAUAUUGAUGAAUAAUGUUUGUAUCGACAAGCCCAUACUAACUAACUUGAUUAACUUUAUAAGGUUGAAGUUAAUGGUGUCAUGAGAACUUGGCAUCGGCAUUUCUGGAAAUAUCUCCAAUUGUGAUGGAGAGUAAUUGAUUGACUAUUUCGGGUUGGAAAUAGCUCAAUGGCAUCGAUCGAUUAAGUUGGUGUCGGCAUUGCUAAGGAAUUGAUUAGUUUAUCUAGGUAAGGGUGACUAAUGACACUAAUAGGAGUUAUUAGUGUUGGCAGUGACUGCCUUAGAAUUUGGGGCGGAAGAAAAAGGGUAAAUCAUACAAAAGUUAAUGUGUGAUAAUCGAAAAGAAAACCAUAAGUAGGUUGUGGAAGGAUAGGUGUUAGAUGUAGUAAAUGAUCUUCUUUUACGGAUCAACUAUGAUUAUGCCCUAUCAAGUGGGUACACAUAUGCGUAGUUACAUGUAGUAGUGACCCUCCAUUAUCUGGUUGUAUUUUAUUUAUUUAAUAUAAUUAUUCUCUUAUUUUGAUGUUUUAGGUCUUUCUCAUUCCCAUCAGGAGUAGUGUCCUAGGUGUCUAGUUCUUUUGUAUGAAUUAGGGAAUUAUCAUUUCCAAUUCUUUUGUAUAACUUAGGGUUAGCAUCUUUAUUUCUUCUGUGUGAACCUGGGAUGAAAUGGAUGUUGUAUUUUCUUUAGAUAAUUAUAUGACAGGAACGAUGUUAAUGUUCCUUUAUCUUAAUCUUAGAGACCUUUAGAAUUUUAUGCUUGUAAUAUUAAUGUUAUUAAUCAAGUUUAUUACUAUUAGUUUGUGUUGUAAAUUAUAUGUUCGAAAUGAAUCCUUGGAUUUGCAAUAUAUUAUGAUUAAUAAUAAUUUUAUGCUUGUAAUAUUAAUGUUGUAGGAAUUAAUUUUAAAUGCUUACGAAAUCGCCGGGCAUUACAUUACUAAUAAGGCUAGCUACCAAAUCCUCACCCACCGAUGUAGGAUAUUACAAUCCACCUCCCUUAUGGAGCCCGACGACCUCGUCGGCACAACUGGAUAUCCAGUGAGGUUGGCUCCGAUACCAAAUAUCACAACCCGCCCCAACUUGGAAAAUAUUAUUGGUUUUGGGCCUUACCGCCAUCACAAAUUUGUUUUUAGAAGCCACGCAUAGCUCCAAAACGUAUCUGACAAGUCAACAACCAACAAUACUAAUAAGGCUAACUAUCAAAUCCUCACCCGCCGAUGUGAGAUAUCACAAUGCACCCUUCUUAAGGAGCCCGACGAUCCCAUCGGCACAACCGAACAACCAGUGAGGCCGACUCUGAUACCAAAUGUCACAGCCCGAUCCAACCUGCUAAAUAUUGUCCGCUUUAAGCCUUACCACUCUCACAGAUUUGUUCUUGGCAGCCACGCAUGGCUCCAAAACACGUUUGACAAGUUAGCAAUAGUUAGCUACUAAAUCCUCACUCAUUGAUGUGAGAUAUUAUAUUAAAAAUAUACAAGUUUGUAUACUAGUGUUAUGCUUUGGAGAUAAAAAACCCUUUAACUGUAAAACAAAAUAUCCAAGUCUAAGGGAACUCAUUAGCAUUAUUAUUAAACUUGAAAAUACAGUAGUUUUGAAUUUUUCUCCAUCAAGAUAAUUUUUCUUAUUAACAUAUUUUUUUUUGUUUAUCCUGGUGAAUGCAAGCUUUUUUUUCUUUACUAGAAUCAUUGUUUCUAUUAAAAGAAUAUUCUAUAAUUGUCACAACAAAUUAAAAAAAAAUAAUCAAAAUAGUAUGUUAAUAUUUUUAUGUGUGAUUGAAAGUUAAAAAAAUAAUAAAUAUGAUAAAAUCAUGCUCAAAAUAUAUUUAAAAAUUCUAAGAUUAAUUAAAAAAGUGAUUUAAAUUGAACUUUCAUGAACAAAUUUUUAUGGCAUAUAUAUAAUAAUUGAAAACAAUUAUUAAAAUUUAAAUAAAAAUUUAUAAAACAAGGCUUGCGCAUCUGACCUUGUUUUAUAUUUUUAUUAAACUCUACUCGAAUGCUGGAGCUCUAUCAGUUGUUCCUCUAUUUUUAUUAUCCCAGCAUUAGUUGUUGACAAAAAAAACUGGAAACAUCCUCUCGUGGUUGCUAGGAGUUGGGAGUCACAAAAAUUUACAUGACUAGAUGAGAUAAUAACAACAUCCUUGUAGAUGAGGUUGCCGAUGCGUUGCGGUUGCUGCACAUUGCGAUGUCUUUGCAGAUGAAACCCACUAGCUGCUGAUGCAAAGCUUGUUGAAUUUGCCACAUGUUGAGCUUGGGCUUGCAUAAAAGCAUUAGUGUAGAUUAGUUGAGUCUGUUGCAGUGCAUACUUUUUUAACUGCUACUGCUACUGCCGCUUUGAACAAGAUUUUGAGGAAAUGCAGAAGUGCAUUAGGUAACUUGGUACCCAUAGAUGAUGAUGAUGAGAUGUGGUCCGAAUAAACACUUCCAUUACUAGUUGUUGGUGUUUCACUAUGAAUGGAAGCUGCAGCUGCAAAUUGUCUCACAGGAAUUGUUGAAACAGAGGAGUCUGUUAAAUAUAGCCAAGAGAACACAAUUGACUGCCCAACAGUUAAUGGGGUCUGUCCUCCAACCAUAUCGGCCUUCCUCUCUCCUUCCAUAUUUGAAGUGUCAUUUCCUCCAUUUUCCCCUUCUUCAGGCACACGGUAAUUCAUCUGUUGUGUUGCUUGGGCCGCAGUGAUGAAGUGAUAGCCAUGCCUUGCUGCCGUUGGAGGGCUUUGGAGAAGAGCAUGAUUCUGAACCAGCAAUGAAACAUCAAGACCUAGGAAAGUUGUGGUUCCGUUGAUGGAGCAAAUGACAUUGCAAAAGGAGGAGGUGUUUGUGAGUAACAUUCUGAUUUUGCAUCAGCUGCCGCUACUAGUUCGGCAGGGAAUGAUUCUGUUGAUGAUUCUACAGAUAGUUGGAUCUUGAUGAUCGCUGCUGAUUCCACCUAAUUCACUCCCAUGUGGUUUAUGCUGCUGAUUCUGCAAAUGCUUCUGAUUCUGAUGACGAGGAGCCACUAGAAAUACUUGGAUUUUAAUGACCCUGUUGGCUUUGUUGUGUCUGUAUGAAUGGUUGUUGCUGUCGCUGAAGCUGUGAAGGAUGAAGCAUUCAAGAAGAAAAAAAUUGAUCCAUUGAAGAAAGACAGCCUGAGGAUGGGUUCCUUUGUAAGUUGUUGUGGCCCCCAACAUGUUCAGGGAUUGGAAUCUCGUACGCACCAUUUUGCAAAAUUGCCAGGGAAGUUUGGGUAGUUGAAGCUCAUUGUUGUAGCACCAGUUAUUGUUGAUGUCGUGGCAUUUAUUGAAGCAGAACUUUAGCUACUUGAAGAAGCUACAUUGCUAGCAACAGGGGAAGGCCUCACACUGGCUAGUUGAAUAGAAGCUUUUACUACUGCAGUAGCUUGUUAUUGAUCCAUUGGGAAGAUGAAAGCGAGCCCUUGCUUGAAAAAUCUUAUUAUGAGCCCUAGGGGGCAGAACUCGCUGAAGCAAAAUCUGCAAGGGCCUAAAUACAAAAAAAAAAAAAAAACGUUAUGUACAAGUUGAAUAAGAAAUUGGAUAGCUGAUAGAAUUGAUGCAGGCAACAAGGAAAAUAUGGGGAGUCGCUAGCAAGGUCAUUUAUGUUACAAUGAUAUGUUCUUAUUUAUUGCUUUUCUGAAUAAGAGAUCAUGUUCUUAUAUCAUAUACAAGGCUGCUAAGUAUGGAAAGUAAUAACUAUUUACACAUAAAUUGGCUGGGAUCAUGGUGAUACAUAUUUUGUGGAGCUAAUGGAUUCUAUCCUCGUGAUUUCAGCAAUUAAUCUCAAUGAUAGUUCAUGCCAACACUCUCCCUCGAGUUGGUGCACAGAUGCCUUUAAUGCCCAACUUGUCUAGCGAGUUAUAAAACAUCUUGCUUGAAACAACUUUUGUGAGAAUAUCCACUAGAUGGUCUUCUGAUAUUACAAAUGGGAAUUGAACUAUCUUGGCCUCAAGCUUUUCUUUGAUAAAAUAUUGAUCUAUUUCAACAUGUUUUAUCUUGUCAUGUUGAACUGGAUUUUGUGCAAUUUGUAUAUUUGCUUUAUUCUCACAAAACAACCUCAUGGUUGGCCAAGAUGAGUAGCCAAUUUCUUCCACCAACUCCCUUAACCAAAGAAGCUCGCAAAGUCCUUUGUCCAUGCCAAGAAACUCAGUCUCUGCACUAGAUAAUGCCUCAACUUUAUGUUUCUUACUUCUCCAAGUGACUAAGUUUUCUCCACAAAAGUGAAAUACCCAAAAAUAGACUUUCUAUCAACAAUGUUUCCGACUCAAUCUGCAUUUUUAUACCUAUCAAUGUUUAGGUGGUUAUACUUCAUGAACAUAAGCCCUUUUCCUAGAGAUGCCUUCAACUAUCAUAAGAUCCGGAUCAUAGCUUCCAUAUGCUCUUCACUUGAGCUAUGCAUAAACUAACUCACCAAGUUCACAACAUAGGUAAUGUCUAGUCGAGUAUGAGAUAAAUAAAUCAACUUCACAACUAACUGUUGAUACCUUUCUUUAUUAGUGGGUAUUUGAUUUGGAUGCUCUCCUAGUUUGUGGUUUUGGACUGUUGGUGUGUCUGCUGGUUUACAAUCAAGUAUACCUGUCUCAGCUAGUAGGUUAAGUACAUAUUUUCUUUGUGAGAGAAAUAUCCCUUUACUUGAUCGAGCCACUUUAAUCCCCAAAACAAAUUUUAGUCCUCCAAGGUUUUUCAUUUCAAACUCAUUCGUUAGAUGUUCUUACAAGCUCAAGAUCUCCUCCUCAUCAUUUCCUAUAAUUAUCAUAUUUUCGACAUAAAUUAAAAGGCAGUUACCAUUUUCCCUUGAUGUUUUAGGAAUAAAGUGUGAUAUGAAUUUCUUUGUUUGAAGCUGUACUUCUUCGUGGCUAAACUAAACCAUCCAAACCACAUCCUUGGUGACUAUUUUAGACCAUAUAGUGCCUUCUGCAACUUGCACACUACUCCAGCAUAUGAGGUAGCAAAGCCUGGUGGGACAUCCAUAUACACUUUUUCUUCAAGGUUCCCAUGAAGGAACACAUUUUUGACGUCGAACUAUUGGAGUGGCCAAUCUAAAUUCACAGAGAUUGACAGCAAUGCCCUGAUUGUAUUUAAUUUUUCCAUGGUGAAAACUUCCCCUGAUAGUCAAUGCCAUAUGAUUACGUAUAUCCUUUUGCGACAAGCCUUGCCUUGUAUCUAUCAGCCUUGUAUUUAAUAGAGAAUACCUAUUUACUUCCUAUUGCUUUCUUCCCUUUUGGUAGUGGCAUGAUCUUCCAUGUUUCAUUCUUUUGUAAAGUUGCCAUUUCUUCUAUUAUUACUUGAUUCCAUUUUGGAUUACUCAAGGCUUCUUGCACUGUGUUUGGGAUGUGUUCAGAAGACAGCUUUUGCACAAAGGUCUUGAGUGGCUGUGACAAUCUUUGGGUAGUGACAUGAUUAGCAAUUGGAUAUUUAAUUUUCUCCUCUCUAUGGUCUGGUGAGUAUCGACUUGGUGGCUUGCUGCGGUUGCACCUAUGAGGUAAUUUGUAGCCAACAAAACUAUCUUUAAUAUUAUUAAGAGAGAGAUUUGGGAACUGUACCUCAGGAUUAUUCUUAGGACAAUGGUUGUUUGAUACUGAACCGAGAGGGGGCUGUUCUUGUUCUUGUUCAUUCUCUGUCUUGUUAUUCUACCCAACUAUUGUGUUUGUGUCUCUAAACCAUGGCCAGUUCUCCCAAUUACAACCAUGGUCUAUAUUCUGCUCUUCACCAAUCAUCUCCCCCUGAAGAGAAUAAUGAGAACCUGGCUCUUGAAAGAAGUAUUUAGUUUCUAGAAAUGUAACAUCCAUUGUGAUGUAAAGGCGUCUUGUUAUAGGAUCAUAGCAUUGGUAGCCAUUCUUAUACUGUGUAUAGCCUAGGAAUAUACAGCGGACUGCACAUGGAUGAAGUUUGGUUCUUUGAUUUUUGUGAAGAUGGACAUAAGCUACGCAUCCAAAUAUCUUUGGUGGAAGCAUAAGUAUAGACGGGAGAGGCACAUGAUGGGCGAGAGCUUGUAAUGGAGUACUAAAGUUUAACACCCUAGACGACAUUCGGUUCAACAAGUAGACCGCAGUUGUGACUACAUCUGUCCAAAACCGUGGAGGUGCAUUUACUGCUGUUAAGAAGGCCCAAGUUGUUUCUAAGAUAUGUCUAUUCUUCUUCUCUGCAACAACAUUUUGCUGUGGUGUUUGGGAGCAUAUUGUCUCAUGGUAUAGCCCACAUGUUUGGAAGUACUCUUGUAACUCUUUAUUGUCAUACUCCCCACCAUUGUCAGAACGAAGGAUUUGAAGUUUGGUAGAGAAUUGGGUUUUGAUCAUAUUAUGGAAAGAGCGAAAAAUCCUUGCUACCUCAUUCUUACUUUUCAUCAAAUAUAACAAUGUCAUGCGUGUGCAGUCAUCCACAAAAAUCACAAAUCAUCUGAUGCCUCAAGAAACUGAAACGGGAGCUGGUCCACAUAUGUCCGAGUUAAUUUACAUAAAUGGUGUCUCACACUUUUUGAAUUUAUUGGAUAGGAAACUUGAUGGCUUUUAGCUAAAAUGUAGGUUUUACAUUUUAACAUUGUAUUGUCUGAGUUGCAAAACAAACUAGGAAAUAAAUGUUUUAAGUAGGAGAAUGACGGGUGUCCCAAGCAGUGAUGCCACAACCAGAUAUCAUGUUCUUUGUUACCAAGAUGACGAACAUUGUUCGCCUUGUUAGAAUUGAAAAUAACUUAAACAAUACAGUAAACUUAACAAUGCAGUUUACGUAAAGAAAAAGCAAUUUGAUUUUAAGAUGGCAGAGUUGAGUAGAAAGAUCAAUACUUUUCAUUAACUUCAAAUGCAUAUAAAUAGGAUUACAUAGAACUUGAAAUGAUGAACUCUCAACAAACUUGAGAGAUUAUUGGAAUUGAAAUAACAAACUCAGCAGAAAGUUUCUGCUGCAAUCUGAAGAAGCUAACGAAAAUUCAAAUAUUUAAAAACUACUCUUAACUCUAUCUUUCAAGGCAAAAACUCAUAAUUCUAACACUCCUCCUUGAGACUUGCCUUGACAAACCAAGUUUCAUCCUUAGAAAUUCCAGUCUUGAUCUAGGAAGAGCUUUAGUCAUUAUAUCAGCAAGUUGAACAUCUGUUGGACAAUAGAGUAUCUUUAUAAGCUUGUUCUUCUCGGCUUCUCUUAUAGAAUGAAACUUCACAUUGAUGUGCUUGGUUCUGCCAUGUUGAACCGGAUUUAGAGCAAUAGCAAUGGCAGAUUUGUUGUCACAAUAAAGCUCAGUUUGUGAGCUUUGUUCUUGACCCAAAUCAGCAAGCAAUUUGUUCAACCAAAUUGCUUGAUUUGCAGCAGCUGCCAUUGAGAUAUACUCUGCUUCAGCUGUUGAUUGUGCCACCACCUCCUGCUUCUUUGCAUUCCAACAAAUUGCACCUGAACCAAUAUUAAAAACAUAUCCAGAGGUGCUCUUCAUGUCAUCAACACUCCCUGCCCAGUCACUGUCUGCAUAACCAAUCAGAUUUACUCCUCCUGUCUUCAAGUACCAGAUGCCAAGAUCAGUUGUUCCUCUGAUGUACUUCAACACUCUUUUAGCAAUUCCCAUGUGAAUGUUGCUAGGUGAGCUCAUAAACCUUGACAGCAAACCAGCUGGAAACAUUAAGUCAGGUCUAGUUGCUGUCAAGUAUAGCAAACUGCCCACUAGGCUUCUAAAUCCAGAGGGAUCUUCAAGUUUCUCACCAUCAUUCUUUGAAACUUUCUCAUUUUGUGCUAAAGGAGUUGCUACUUCUUUGCAUGACUCAAGCUUGAACUUCUUGAGUAUAUCAACAACAUACUUCCUUUGUGAAACAAAAAUACCCGAACUACAUUGAUGUAUUUCCAUUCCAAGAAAGUAGUUCAUAAUGCCAAGAUCAGACAUUUCAAAAACAUCUUGCAUUUCAGUUUUGAACUCUUCCAGCAACUUUGCAUUGCUUCCAGUAACUAGCAUGUCAUCUACAUAGAGUGAUAUCACCAGCUGCAAACCAUCUUCAUCUUGUUUCAGAUAUAGGGUAGCUUCAUUUUCACUUCUUUUGAAUCCUAGUUGAAUCAAAUGAGUAUCAAUCCUGCUGUACCAAGCCCUUGGUGCUUGCUUCAAACCAUAAAGAGCUUUGUGUAGCUUGUAAACUUUGUGUUCAUCACCAGCAAAACAAAGCCUUCUGGUUGCUGAACAUAAAUUUCCUCAAGUAGUAUUCCAUUUAGAAAAGCAGACUUCACAUCUAAAUGAUAAACUUUCCAUCCUUUUUGUCCCGCAAGAGCAAGUAGGAGUCUUAUAGUGUCAUGCCUAGCUACUGGUGCGAAAGUAUCUCCAUAAUCCACUCCAGCAACUUGAGCAAAACCUUUAACAACCAAUCUAGCCUUGUGUUUGAAGAUUGAACCAUCUGGAUUGAAUUUGGUUCUGAAAACCCACUUCACUCCAAUUGCCUUUUUAUCUCCAGGAAUUUCAGUCAAUCUCCAAGUCCCAUUUCUUUCAAUGGAAUCAAUUUCUGAUUUCAUUGCUUCAAUCCAAGCUGGAUCUCCUGCAGCUUCAGAGUAAUUUGUAGGCUCAGCAUGUACAAGGUUACAUCUUUCAUACACAUCAGACAAUUGUCUAACCUUAAGUACUGUUGUAUCUGAAGUUGCUUCAAUGGCUUGUUGAUCUUCAUCAUCAAUACUUUGUACUGGUGAUUCAAGGCAGCUGUGAUAGUCUGUUGAACUUCUUUUAAGUCCCAAUUCCAGCAGGCAUUUUCAUCAAAUUGCACAUCUCUGCUGACCUGAAUUUUGGCUGAAUUCAGAUUGAAAACUCUGUAACCUUUUGAUUCUGUUGCAUAUCCCACAAGAAUCCCUUUUUCUGCUCUAGCAUCCAGUUUUCCUCUUUUGGCAGAUGGAACAUGAAAAUAGCACAAUGAUCCAAACACUUUUAAAUGUUUGGCAGUAGGCCGGACUCCAGACCAUGCCUCCAAUGGUGUUUUGUUUUGAACAGACUUGGUUGGAAGUCUAUUAAGCAAGUAUACUGAAGUAUUUACUGCUUCAGCCCAUAGAAACCUUGGCAACUUCUUUUCAAACAAUAUACAUCUGGACAUCUCCAUCACUGUUCUAUUCUUCCUUUCAGAAACUCCAUUCUGCUGUGGAGAGUAAGGAGUCGUCAGCUGGUGCACAAUUCCAGCUUCUGAACAAAAGGCAUUAAACUCCUUCGAAAUAUACUCUCCACCAUUAUCAGUUCUCAACACUUUGAUCUUCUGACCACUUUGAGUUUCAGCCAUGCUUUUGAAGUUUUUGAACAUAGAUAAAGCUUGUGACUUGUUUUUCAGAAAAUAAACCCAAGUCAUUCUGCUGUAGUCAUCAAUGAAUAAUAUAAAAUACACAUUAUUAUUCAAAGAAGCUGUGCUCAUAGGUCCACAUAUGUCUGAGUGAACCAGCUCCAGCAUGUGUGUUGCCCUUUUGGAUAUACCUUUAGGAAAUGGUUGUCGAUGCUGCUUUCCCAGUUCACAACUUCCACAUGUAUGAGCAGUAACAUGUAUUGCAGACAUGUUUUCUACCAUUCCAGUAUCAUACAGCAACUUUAAUGAAUUAAGAUUGUAAUGACCGAAUCUUUUGUGCCAAAGAAUGCUUUCAUCAAUCUUUGCACUAAACACAUGUCCAUUAACAGCAUCAAGCUUCAAAUAGAAGCUAUUACCAUCCAUUUUGAUUUUUGCUAUCUCUGAAUUAUGUGUAUCAGUGAUAAAGCAAAAUUUCUCUUUAAAAGAGACUUCAUAACCAUUCUUGAGCAUUUGUGCAACACUAAGGAGAUUCUGAUCUAGUUCAGGAAUGUAAAGAACAUUUGUGAUGGUUUUAAUACCUCUAUUUGUGCUGACUGCAACAGUUCCUUUCCCCUUAGCUUGCACAAUAUCUCCAUUUCCCAGCUUAAUCUUCGGUUGAACUGAUCUGUCAAUAGAGGAGAAAAUUGACAGAAAUUUGGACAUGUGACUUGUGCAGCCACUGUCUAUAAGCCAUGUAUUCAGUUCAGAGGUAUUGCUAGCUUGUGUUGCCAUAAACAAAUGCUCCUCCUCAUCUUUGCUUUCUUCAGAAACAUUUGCUUGUUGUUGUAUUUGUUGCUGAGGUUGCUUCUUCUUGAUUCUGCAAUAUUUCUCACUGUGACCGAGAUUAUUACAGAAUAAACAUUGAAGAGAAGGUUUCCCCUUAAACCAGCAAUCUUUCUCAGUAUGGUUAGUUCUUCUGCAAUAAGAACAUGGUGAGAAAGUCUGUCUUUUUGAAGGUAUACUUGAUUUCCUUUUAGCAUACUUGACAGGUUUGUUUCUUGGUAGAUUACCAGCACUCCUUUCCCUGUUGUUUGCUUGGAAAGCCCCUUCAACUGCCUCAUCAUCUCUCAUAUGAACUCUUUGCUCCUGAAUAUGAAGUUUGCUAAUUAACUCAGCAAUAGUCAGACUUUGCAGAUCGCAAGAUUCUUCUAUUGCUGAGAUUUUAGCUUCAAACUUUUGAGGAACAGACAUCAUAAGUUUUUCUACUACCUUAUGAUCUUCAAAUGUGUUUCCAAGAAGCCUCAUUUGAUUUACAACAUCCAUUAAUCUGCCAGAAUAAUCUUUGACAGAUUCAUUGUCUUUCAUCUUCAUCAACUCAAAUUCCCUCUUAAAUGCAAGAAGUUUAACUGCUUUGACUCUGCUGCUGCCUUCAAAUUCAACUUGAAGCUUAUCCCAUACCUGUUUUGGUGUUUCCAGAUUCAUUAUAUUUGUAAAAAUAUGAUCUGCAAGACCAGAAUGAAGACAUGUAAUAGCUUUGUCCUUCUUGAGCUUUUCUUCUUCAUGUGCUUUCAUUUGAGCAAUUGUUGGAUUUGCAUUCAAUGGUGGAGGAUCAGAAUCGGUUGCCACAACAUUCCAUAAGCCAUGAGACCUUAAAUAAAAUUUCAUUUUGACAGCCCAAAUAUGAUAGAGUUCUCCACUAAACAUUGGAAUUGCAGAUACAAUAUUAUUUGAAGAAGACAUUGACAAAAAACAGAAAGAAAAUAACUCUCAAGUGUUUCGCUCACCCUCUCUGUGUUUGCCUCACCUUCUCUUAUUAUUGUCACUCAAAAGAAAGAAAAAUUGUUUGCCCCACAGCCCGUAGGAUCUAAUGCUCUGAUACCACUGUUAGAAUUGAAAAUAACUUAAACAAUACAGUAAACUUAACAAUGCAGUUUACGUAAAGAAAAAGCAAUUUGAUUUUAAGAUGGCAGAGUUGAGUAGAAAGAUCAAUACUUUUCAUUAACUUCAAAUGCAUAUAAAUAGGAUUACAUAGAACUUGAACAUGACUGAAACUCUCAACAAACUUGAGAGAUUAUUGGAAUUGAAAAUAACAAACUCAGCAGAAAGUUUCUGCUGCUAAUCUUGAAGAAGCUAACCGAAAAUUCAAAUAUUUAAAACUACUCUUAACUCUAUCCUUAUCAAGGAAAAAACUCAUAAUUCUAACACGCCUGACAAUACUGAAGUCAUCAAUGCAGUACAACCCCCCUUGUUUAGUACUACAACCAAUAAUCUCCUUAGUUAGAAUAUCAUGAAACAAGCAAAUUUUAGGAUAGAUUAGUGGGCAGCAGUUCAAAUCCUCAGUAACUUGUCCUACCAAUAAUAAUUUAUUGGAAAGAGUUGGAACAAGUAGAGUGUUUGAUAAAGAAAAAGAGGAUGACAGUGCCACUUCUCCAGCCCCAGUAACUGGAUAUUUUUCACUGUUUGCAUUGGUUAUGCUUGUGAUCUGUUUUGGUUGAGUCGUUUCAAUAAAGUCUUGUGGAUUGAAUGUCAUGUGAUUAGUUGUCCCAGAAUCAAUAAUCCAACCGUGGUUCCUGAUUCAUUCUGGGCUAGGGAAUAAUUUGCUGCUGCUAGUGAAAAAUCCUCCUGAGAUAUAUGAGAAAGGUGAGGUUUGAUGGAAGAAAAAGAAGUGCUCUCAGCUCUGACAAGUGUAGCCCGACCUCUUUCACGCUUUUUCUUUGUCUUGAGUUCAUGCCACCAGCUUGAAACAGGUUUCCUUAGUAUGUUUCAUAUUCCCCCAGUGUACAACCACCUCCCCCAGCUUGUGUUUUUGAUUUCAUGCCUAGCUUCCCAUCUGUUACCAUCUGAAGAGAAGGUUGCUGUUGUGAUUUUUGUCCUCCUUUUGAUAUCAUGGCCAUGCUGGAAAUGGUAUCUGCUUUUGAUAGCAUCACCAUUUGUCUUAGAUCUUCUCAUCGGACAUGGGCAUAUGUCUGUUCGAUUGUUGGAAAAGGGUGAAGUUGAAGCACAUCAGCUUGAAUCUUGUCCGAGCGACCAUCAAGUCCGUCCAAGAAAGUAUAAACUCUAUCUUCCUGUAUAAUAGAGUUAUAUUUCUGUGUAUCAACUUCACACUUCAUGGGAUUUGGACGCCGAAAAUCAAUCUCUCUCCAAAGACCUUGAAGAGUGUUGUAAUAUGUCUCAAUUGAUCCUUCCCCCUGUUUGAAUCUUGUCACCCUUCUCUUCAGAUCAUAGACUUGUGAGGUGUCGGAGCCAUCAAAACACGUUGUGACAAUAGCAUCCCAUACUGCCUUAGCCAUUGGAAAUCUGAUGUAAUUUCCAAUUAGUUUUGGAUCCAUGGAGUUGAUUAGCCAUCCUUUACCAUUGCAUUUUCAAUUCUCCACUUUCUGAAAGUAGGAUCUGUCUCUGUAGGUUGUGGAAGAUCUCCAUUCAUGUAUCCCAACUUGUCUUUACCAGAGAUAUACAUCUCGACAACUUGGGACCAGAGUCCAUAGUUCGUGUCAUUUAACUUGAUACCGAUUGGUGCAGCAACAGAUUCAUGAGUUGCUGCAGUUGUUGUCUGACUCAACAUCUAUGAUAUUCUGGAUGUUAAGUCAGCAAGGGUUGAAGGAUCUGCUUGGGAGUUUUCUAUUGGGGGGGGGGGUAAGAUCUCUCAAAUUCUGUCUUCUUUCCCUUUCUUUCUAUUAGUUCACAGAAAGAAUCAGACAGGUCCUAGAGUUGACGCACUGAUAUCAUGUUACAAUGAUAUAUUCUUAUUUAUUACUUUUCUAAAUAUGAGAUCAUGUUCUAUAUCAUAUACAAGGCUGCUAAGUAUUGAAAGUAAUAACUAUUUACACAGAAUUUGGCUGGGAUCAUGGUGAUACAUAUUUUGUAGAGCUAAUGGAUUCUAUCCUCGUGAUUUCAGCAAUUAAUCUCAAUGACUGUUCAUUCCAACAAUUUUUGGAUGAAAGGCUGUUUGGCGAUGCUGCACUAUAGUAAAGAAAAAAAAAUAGAGCCCUCGAUCACCAUCGUCACAAAGACAAGCUGAGGAUUAGCAGAGUCACAAGACACGCUGAGAAUUAGCAGACUCCUUCUAUGAUUGCUAGUAGCAAACAAUAGUCGAAUGAGGCUGACAAUAGCUCGCAGCCCUACAAUAAGAGUAGUUGUUGAUUAAUUGAAUGGAAGCAGGCAAGAACUCACAAACAAUUCUAUCAAGUUUAGUCAAGUUUCUUUCAAUGGCAAGCUCGCACCAUCCAUCAUGCAGUUGCAGGAGCAGACAUGGGUUAACACACACAUAUAAUAUGCUUUCUAAGUCUCGGUCUUUGAAUUAGAAGCAAAAUCAGAAAACAACAAACCCCAACCAAAGCCAAAUCAAACUCAGCCGAUAUAAAUCCACUCCUCAAAACAGAGAAACCUCUAUAGGAUUCUUCCCCGCUCCCUUGGAUGACUGUGUCCCUGUCUUCUCUUCCACUACUGGUCUCUAUUUCUCUGCCCUUUUCUUUAUUCUAGGCCUUUCACAAUUUCACUUUUCUCCAUGCGGUCAAAAAUAGGAAGACGGUGCAAAUGCCUUUAUAAAAGAUCUAGAGAAGUUUAAGUUACUGUUAUCAUGAGCUUUGGUUAGAAGUUUAAAGAUUAUUUCACCUGCAUAAACUCAGAAUUGUGUCCAGCAUUCAUACAAAAACAAAAAAAAAAACUUGCAGUUGUAAAAUAAAUACUGAAGAGCCAUGCAUACCUGCUAAGACCGUCGGUGAUGCUGGCCUGCUAGGUGGAUGUUACACUGUUAGUGAAGGAGAAGAAGGACUGCUUAGUUGGUAACAAAAAAGAAAGGCAAUGUGGUGUUUUUUAUAACCCCACCAGGGAGCCUGUCCUGAUUACAAAAGAAAAAAAAAAAUCCUCCUAUUCUAUGAAAAUAAGGUCGGCCACGUGCACAAGCUUUUUUUCCUCUUCGGAAAUAACAUGGUAACACAAAAGAAAAGGAAACAACAAAUUUUCUAUAAAUAGCGUGCCUUAAUUGAGAGAAAAGGAGGAAAAGAUUCUUGGAGAUAUAAAUUUCCUUCAAAACAAGCUUUUUGGGCGGUCGUUGGAACCAUCAAAAUAUAAUUUUAACUUAACUAUCACAAACAAAAUAAAUUUGUAGUAAAUAUGAUCGUGAAAACCAGGUCGAACCUAAAGGAAAAUUCAUUUCAUCUUCCUACAAUAUACUAAAUAAGAAAGAACGGGGGGUUUGAAUGAAAAAAAAUCAAGAAACAAUAAUUCCAAAAAUAAUAAAUUGAUAUGUUGUUAAAUCAGUUCAAGGGUCCACACAUCCAUUCUUAUAAUUCUGUUGGUCAUCGAAGUAAAAUAAAUAUGCUUUCAUGUCAAGCAAAUAAAUUUGAUAUUCCUUAAAGCUGAGGGAAAUAAAUGAGAUUACAAGUACAUUAAUUAGAAAAAGCUUUCUAAUAAAUUUCUUACCAUCAAGUGAAUGUAAUAUUGAAAACAAUUUGCAUUUAUUCGGUAGUAGUCUAGGAAUAAAAUAUGUGCAUUUAUUCUAAGCAAACGUUCAAAAGCUUGACAAUUUAACUUAGUUUAUUCUUCCCUAAUAAAUCAAGAUGAGAGUUGCAACAAUCAAAUUAAUUCUUUUGCUUCUUACUCUAAUCCCUAAUAACAAUCAAUGAUUGAAGAAACUAGAAAGCAUACAUGUCAUCUCAAAACAAUUCAAUAAGCUUGAAUAACAAUCAAUAACAUGAUUCUGAACAAGGGAAAAUAAAUACUUGAAUCUAAAAAAAUUACAAUGAUAACGUUACUUCUGACAACUUGCUAAUGGAGAUGGUGUGUAUUCCUUUUGAACCAAAUUCAGGAGUUUAGUUCAUAGUUCUUGGAAAAUUGACAAAGCAGAGAAGAAAUGAAUGUUUUUCGAAUGUUGUUUCAUCUAUGUUCUGCUCUAUUUAUCCUCUUCCUUGGCUACAUAAUUUCUUUAGGAUUAUUAGGCUAAUUAGAAUUAUUCAUGAUACUUAAUGUGUUCAUUUUUUUAUUUGGUCCUUAAGGUUGGAUAAAUCUCUUAGAAUUUAUUUUGAAAACUAACUUUGUUGAUGUCAUAUCUCUGCCGUAAUUCCAACUUUGCUGCAACUUAAACUUUGUUUUUGACUUGGUUUCUUGCAAUAUCCGACUAUCACUGCUGUAUUCAUUCAUUCAUUGCAUGUUAGAGGCUUGAUCUAAAUCUUUUUUAGGUCCUAAGGCCCACCGUUUUUUAUCUCAGACUUUCAGUCGUAGUAGGAUGCUUGACACCGUUAGUUUCCUGAUCAGAUCAAGAGACCCAUCUCAUCCUUCAAAUUGCGUUCGGAUUUUGGCCUUCAAAAUGAUCUUAUUUGACUUGGAGUCCUUAUCAAAGUUAUAGUCCUAAAUGCGUAGAAGAAUUUGGGCUUUUUAAUCUCUUAAUUUUGAUAUUUGAAACUCAAGAUAUUCCUGUUUGAAUAUCUAGUGUGAAAGUAAAGAAUCUUGUUGUGAGUAGGAUUCUGACCCGAGUUUGCAGGUUUAAUUAGAAAUCCAAAAGAGAUUGGGUUGUUACCCAUAAUACCUUCCUGGAAAGCUUGACAUAUGUAAUUCAACUUAGAUUCAGCCCACGUUCUCAUUUGGGAACACUAACUUGACGAAAAACCUGUCAUAAGAAGCCAGGUCUAGAACAUAAAGUGCAUAAUUUCUUAUCUUAAGCAAUCAGUUCACAAUCUCUUAAACAUGCCAAAAUCAUAAAAAUAACUUUCAAUAAACUCAAAUAUUCUCAAAAUACAUUAAAAAUCAUAGUGUAAAAGGAGUAAAAACUUAUGUAUAUUUUUCACUUAUCACUCUUUAAGCAAGGAAGCUCUGUCAAAAGUUUUCAAGCCCCAUCUACGCUUGAAGUCUACAAAGAAUGAAGCUUUGCUGGAUCAAGCCUAAAACACCCCACUAGAGUUCUUCAACAAUACUUUGAAAACAAAUCAAAAGUACUCUUUAAAUCAUCAAAUCACCAAAUCUCGUUUUGCAAUACACGCCCAAAUUCCCAUUCUUGCAAAGUAUAAAUCUUGGCUUGAUUCGUCAAAUAAAUCAAGUCACCAUAUAUCAACUCCAAGGGAAGAAUCAUAGGAUUGUCUUAUUCUUUUGAAAAGAAUACUUAGAUAGAGAUUGUACAUGGUUAUAUAUUUAAUAAAAUCAUAUAUUUGUACACGUGUGCUUGUUUAAUUUCAGGUGCUCAAAAUUAUGUCUACAUAGAGAUGAUGACAAACUGGAUGUUGGGCUGGCUAAAUUUGUAGUGGGAUGUUGAUUUGUGAUAAAAUUUGGGAGGUUUGUGGUGUUUGUUGCAGAUAAAAAUAGAGAAAAAAGAAGAGAUGGGAGAGAGAGAGGAGGGUCCUUUCAUUCCUUUUCAAUGUAAUUCACUCGAUAUAUAUCGAGAAAAUAUUUGUGUUGGUGUUUACUGAUUGAUACUGCGAGGGUAUAUUCAAUCAGAAAAAUUUACUAUAAUUUACUAACAAAAAUAUUCUAUUAGUGUAUUCAUUUGUGUUUGUCAAUUUUCUGAUUGUGUUAAUAGUUAGGAGAUGAUAGAAGAAAACACAUAGAUUUAACUGAAUAAACCCUACUAAAGUUGGAUUUUCAAAUCAAUUUAUCCAAAACUUCACUUUAUAACACCGCUUUUGAUAUCUUAUCAAAUAGAGAAUCAAAAGAUCCUAUCUCUCUUAUUCUUAGAGCACUUCUCUAUUUGAAAUUCCAUAUCCAUAAAAAUCCAUCUCACACACCCAUAUUAGCUACAGAGGAAACUUGAUCUUCAGGUAGACUAUAUAGUCUAGGAAAUUGAACUACAAGACAAGAAUCUAUCAGCCAGACAUCAUGCCAGAAGUGUUGACCUCAUAGCUUAGCCUUAUUGUUGAUCGUUUUAAUAGAGAAGUGUAGUAACUAUAUUUAUCUGUGGAAGCCUAAGUCUGUCUUGUUUAAUUACUUUGUUUUCGCUAUUUUUUAAAAAAACUUUUAUGCACUUACCAUCAUGUUGGAGUCUUCUGAUCAAGAAGUUAAAAAUGAUAUAGUCCAUCUUCAAGUUUAGUUUCUCAUUGAUAUCUUCCUAAUUUAACAUAAAAAAUGAGAAAACUAUAAAGAAAACUCCAACUAAGCCUGUCAUGACUAACUCUUUCAACUUGUCUCAAGGUGUACACACCACAAAGAUAUCUUUUAAUGAUGAAGACUUGUUGCUUGGAUCAAAACUCGAUAAACAACUUUUUUUUUAUUAAAAGAUGUGUCAAUGAAAAGAUGGUGAAUUGUCUCUUGAUGGAUGAUGAUUCAACUAUUAAUAUACUACCUUUUAAGAUUAUAAAUGAGCUCAGGAUUCAUAUUUAUGUUUAUAUAUAAAAAAUAAUGUUGUUUUGACACACACACAUAAAAUUGAGGUUAAUCCAAGUUGAUCUAGGAUGGAUUAAAAAUUUUGACACAAAUUUUAUCCCGGGUUAACUCCUGAGCCGGGUCUAAUGAGUCUAAUGAGAAUUGUUUGAAAAAAGAUUAUGGAAAACCACCGGUAUAUAUAAGGAAAUCACUAGGAAAUUACUGAAUGGUUGUGUUUAAAAAUCAAAAUGGCACACAACAAGUCAAGCAUCCGCUUUCACGACCUUUCUUGGCCAGUAAUGCUAUAAUGAAGAGAGAGUGGUAUAUCCACUUUCUCAUUAAUUACAACAAAAAUAAACAACUAGUCAAUACGGUCCACGCAAAUUGUUUGGUAAGGUUACAUGCCAACAAAACUAAUUGGAAUAGGUAUAGAAGUAUUAGGUUAACAAUUAGAUAAUAAAGUUAGAAGUUGUUAGUUUAAGUAUUUUACAGGGGCUACUGUUUGAUCCAAAAAAUGAUUUGAAUAUAUACAGUUUUUUAUCCAAAUUUUAUACAUAGGAAAAGCUUGUUCUCUAUGGUUUUUAAUACCAUAAACGGUGCAUUAAUCCAGUUUUUAUAGAAAUAGCUAUGAUGAAAGUAGUAAAGAACACGUGGACUAUAUAUAUGUCAAUAAUGCCCAGAAAUGAUUUCGGGAAUUAUUAUAAAUUGCUAUCUGGAUUAUAUAUAUAUAUAUAUAUAUGUAUAUAUAUAUAUAUAUAUAUGUAUAUAUAAUAGAAUUCUGAAUGUUCUAAGCUAUGAUUAGUUUAUCAGGUAGCAUGCAGUUAACAAAUUAUUGUAGUUGAGUCAUGGAGGGAUUUUAACGGGUUAUAUGCUUGCGAAUAGGUUUUUUGAGCUAAGAUUUCAGACCUCAGCUAUUUAAGCAAAGAUAGUAAGUAAAUAUUCACACACUAUUAUUUUUAAAUAGAAUAGAUAUUUUUCUGAAUUGUGCAUUUUUCAUCUACUAAAUGUAUUACUUUCUAUCAAAAAAAAAAAAAAAAGAUCAAGCAAUGGCUGUGUUUAGAUUGAUUUGCUUAUAUGCGAUAUUUGUGAAUGUAUGGUAUAUAAUUUUUGUAAGAAUGUUUUAUAAUAGCAUUUACUCUGAAUAUGAACACCUCUAUGCAGGUGUUGUAAUUGACAAAGAAAAGAAGAGAAAUCCUUUCAAUUUAUGAAAAUGCAAUGAGUUAACCUUAUCUCAGACUGCAAUAUAUACUCUACAGUAUUCAUGUAUGAAAACAUUUGAAUGGUGAUAAAGAAAAUAAUUCAUCAAACAAUAUGAGGGUUGUUUGGAAAAAGAUUAUGGAAGACCACCAGUAUCAGUGUUGUUUGGAAAAAUAAUUCUGUAAUUGACUUUUGUAACUUGUCAGGUAACCACAGGUAACUUGUGUGGACCUCCAUUGCGAAACAAUUGUAGUGAGGAAGCAGUGCCAUCCCAGCCAGUGCCUAAUGAUGAACAAGGAGAUGAUGGUUUCAUAGACAUGGAGUUUUUCUACAUCGGUUUCGGUGUAUGUUAUACAAUUGUGGUGAUAAUGAUUGUAACAGUUCUCUAUAUAUCAAUCCAUUUUGGCGACGCAGGUGGUUCUACUUUAUCGAAGACUACAUAGAUACUUGCAGCUAUUUUGUGGCGGCUAGUUUUCGCAAGUUCUCCAACUUCAGAAGGUGAAUUUGUUACUAGGGAGACGGUCGUUCCUAGUUUGUGAUGAUUGUUUGUCCUGUAUGUCUAGCUAUUGGGUUCUUCAUUUGUAGUGUACUAUCUCUAAGCUCAACCUUUCUAUUUGAAUAGUUAUUUGGGCUAAAUAUAUAAGCUGGACUUGUCAUUCCUAAAUCAUUAGGAAGGGAACUGAUUUGGAUUGGUCAUUAACUCGGCUGUGAUUACUCUUUCAACUCUCAAGACUUGUCUGAAAAUAAAUUGCCAAAACCACUACUAAGUAGAAACAAAAUAUUCUAUGCAUUGUUUCAAGGGCGACCCCACCUCAGUUAUUCAAUCAAAGCAUUGAAAUCGGAGCAAGAUGAUGCACCUUAUUCAACAGCCUUCCUGGUCGUUUCUCCUAGCUUCUUUGCUCUGCUUCUCAUUUCCUCUGCUUCUUUACCCAUCAUAAUUUGAGUGAUUGCCUUCUCUACAGCUUCACUUUUAACAUGAUCUCCAUGCACUCUACGCCAUUCCCUUAACUCCAGUUUUUAAAACAUCAGUCACCAACUUUUCAUUAUAGAAUUGCUCGUCAAAUAUUGGCCUUUUGCCUUCAAGAGUUGAGUUCCAUCCUCAAUGAGUCACAAAGGCACCUAUUGCUUCAUGAUAAAGAAUCAAAACUUGGAGUACCCUUCCUCUGAUAAUUAGCCCUUUGCCUUCCAUUCUUUCCUCAAAUCCUUCAGGAAGACAAUCUUCCUUGUCUUAUUGACUCUUUUUGUUUCUUCUAACUACCCAGAUAAAUUGAUGCCCAGAAGCUUCGAGAUCUGUUGCAAUCUCCUUAAGCUGAGAGGCAAUGAAGUUUGCCAUGCUUCCAAAGCAAAUAUAAACAACUGAAUUUGGUUUCUUUGAGUCGAGCCACUUCAAACACUCAUGUUGAGCGAUUGAGGCUUCUUUUCCUCUUCCUGCUUUAUCUUCAAUGUCUCUAUUGCAUAGUGAAACCGGGCCUACGUUAAUCCACACCCUCUUUAAUUGACCCAACAAGACUAUAUCCUAACCAUACAGAUUCCUCUUCUACAGAUUAUUGGAUCACUUUAUGCAAAGCAGAGGAAUGAUUUUCUAGAAAAAGAGUGUCUUGGGAACUUACAGUAGAUUUCGUUGGAACUCUUGUCUCAGGACAGUGGCAUAGCUUCUUGAAUCUCUGUUUCUAAUCGGCCAUGGUUUUAUUUAAACGGUUAGUGUAAGCUAAGGGCAUUGGCAUUUUCGUGGUGGAUCAUUUGCCUCAGUGAUGGUUGAUGUAUCACGGUGAAGUGAUGCAAAUCCACCUCGAGGAUCAGCUGCAGCAGCUAUUGCAGAGCUGUGAAUCCAAAAUAAAUUAAUAAGCUAUGUAUUUGCUACUCAUCAAGCAAAAAGAAACAACUAACACUGCUGAAAUUGAAAGGCAACAACUUUUAAAUGAGAGAAAGGAGCAGCCUAUCACCUUUCAAUAGGCGUUUAAUCUUCAAACAACAGCUGUCUUUUGGUUUGUGAUUGCAAAGGACCAACCAUAUAUGGUUGCCUUGGAGACACUUGUUGCUGUUGUGAGAAAUUAGCAUUAGUUUUAGACGGUAGAACAGGUGAUGGUGUUGUUGGGUCCAAUGAAAAUGCAACUUUAGAGGAUGAUGAAGCUGCUUGAUCAUUAAGAGGAAUAUCAACAACAUGCAGCUCUGGUUCAGCAGGCAGGUGUGGAGCUUUAUCAGUUAUAAUGUGGUCACAGACAUUGGUAACAAUGAUGUCACAAAAGUUGACAGCAGAGCGAAAAGCUCCAAAUCUCAACUGGAAAAUCUUGUCAUUAUUUAAAUUUUCAAUCACGGGAGGUGGGAUGCAAUCAAUGAACCCCCUUGUCAUAGAGAUAGCGGUGGGCAGAGAAGCCAAAGAAGUUUUCAGUAGUUUUUCCAACCAUUAGAAAUGUUGCAACAUCAUUGCCAUCAGUCACAAUACAAUCUAGUUUCCCAAGAAAAAUAAUCAACCCUAAUCAGAAGAAAAUGUAUAAUCUAGUUUGGGACAUGAAAGAUAAAUGAACAUAACGCAUUAUUAGUUCAGGAAAAUCCAUAAAAUGUUUAGAAGUUAGAUAAAUAAACAUAAGGCAUUAUUAAAAAGAUGCAAAGAAAAUGUAUAAUCUAGCUUGGGACAUGAAAAGCAAUAGAAAAGAGCUCAUAACUGUGGAACCGCCAUUACUUCAUUGUGUCCAAUGCAUCUAAAAAUUAUGCCUUUGUUAGAAAAUGAUUUUGCGCCCAAGGGGCAACUUUGAUACCACCAUCCUCUAUGAAGGUCAUAUCAGCUAUCGAAGCUUUGCAUGUAAAUCUUUCGCUCUACAAAUUACUAUGAAAAAAUAUAGUUUGAUAUGUUUUUAUAAAGAGCAGAGUAAAUGUUGAAUAAAAGAUGAAGCAUUGAAAGAAUAGUUGAGAUUAUUGUUGACAUACUUUGUGCUGAUAUGGAUCUAGUCAAAGAAUUUCUUUGAUAGUCUACAUGUUUUUAUUUAUUUGUUGUUUGAUAAUUCUGAUGGCAUUCAUGGAAGUAGGGAGUUGAUGAACCUCAACUGGCAGAUGAUUAUAGUUGAGAAUAAAAGCAGUUUUAUGUUAAAAGAAAAUAAUAAUAAUUUAAUAACAUAAGCGAGACAAAAAAAAAAGAUAAAGAGCUAGCUUGCUAGUACAUAUACCUCAAGAAUUUCUGGGUUGAAAAACCAUAAGGAGGCAACAGUGCUAGCAAGGUUUGGUUUUCCUAGGAGUAAAAGGAUGUAAAUUGAUUAAAAUUAUUUGAAAAUAAGCUAAAUGAUAAUGGGAGAACGCAUGAUAGCUAGGUUAGAAAAAAAUAUAUAAAAACAUAAAAUUAAUUUUUUAGAUUAUGAAAAACUUUUUAUAGAAUCCACUGAUUUGAUAGUAAUCUCUUUCAAUGAUAAAAGUAGCAAACAACUACCUGCGUUUGAAGUGCGAAAUGCAUUGAGCCCCAUCAAGAAUAAAUUGCAUUUUUAAUUUUAUUAAAUAAUUUUUUGGCUGUGGUUGAUUCAAACACAUAAGUAACCAUGCAAACAAACGGAAAUAUGUCCUUGCCUUUAGUAUAGCUGAGCCCUGUAUUGUGUUACCUGAUGGAAUCAUGAUGAAAACUAUUAUAAAUGAGAUAACAUUAAAAUUGAGCGCAAAAAAAAAAAUAUAAAGCUAACAAAUGGUUUAUUAGCCACUGUCGGUAGUUUUAGAAAGUUUCACAGGGAAAAUUUUUUAUUUUACAAUUGAUUCAUUCCUAUAAAAUAUAAAUUAUUUUACAAUUUUUAGUUAUAUAUUUUAUUAUAUUAUAAAAUAUAAAAUAUAUUAUAACUAUAACGAUGAUAAUUAUAUUAUAAUUAAAAAUCUAAGUCAAUUCUUGGUUUAGCUAUAUCACACAUUGCUGUCAUCUUUGUAAUUAAUAAAAUAAAAUGAAGACAUUUUACAAAUAAUUCAUUCAACCAUGGCCUGUGUGUCAUGUUAUUUCUUAAACCUACACCACUGCUAUGUGUGUUACAAAGGGUUAAAAUAAAACAUGGACGUAGCAAAAGCUUUGUUUUCUCAAAAUAUUAAAAGGUUAUUUACUGGAAAAAGAAAAGGAAACAUUUGAUUAUACCAAAAGGAUAAUAAUUAAGUUUUUUUUUUUUCAGAUUCAAUUGUAAAAAUAGUUUUUCAAUUUUAGAUUAAAGCUUGUAAAAAUUAAAGGGUGAAGAUAAGGAAGUCUAUUGUUUUUUAUUUAGUACAUGGAACCUUGUGAUAUCCUUUUGAGAAUCUAAUUGAACAAAUUUAAGAAUUAAAAACUGAAAUCAAAAGGGGAAUAUAUGACCUAAUUUAGUUUAGGAUUAUCAAAAUAAUAUUAUUUUAUUUAAAUAAAAUAAUAUGUUUUUGACAAAAAUAGCAUGUUUUGAUUCAAUACAACAUUGUCCUCGUCAACACCAAGUUAAAAAAUAUAUAAAAAAAAACUAGAUAAUAUGUCGCUCAACAGUGAUCAUUGUCCUUUUUUCAGCCUUAUAAAAGCUGACCGAGAGAUCCCUUUUUCAAAGCCAUUUAAUGUAUCUCCCACUACUUUUUUAGAGCCAUAUGUGUGGACUUGGGCCUUUAAUCCAAUAAGCCUAACCUAUGUGAUCGGGCAACGCCUAGCCUAGCCCAACCCAACCUUAAAAGCAAGUUUGGCAUGCCUAAUUUUUACCAAAAAAGAAAUGUUUUUUUUCCCUAAAAGCAUGUUUAUCAAACACAAUCUUAAAACAUUUUUCAUGUCUCUGACUUUUAGAUAAAUGUGUGUUUGACAAACACGAUUAACUAUCCUCUUUUUAGCCUUAGUUUGUUCAUUAUUUUAGUUUCUAGCCAAACAUGCUCUACAUAAUCUCAAAAAAUUCUAAAAACAAAAGUUUGACCAUUUUAAAAUUAUUUGUGAGUUCCUUAGAUGUUCUCCCAACAAUUUCACUUAAUAUUGAGAUGUAAACUUACACUACAAAUACUGACUCGAUAUUAAAAAUACUUAUUUUUCUCUGAAAUUUCAAAAAAAACUAAAAAAAUAUUAUUUCAAAAAUACAAAUUUUUUUUUGUUUGCAUACAACUAGUUCCUAAUGUUUUUCAUGCAUUAUUUAUAAAAAGCAGAAAAAUUGCAUCAUUAUCAUAUUUUAAAAAAUACAAAAAUAAAUAUUGUAAUCAAUUUAUGAUUAUUCAUUGGGGUUUAACUAAAAUUUCAAAAAUACCACAUAAAUUAAAUUUUGUAAUUGAUAUUCAGGGUAUGAACUUUACACAUAAUGCGUACUUUUGAUAUUAAAUUAAAUGAAUUAAUAGCAAUAAAUGUUAUGAAUUACUUACAGACUUUAUUAUUUUGCGGUAUAAAAUUAUACUAUAAGAAUAGGUACGAGUGUCUGUAACAAUCCCAGUUAUUUUGUUCCAUCAAUGUAAAAAGAUCCUCUUAAAUUGAGGGUAAUGUUUUUUUAGGCCCCGCAAAGAUUGCCAUUUACUCGAAGAAUUAAAAUGGACUCCAUUUUAUGCUAAUAAAGGUAUAAUUAAAUCAUAUCAUUCAUGAAUUAACAAUUAGUAGAUGGUUAAAAGAAACUAUUCAUGUUUUAAAGGUAAAUCAAAUGGAAAUAAAUGCAAUAGUGUUUACACAAAAAUACCAUGCUUCAAGUCUAGCCGAGAGUUUUUAUACACAUCAAGUUUACACAAAAUAAUAUGCUUCCAGUCUCAGCUAAGAGUUUUUAUACACAUAGAAGAUUACACAAAAUAACUUAUAACAUGUACUAGUUAAUACUAAUAUGCUUAAGGUUAAUUUGUACAUAAGUUUAACAAAAAUAGAGUCCUAAAACUAAUAAGCUCCCUAGAUAUUAGAUAGACCUGUUACAAAAACUUCUUAUGGAUGCAAUUAUAUCGGUACAAGAAAUAUAAAUGAUCAUGCAACGAAUACAAAUGAGGCAUAAGUUUUCUAUUAGUUACAUGGGAAUCUUAGUAAUCAACUUAUAAAUUUAUUGGGAAUCAUUUUAAAACACUAUUUAACACCAUUUACAUAACUUUAAUGGGAUACUCUUAUCUUCUUACAUGAACUCAUAACUUUGUUUAAUUGGAUUCACUAAGUCUUCAGCUUUGCAUAGUCCGAUUUGAAUAAUUUUGAGCAAUUGUACUUAUCAAUUUCCGAGGUCAUCCAAACACAGUACCCUUUACAAAUUAAGUCUUAUUGAUCGUUCCUGAGCAUCCCAACAUGGACACCAUUAGCUCUAGUUACUCUUAUUGAUCAUUUCCCGGCAAUUCUAAUGCAAAUAUCAUUAGCCGAAGCUAAUUUUAUUAAUCGUUCCCGACAGUCCUAACACGAAUGUCAUUAGCCAAGGCUAAUAUUAUAAUUCUAUUAGCCAAGGCUAAUAUUAUAAUUCAUUUUCCAGCAAAUCCUACCACAAAUAUCAUUAGCCAAAACUAAUCUCAUAAUUCAUUUCUCAGCGAUCUUAUCAUGAAUGCCAUUAGCCGAAGCUAAUCUCAUAAUUACUUUCCCGGCAAAUCCUACCAUGAAUGUUGUUAGCCAAAGCUAAUGUCAUAAAUAUACCAGACUUUAUUUACAUUGAGCAUAAUAUAUAUAAUUGCAUUCCUCCUAAAGAAUUAAAUUUCAUCAAUGUAAAUGGAAGGGAAAACCACGCACCUGCUCUGUCUGUCUCAUAACUUCCUCCAACAAAAGAUCCAAUCAUGGUCGCUCCUCCUAAAUCAUAAGAAAAUCUUUGGUCAUGUUUCCUUCAAUGUUUUUAAACCCGGCCCAGGUCACUUGUUUUGCCCAAGUCACCGGGUCUUGAUCGGGUCAACCCAAACUUUUUUUUAUAAAUAAAAACAAUGUUGUUUUGGUAAAAAAAAUAAUUAACAGGUUAUUACCUUGUUUUUGACUGGGUUUUGUCUGGUUAGCCAGGUCACCCUGGGUUGUGACUUCCCCUAUUUUUUCUUAAACCUGGCUUGGUUCCAAUCUUGAGUCUCGGGUCGACCUACCAAGCCGGGUCAGGUUUCAAAACUUGGGUUUCCUUAAAGCCUUAUGUUAUAUUAACUCUAUAUUCAUUCAUUAUACAUAUUGUACUUUCCAUACAUGUUUAUUUUCUCAUCAUAUCAUAUACAUACAUAUCAAGUAUAAUUGGCUUGGAUUUGUAGUAAAUCCUGUGAAAUUUUUGCUACAAUAUCCUCAUCAUUCUCUCUUCCCCUCUUUUCUUUUCUUAAAACCUCUCGUCCCACAUCAUCAUGUAUGGUUGUGACAUCGAAAAUGGAGCAGUUUCUUGAUUACUAGUAGCAGGUUCGUGAUUGUUAUGAUAUAGAACUCACAUUAACGAUGGAAUUCGUAUGGAAGAAGUCGUAGAAGAAGAAGAAGAACAGGGCUCAAGAUAGUGAGAUGAAGAAGACUGUUGGAGCAGAGAAUGCGUGGGCAGAGUUUGUUGGAAGGAAAACUGAUUCAAUAUAUUCAUAUCCUCUGUUGUAACAGAAUGAUUAUUAUUUAUACAGCUGAGCCUAACAACCUAGCACAUGCAUCUUCUCUUUGCACGUGAUAGUAACUGAUUUGUAAUAGAAACAUAAACUUUCUAAACGCACCGUUUAGGACUUAGUGACUUACUCGUAACGCACCGUUUUACAAUCGAUUAAUUUGAAUUUCCCUCGUGUAAAACCUAUAGCUAAAUGUUGACCUGCAACAAUUGCCCCUUCUUCAAAUGGACCUUGUCCUCAAGGUCAAAUUGGGGAAAACGAAGGGCGAUUUCAUCAGCAAAUUCCCAGGUAGCUUCUGCAGGGGUGAGACCCGCCCAAUGAAUGAGGAGUUGAGUGGCGGCCUGUAGAUUUCGCUUGACCAUUCGACGUUCCAAAAUAGCUUGUGGAAGAAGAAGAGGUUCUGAUGGCAAGGCAGGCAGUGUGGUUUGGACAACCCGAUUGCCCACCUUAUUUUUCAGAAGCGACACAUGAAACAUAGGGUGGAUGGAGGCAGAGGUAGGUAACUGCAAUUUGUAAGCUACGGUACCGAUUCUUGCUAAGACUUUGUAUGGUCCAUAGUAUUUUGAAGCUAAUUUUUGAGAAUAUCUGUGGCCUAGAGUUUUCUGUCGAUAGGGUUGUAGUUUGAGGUAGACGAAAUCACCAGUAUUAAAUUGUCUUUCACUCCUGUGUUUGUUGGCAAGCUGAAUCAUCCUAUGCUGAGCAUGUUGUAAGUUGUGUUUAACUGCUUGUAGAAUCUGUUCUCUAUUGCAUAAGAAUUUAUCCACGGUAUCGACAGGGGAGUCUUUGGGGACAUAAGGAAUGUGUAAAGGGGGAGGGUAGCCAUAGAGAAUUUCAUAGGGGGUAGAUUUGGUGGCUGUAUGGUAGUUGGUGUUGUACCACCAUUCAGCAAGGGGAAGCCACUGAACCCAGUGUGUAGGAGAAGUACCUGUCAUGCAGCGGAGGUAAUUUUCGAGGCACUUAUUGACCACCUCUGUCUGGCCAUCGGAUUGGGGGUGAUAGGCUGUCGAGUAACACAAUUUGACGCCUUGUCGAGCAAAUAACUCCUUCCAGAAGAGACUGAGAAAGACAGUGUCUCUGUCACUAACAAUGGUGGCUGGAAAUCCAUGCAGCUUGUAGAUAUUAUCGAGGAACACUCUAGCUAUAGAACAAGCAGUGUAGGGGUGGGGAAUAGCCAUGAAGUGAGCAUAUUUGCUAAAUCUGUCCACUACCACAAAUAUCACCUCCUUGCCUUCAGAUUUAGGGAGCCCCUCUACGAAAUCCAUACUAAUAUCGAUGAAAGGAUGUGUAGGAAUAGGGAGAGGUUGUAGCAGUCCAGGAGUUCGUGUAUUUUCAGAUUUGUUUUGUUGGCAAGUGGUACAUUCUCUGAUGUAUUGGCGAACAUGCCUUUGCUGGCCCUUCCAAUAAAACCCAUUGGCCACUCGUUUGGCAGUAACAGUAGAGCCUGAAUGGCCACCAGUAGCUGAAUCAUGGUAAAUGGAAAUAAUCUGAGUCUGAAGAGAUUCAUUUUGGCCUACCACCAAUUUACCUUUCCUGAAUAGUGAAUAGUGAGGGUGAGAGGUAGGCUAUUGGGUAAGUUCCUGAAUGAGAAGCUGAACUGCCUUAUCAUCCUGCCAUGAUUGUUUGAUAGCCUCUAGGAGUGUAGUGGAAAGGGAAGAGACUGCCAGGGUGCUGAGAGUGCCACAUGACACUCUUGAGAGGGCAUCAGCAACCACAUUGUCUUUGCCCUUCUUGAAUUCGAUCUCAUAGUCGAAUCCCAAGAGUUUGGCGAGCCACACAUGUUGUGAUGGACAAGUCACCUUCUGUUCCAACAGGUAUUUGAGACUAAGAUGGUCAGUACGUAUAGUAAAGUGUUGUCCCCAUAAGUAAUGUCGCCAUUUAGUAACUGCUAGGAGGAUAGCAAGGAGUUCCCUUUCAUAGGUAGAAAGUGCUUGUUGUUUAACCCCAAAUGCUUUACUAAUGAAAGCAAUCGAGUGACCUGUUUGCAUGAGAACUGCCCCCAUGCCCUUGCUGCUAGCGUCUGUCUCAAUGAUAAAUUGUUGAGUGAGGUCUGGUAGGGCCAAAACUAGAGGUUGAGUCAUCAUGAAUUUCAAUUGAUUGAAGGCUGUGGUGGCUUCUUCAUUCCACUUGUAGGCAUCUUUUUUCAACAGCUGUGUCAAGGGUUUGCAAAUGAUGCCAUAACCCUUAACAAACCGCCUGUAGUAUCCAGUGAGACCCAAAAACCCUCUUAGCUGUUUAAUGUUGCCAGGGAGAGGCCAAUUCAGGAUGGCCUGGAUCUUAUGGGGAUCAGUCGAGACCCCUGCUGCUGAGAUGACAUGGCCUAGGUAUUCCACAUGAGAGCUGCAAAAUACACACUUGCUGGACUUGGCAUACAGCAGGUUAGUCUGUAGGAUGGUGAAGACAGUUCUGAGAUGGUCUAAGUGUUCUGGCAUGGAGUUACUGUAAACAAGAAUAUCAUAAAAAAAAAAGAGAAUUGCCUUAGUUGGUCCCUGAAUACUUCGUUCAUGAGACUUUGAAAUGUGGCAGGAGCAUUAGUCAAGCCAAAGGGCAUAACCAAAAAUUCAUAGUGUCCAUUGUGGGUCUUGAAUGCUGUCUUGUAGAUGUCAUCAGGGGUCAUUCGGAUUUGGUGGUAACCAGAUCGGAGAUCAAUUUUUGAGAAGACUGAGGCACCGACCAGUUCUUCUAAGAGUUCAUCUAUUAGAGGAAUAGGAAACUUAUCUUUGAUUGUAAGUUGGUUUAAGGCCCUGUAGUCAAUGCAUAACCUCCAUGAACCGUCCUUCUUCUUGACUAGGACAACAGGUGAAGAAAAUGGGCUAUGACUAUGCUGAAUGGUUCCUGAGGCCAGCAUUUCCUUAACCAUAAGUUCCACCACAUCCUUCUGUAGGCUGGAGUGUCGGUAGGGUCGAAGGUUGACUGGGUUAGAGCCUUCUUAAGAGGAAUACUGUGAUCAUGGCUGCGAGGAGGAGGCAAACCCCUAGGUUCUUCAAACAACUCUUGGUAUUCUGCUUGCAGAUUGAUAAAAGCUGUGUUUUCAGUGAGGUCAGGUUGGAACCCAGUGGUGUAGGGUGCUCCUUGGUCCUGACUGUUAAUGGAACGUAGACUGCAUACAUUAAUUUCAGAAACCAUAUUAGUACUACAUAGCAAGCCAUUAAGUUGCUUCAGUCUGAUGGUUUCCAUGGUUACUGGAUCAUUGCCCUUAAUGAAAACCUCUUGACCUCGCCAUGUAAAUGCCAUCCACAUUUCCUCAUAGUUGCAUACAAUGGUUUUCAGGGUAGCUAGCCAUUGAAUGCCCAGUAUCAUAUCACAGUUUUUUAGAUCCAAAGUAAACACAUCAGUCGCAAAAUCAACUCCCUGGAUAGACCAUUGGAAGUUGUUACACACUGAGGUGCAAGUCAUGAUUCCCCCAUCUGCUACCUGCACUGUUAGAGCCUUAAUACUUGUAAGGUGACAAUGCAAUUUGUCUACUAUGUGAUUGCUGAUGAAAUUGUGUGUACUGCCAGAAUCAACCAAGAUAAUCAGCGGCUGGUUCUCAACCCUGCCUGUGACCCUUAAAGUGUUUAGGCCCGUCACCCCUUCUAUUGCAUUGAGGGAAAUGUGAGGGUUGUAUGUUUCAGGGUCUCGGUCAAUAGUUCUUCAUCCUCACUACCCUCUCCAUUCUCCUCCAUGAUACAUAGAGAAUACAGCUUCUUAUUUUGGCACCUAUGUCCUGGUGUAAACUUCUCAUCACACCAAAAACAAAGGCCUUUAGCACGUCUCUCGUCCAAGUCCCUAUUUCUGACAGGUCUAGUGGUUCUUUGGGUGGUGUUGGGAUUGUAAUGUGGGGGGUUUGGUAACAGACCUGCUUGUGGCUGUUUAAGGUUAGUACUGGGAAACCCGAUGGGAAAGUUUUUGUUGUAAUUAGCAGAGGUUGCAGGUUUGUUUUGGUAAGACAAGGUUGUGGGUUGAUAAGUCUGUUUGGUAGGAUUAGAACCAUAACGUCUGUGGGUGAGGGUGUUGUCCUGUAAUCUAGCUAAUGUAUAUGCUUGUUUCAAUGACUUUGGCUCAAACAUUUUGAUCAUAUUUUUAACUUCUAUAUCCAGCCCUCCUAUGAAAAAAACCAAGGCGUUUUUCUCAGAAAUUUCAGAUCGAUUCCAGAGGAUAUCAAAAUCCUUGAUGUAGGUUUCUAAAUCAUUUCUCUGCUUGAGUUCAAUGAGCUUCUCAUAUAAUUUUGAUGCCAACAUAGGGCCAUACCAUCUAGAUAAUAGGAAGCUAAUUUGAGCUUGUCUUGCUCAGCAGUUUCUUCUACAUCAAAGUAUUGGUUACACUUAUAAAUCCAUUUAAGGACAUCCUCUCCUUUAAAAAUGGAAAACUCUCGUUUCGGCCUACGCAAUUGAUAUUGAGGGGAAGUACCUUCAUUAAUCCAGUUGAAACGAGCGGUUGAGUCUCUUGUGGGAGGAGGCUGAGGAGCCUUAGGUAGGCUGCAUUCCCCUGAAGAAAGUUGGGUCUUCUGUAAUGCUGUGUCUACCCGAGAAACAAGAGCAUCCAUGGCUUCUUUAAGUUCCCUGAAGCGUGUAUUAGCAUCAGCCCUGAUAUUAUUAAGUUGUUGUUGGAUGUGAUCAUAUGUUUGAGGUUGCUCCGGAUUGGUGGUUCCAUCCACCCUUCUGGCAUCUUGGGAUCUCGUUUCAGGAGGCAUUGUGAGUCUGGAGAUGCAGCUCUGAUACCACUUGGAGCAGUUUCUUGAUUACUGGUAGCAGGUUCGUGAUUGUUAUGAUAUAGAACUCACAUUAACAAUGGAAUUCGUAUGGAAGAAGUCGUAGAAGAAGAAGAAGAACAGGGCUCAAGAUAAUGAGAUGAAGAAGACUGUUGAAGCAGAGAAUGCGUGGGAAGAGUUUGUUGGAAGGAAAACUGAUUCAAUAUAUUCAUAUCCUCUGUUGUAACAGAAUGAUUAUUAUUUAUACAGCUGAGCCUAACAACCUAGCACAUGCAUCUUCUCUUUGCACGUGAUAGUAACUGAUUUGUAACAGAAACAUAAACUUUCUAAACGCACCGUUUAGGACUUAGUGACUUACUCGUAACGCACCGUUUUACAAUUGAUUAAUUUGAAUUUCCCCCGUGUAAAACCUAUAGCUAAAUGUUGACCUGCAACAGAAAACCAUGCUGCAAGCUUGACAUAUUGUUCUGCUGCAUCGUUGGUAUAGAACAUUGCACAUUCAAUGAUUGCAACUGGGGAUUUAGUUGAUUUUCAUGGGACUGCAAUUGAUGAACUGGAGGCUGGGGAAGUUGUCCUAGCUGUAGAUUAGGAAUAGGCCUCCUGAAUCUAACUAGGUGUGACGUUGUUUUUAGAGACCUGUAAGAACAGCAAAAAUUAGUUGAGAUAAAAAUAGCAGAGUGGAAUUAAUGUUGGAAACUCAAGAGGACGUCGAUAUUGAUGGAAUGGAAACAUGCAAAGGGCUGUGUAAGUACACCUUCAGACAAGAUUCAGGUUACUUUGUCGAUAUUGAUGGAAUGGAAAGAUGCAAAGGGUUGAGUUCAGUUACUUUGUCUCACUGCAUUAUAUUUUUAUAUAGGUGGUUAUGAACUAUCAAAAUUGAGCAAUUUGGAACACCUUGACUUGGAAUUAAAUCACUUUAAUAACAGUAUUUUAUCAUUAAUGGAGAGGCUUUCAUCUCUUAAAUUCUUAAAUUUGAUUGAGAUGGGGCUGUUCCUUCAGAUGUUAAUGGUGUUUGUAAUAAUGGUUUCCUUGCAAGGAUGGCUGCCUCUUGGUUGCUUGGAGGAAGAGAGAAUCGCUCUCUUGCUCCUCAAAGAUUCUCUUAACUAUCCCGAUGGCACAUCCCUACCCUUGUGGAUUUUUAGAAGGCCAAGCCCACUGUAGUUCCUGGGAAAGUAUUAUCUGCAACAGCAGUCACCAGACUCUAUCUUGAUGGCACAAGGUACUUAAAUUAAUGCCUUCCUUUUCAACAACUUUGAAGUCAGUGGCACUGUAUCUUCUCGAGGUAAAUUAACAAAUUUUAACUCCAUAUUACUUAUCUGUGACUGUGCCCUAUAAAGAAUUCCUCUUUUCCUCUUUUAAAUGUCCUCUUUUCCUAGAGAUAAUUGAACUGACAAAGAGAAACAAUGCGAAGUACUUUCUAACCAAGAAAUGAAAGAGGGAGCGUAGGCGAAGAUUAAUUCAAACAGUUCCAGGUUUUGACAUCUGGGAGACCAUAUCAUAUGCUGCUAGCCAUAGUUUAAAAUAUCCAAGCCCUGCACAGCACCGUGAACAAGCGAAGUUUUGGCCAGCCACCACACCUUCGUCAUCGUUCAGACCAGAAGUGGAGGGGAAGUUUUGGCCAGCCACCACCUUCGUCAUCGUCCAGACCAGAUCUGUCACUGUCUUCGGCCGAUCUCUCAUUCUUCUACCGUUGGAUCAACUUGAUUUUUGGGUAUGUUAUGUGUCUCCAUAGUUCCUACAUCCAGACCGGAGGGAUCGUUCAUAUCUGCUACCGUUUAAGAAAUCUAAUUGUUUGAAGAUUUCUGGACAAACCACUCUCGGAACAGUAAGCUCCGCUGGCCUUUUUCUCACUUUUCUACCGUUGGAUCAAUCUGAAUUUUGGAUAUGUUAUGCUUAUGGUUGUAUUAAACAUUCUGAACGGUGGAGAUGAGAUGAAACCUUUUCCAGCAAAGUGUUAUGAAUGUCUAAAUGGUGGCUCGUCAAUCUCAGGUCAGUUUUGUUCUAACUCCGAUCUAGAGAGAUCCAACCGUUAACUUGAGCUGAUAUUUGGAUAUAUGCUGCAUAAGAUGUGUGUUUAUCUUUGUACCGUUGGGAUUUGAUAUUGAUUGAAUUGUUAGUCAGUAAUUGAUGUUUGAAGCUCUGUCCGGAAUCUGUCAUGACUUUCAAACCGAAACCCAAAACACCCAAAGUUAACAUCACCCCCUCAACCACUAAACAUCCCACAAACCAACACCAAAACACCCAAAACACAGCCUUCCCAUCGCAGGUUUGAUUUCCAAAAUCCCACAAACCAACAAACAAUCAAAAAUCCCUUUCCAACAACCAUCUCUGCCCAAAACAGCAACCACUCUCUAAACACAAUUGCAGUUUCCUAGCACAAAGAACAACGAUACAAUAACAAGAUCUCCCAAAAUGCUCCCAACCAAAAAGCCUUCGCUCACCCCUGCAAACCAGACCGUAGCAACGUUACUCAAACCUCACCUGAAUAAUACAGCCUCUCAAACACCUUCAAACACAACCUUCCCUGUUACACUAAACCUACCGAGACCUGUGCACCACACAAUAAACGUCCAGAACGUUAAUAAGCCUUCUUCUAACACAACCUUCCCGACCUUUACCCCUUCUAAGUUCUUUAUUGAACGUUUCCCAUCAUGGUUAGAUUAUCAUGACCUCAAAAAGACGCUUGCAAAGAUUGGUCCUGUUACCAAUCUUUUUGUCUCCAGGAAAAAAACAUCACGAGGGAGACGGUUUGGGUUUGUUUCCUUCCUCUCCACCUUAAAAGAAUCAGACAUUUGUAACAGCUUGAACCUUAUCUGGUUCGAUUCAUACAAAAUUCGUGCAAACCCGGUCAGAUUUCAGAAACCUCUAGACAAAAAACCAGACCUUGUUAUAAAACCACAACCAAAAACCAUGCCCAAACUCACCUUCAGAGACACCCGGACCUUCGUUGAAGCUCUUUCUGUCACAAAGCAUCCAAAGAAAACGGUGAUGUAUGAGUCUAUCCCCGAUGACAAGGAAUGGCUUCAGAGAAGUUUAGUGGGAUUCAUAGCCACAGACGUGGACUAUGCUCAGCUUGAGCAUAUGGUGCUAAAAAAUGUCAAGCAGACAGUUGGGUUUCGUUUUUUGGGAGCAAGCCAAGCAGUCAUCACCUUUACAAAUAGAGAAUCUAUGGAGAAAGAGCUGGUAAAUGGAUCCUCUGUUUUGGAAACAUCAUUCUUUCAUUUGAAACCAUGGGAAAAAGGAGCUAAAGCCAUAGACAGAUUUGUGUGGGUGUCCAUAUUAGGAUUACCUUUGAUAGGAUGGAAUCGCAGAUGUAUUGAAUCCAUUAUUGAGAAAGCAGGGAAAAUGCUUGGAUAUGACAUUACCAGCGUGAGCCAAGGAUCUCUCACAGGAGUUAAAGUGCUGCUGAGCACAACCUCAUUUGAGACGCUAAAUGAACAUGUUUUGCUGGUUCUAGAUGGCGACGAAUUGAAAUCUCAAUCAUGGAAAUGAAACCGGAUUUUAGUCCCCUGCUGUCUACAAUCAAACAUUCAAUGGGUGCAACAGGUAUUCAAACAUCAGAUGAAGAGUUAUGCAGUGAAUUUGCAGCUUCAGAUGAGGUUACGGCAGCGGGCACAAAGAUUACUGACACUGAUGGUGAUCAUUGUGCAACAGACAUUAUUUUAACACAGCAACAAAAGGCGGAUACGGAUAGUGAUUUCUCUCUCAUUCUCUAUCAAGGGUACACUGGACCAACAAACAACUUGGAUCAUACUGACACAAGUUCAAAAUUGCCUACCUUUUUCCUGAAACAAAAGAAACACGUGAUGAAGGGGCAACCGACAGUGAUAGCAACACAGAUGUCUCAGCACAUUCAGUUACAAGAGUGGGCCUUGUAAAAAACAGAAUCACAGGCCAGGUGAAAGGAACAAGGCUAAUCAACAAGGCAAUAAACUCAUGUAACUCAUUCUCUGAUUUCAUACGUGACCUGGCAGAGCCUCAAGAAGUAGUGGAAAUGGAACUACAGGAAAAAAAAAAAAGCUUAGACGAACCAGAAGACUUGGCCCUAAAUAUACAUACGGAAAAGGGAAGAAGGGGAAGAAAAACAGGCAUGCUUUGGCUCUUAAUGACACAUCAGAUAUUGUUCCUGACUCAUUCAGAAACACAUCUCAAAAAGAAAACGGCUCCCCCUGCUAUUAAGUCAUCUACUGAUCAACAUGAAGAUAUUACCUCUAAUCAUGCAUCCAUGGAUACAGAGACCAGUGAUACACAGCUCAUCUACCAACCCUUUUGAACUCUCAGUGCAGCCAAGAGGCCUCCUCAGAAGCGAUCAACGAAAACAACAGGAAUGCUAGAAGCAAAUCCAGGAAAAUAAAAUUGUUGCAAGCUAAUGGUAGUGUAGCUAACACUACUGAGAAAUGUGUCUCUUCUGAUUCCCUCAAUUCGGGAAUUAAGCAAGGCAAUGUCCGGUUCCAGACAACCUGUGAGAAUAAUCAAGCUGAUGGUUUUGAUAUAGAUAAGGAAACCCAGGAAAUGUUACAUGAUGCAGCGGCUCUAGGCUUGGGACCAUUCCAAGAUCUUAUAGGGUAUGAAGAGGGAGUUCGGGGGAACAUUGACAGAGAAGUAGACGAGUGGAAAUCAGUCAAUCAGUUGUAAGUUUCUUAACUUGCUAAGUUUUGUUCUGUCAUGGUUUUGAUCUACCUAUGAAUAUUUUUGCUUGGAAUAGUUGUGGGUUGGGUAUGUUGAACAAACGUCAUUCCAUCCGGAAUAGGUUGCUCAACAGUAAUGUUGAUAUCUGCUUUCUAUUAGAAACAAAAAAAGAUAAUUGUUGCGAUUCAUACAUCAGGAAUUUGUGGAAUGUGGUAACUGUUAAAUGGGCUUUGCUAGAGUCUGUAGGCAAAUCAGGAGGGAUAAUUGUGAUGUGGGAUAGUUCUAUCUUUGAGGUUAAUUCCAUAGAAUUUGGGGGGCAAUGGAUCAGCCUAUGCGGUAAACAUGUUCAUUCUUCCUUUAACUGCAUGGUAGUUGGUGUUAUGCUGCAUCUUCUGUGCAAGAUCGUGCUAAGCUGUGGGAAGACAUCACUACUCUGAAGUUUGCCUUUGAAUUACCAAUGGUGGUGAUAGGUGAUUUCAAUGAAACUCUUCAAGCUAAUGAGAGAAGUAGCGGCUACAUUAAUCAUUCAGGGUCAGCUGCUCUCCGUAAUUUCCUGUCCGAUUGUGCUCUGAUUGAAUUCAAACUGCAGGGCAACCGUUUCACUUGGUUUAGGGGGGGUUCUAUGAGCUGUAUUGACAGGGCUUUCGCAUCUCCAGAGUUCCACCUCCAGUUUCCAUUCUUAUCACUCUACCGUUAUCCUAGGGGGAUGUCUGAUCACUGUCAAUUGCUUCUUCAGGCACCAAAGGUAGAUUGGGGAUGGAAGCCUUUCCGCUUCAUAAAUAGUUGGUUGUCACACCCUACAUUCUCAGCUGAUUUUGAGAUCUUCUGGUUUGAUAGUUGCAAGGAAUUUCCCGGUGACUAUAGAUUGGUAAAGAAACUAGGAACUUUGGGGAAAAGACUGAGACAAUGGAACAAAUCCACCUUCGGUAAUCAAAAUUCAAAACUUGCAGACAUUCAGAACUCCAUCACAACCAUCGAAGACUUAAGCGAGGUACGCCUCUUGUCUGAGACUGAAAAAACAAAGCUCAAGAAUCUGAACUCUGAACUUUGGGAGGUUAGUAGGAAUGUCGAGGGCAUUUGGAGGCAGAAAUCCCGCCAAAACUGGUGCAAAAUGGGGGAUAAAAACACUCGGUUCUUCCAUCUUUCGGCAAGUUUGAGGAAUGGUCGGAACCACAUUAGCAAGAUUGAGCAGAAUGGCAGAUUUUUGGACUCUCCAAAUGACAUCAAAGAGGGUGCUGUCAACUUCUUCUCAACUCUGUUUGCCAAGCCACAAUGCAGAAGAAUUGAAAUGGGAGACUCAGGGUUCUCUAAAAUUUCAGAAGAAAGUUCAGUUUGGUUAGAAAGACUACCUUCAUUGGAGGAAGUGAAGCAAGCCGUAUGGGAUUGUGAUGGUUCAAAAGCCCCCGGUCCUGACGGGUUCACCUUCUCCUUCUAUAAAAAGGAAUGGAAUCUUAUCAGCCCUGACAUCUUUGUGAUGGUCACAGAAUUUUUCAGAACAGGUAAAUUACCAAAGGGGAUCGGCUCGUCCUUCGUGACUUUGAUUCCAAAGACCAAGAGGCCGAGCACUUUCUCCCAAUUUCGACCAAUUAGUUUGAUUCAUGGGUUAUAUAAAAUAGUGGCAAAGCUCUUGUCCACUAGGCUCCGAAGCAUUCUACCAGAUGUGAUAAGUGUAAACCAGUCUGCUUUCAUUGCCGGGCGUCAGAUUCUAGAUGGGUUCAUGAUAGCAAACGAGGUUGUCCAUAGUAUUCGUAGCAAAAAGGACCACGGGUUUUUGCUAAAGGUAGAUUUUCAUAAAGCCUUCGACUCGAUUUUAUGGGAGCAUAUCGAUUCUACCAUGGGUUAUAUGGGUUUUGGAUCUCACUGGAGGAAACUGAUCUUUGAAUGCAUGUCCACUUCUAAAUUGGCCAUCCUGAUUAAUGGCUCACCAAGCAGAGAAUUCAGUAUGGAGAGGGGUCUCAGGCAAGGGGACCCCCUCUCUCCUUCCUUUUUGACAUAGCAGUUCAGGGGUUAACAGUUCUAUUCAACAGGGCAUCAGAUUCAGGUUACUUUAAAGGUUUACAGACUUCGCAAGGACAUCACAUAACCCAUUUGCAAUAUGCAGAUGACACUUGAUUUUCCUGCCGAAUGAUUAUAUCUCUCUAUUGCAUGUCAAGAGGAUCCUCCGCUGGUUUGAGAUCAUUUCAGGACUGAAAGUUAAUUUCUAUAAAAGCUCACUUAUAGGAAUUAAUUUGGAUAACGAAUACACUUCAGGUCUGGCUAACACAAUUUUCUGUCGCAGUGACUCUUCCCAGUCAGAUACCUUGGGUUGCCUCUUGGUGCUAACCCAAAUAGGCUCUCCACUUGGAAACCGGUAUUGUCCACAAUCAGAGCAAAGUUAAGCAAAUGGAAAGGGAAGUUUUUGAGCAUGGCCGGAAGGAUAUGUCUUAUUAAAUCUGUCUUAAACUCUCUACCUCUAUACUAUAUGUCGGUCUUUAUUAUGCCAAAGGGCAUUGCAAAAGCAAUAUCCUCAAUCAACCGAUGUUUUCUCUGGAAGGGCUCCUCAAAUUCACAUGGUAUUUGUAAGGUUGCUUGGCAUAAGGUAAUUAAGAGUAAGCCACUGGGAGGUCUCGGGCUUGGUUCUAUUCACAGUAAAAAUCUGGCUCUGAUGUUUAAAUGGCUUUGGAACCUUGACAAAGGAGUGGUAGGAGGUUGGCAAGAGCUCAUCUUACGAAAGUACCGGCCACAUUUUUCAAAUGGCCUUCCUGUGUUUGCAGGUUCUUUAUCUCCAACUUGGCGUGGCAUGGUAUCUGCAAUUUCCUUAAAUCACAGCAUAGCCGCUCCCAUCCAAUCCAAUGUUGGGUUUAAGGUGGGUGAUGGGAGAAACAUCAGGUUUUGGUCUGAUUCUUGGCUAGGCUAUGCAGCCCCUCUCCAGUUCAUGUUCCCUAGGCUCUACAACCUCUCCCUGCAGCAAUCUUUAAGCGUUGCAGAAGUUCAUAACCCAACAGAUAACUCAAUCAAUCUUUCUUGGAGAAGACCACUUCGAUCCCGAGAACUCUGCAUGUGUGAAAGCUUGAUAGCAGAAGUGGAACGUGGCCUAGUCUUCUCUGAUGGUGAAGACAACAAGAUUUGGAAACACCAUAGCUCCAACAAUUACACAGUCUCCUCUGGGUGCCAUCUCUUUGACGGUUUAAAUGUUUCAGGACAUCUGCACUCCCCUGCUUUGCUUUGGAAAGGGUUUGCGCCUCCAAAAAUAGAUGUGUUCAUAUGGCUUCUUUUCAAUGGCAGUGUCUGCACAAAGGGUUUCUUAGCUGAGAGGAGAAUCAUCAAUUACGAGGAAGCUCUUUGUCCUUUCUGCUGCAAGGAGAUUGAGACUACACAUCAUCUUUUCCAUCUUUGUCCAAAAUCAUGGUCUCUUUGGGGCAGACUAUUUAGUUGGUUUGGGUGUGUAGGUUGUCUGCCAAAAGAACCAUAUCAUAACCUUCAGGAAUGGUCUAACAUGGUAAAAGGAAAAUUCCAGCGUCAGGCAAUUUCCCUUCUCUGUAAAGGAUUAUACUGGUCAAUUUGGAUAGCGCGCAACCACAUGAUCUUUGACAACAAAACUCCAGACUGGGAUGUGAUUUUUGACCUCACCUUUCAUCGGUUGGCCUUUUGGUUGAAGUCCUUUGUUAAAAAUUUCAGCUAUACGGGCUCUGAUCUUUAUAGAAAUCCUGAAUGUAUUAUGAACUGGACUAACUAGUCAGGUCUUUAGAUUCCUUGUUUUCUUAAUGUAUUUUUAAUUUCCCAUGUAAUCUUCCUUAUCAGCCCUCAUCUCCUUAAUGGGGGCAUAUUAUUUAUAAUAUUCUCGAUUACUAUCAAAAAAAAAUGUCCUCUUUUCCUAUUAAACAAUUUGUCCAUCAAGUUUUUGCCCCACCAGUAAGAUGGUUCACUGAAAAGACAAAUUUUGGAAAUGCUUUUGUUUGAUCUAUUUUCUGUUAUUCUCCUAAAAUAUCUUCGUUCCUUGAUAGUAUUCUCUUGGAUAUGAUGAGGUACUACUCCAUUUUUUGAUCUUUGCUGGCCUAGCAUUCCGUGGGUCUAUUUUAUAGAUUGCCAAAUAGUAUAGUCUCCGAGAAUUCUCAAAUCUAUUAGUAUUUGAAUUCAUACAAACAGAGAAAUGGCCAAUUACCAACCGCCCAAGGUAAGGUUAAUGACUCUUAUUCUCUUUAAAUUAUAUAUUUUCCAUUAAACAGUAAGAGUUUAAAAUUUUCUAAAUUAUGAUGUCAGGCCUAUGUAACUUAAAUGAUCUCCAAGAACUAGAUAUGAGGUUAGUGGUGUCUUAUCUCCAUGUCUGGCAGAUGUUACUGGAAAAUCUCUAUAUCAUUGAACCCACUAUGCAAACUUUCAAAACUCAAGUCUUUUCAUGGUUUGGAAAAUGAAAUAUCCACAGAAGAAGAUGGUCAUAAUUAAUUAAGCCCAAAGUUCCGGUUAGAGUCUCUUGGUUUGAGGUGUCAUGGACAAGGUGGAGCAUUUUCCAAGUUCUUUACCAUCAGUUGAACCUACAAUCUUUGGAUCUUACAAACAUCCAAAUAAAGGGAGAGUUUCCAAAUUGGUUGACAGAGAACUAUUGUAAAACUGAUAUAUAAAGAACAUACUAUUGUUGAUGAAUUAAAAAAAAAAAAAAGAAGAAAGUCUUUACAGUUUAAAGAACAAGGAGCAGAAAAUGUUUCGAUAGGUUACUGCCGUCCCUAAUGUUUUAUUUAUAGAAGGAAACAAACAUUACAAAAUUAUAAAAAACUGAAGAAACGUACCAGUUAUGAUCUCCUUUAUCUAAGGAGUUGUAUAACAAGCUAGUCUAAUCCUAGAUAAACUUAAACAAACGAAUUGAAAGAAACAUCCUAAUCUAGAUAAUGUUAUAAGCUAACAGAUAGAUAGCAAUGUAGUAGAUUACUGCUAAGUAAUCCUGUUCCAGCUUUGGUACCAGACUUCAACAAGAAUAACACAUACGUACCUAGAAUAGUUGACCUUGGUGCAGAACUAAUGAGUGAUGUAAACUAUUCAUCAGAACCAGUGAAAUUGAAAGACUUGCAAAGAAUCCUGAGUAAUAUUGGUGAUGGAGGUAUGUUCUGCUCAGAUAGUGCAAUUGACCAUAUCUUUUGUUGUCUUAUGUGUUGCGAUUUCUUGUGUGUCUUACGUCGUUGUAUUCUAAGGUAAUUAUGAGGUUGCAAGGCCACUAAACUCCAGAGGAUAUUUUAGACUUUUUGCAGAGCCCUCCUUUCCGUCAACAAGUGGAUUCUUUUACUUAUGUAAGAAAUGCGAGGCUGAUCCUUCUUGUUCUGGUUCCUGUCCUUUUGAUGAUAGCCAAUUUUACAAGGUUUAGCUCUUCUUUUUGCUUGAAGGUUCUCCGAACUGGACAAAUAGAUUUGUCUGAAUUUGGGAUCAACCCCAAUAAAUAUGAGUGGUUUGUGGCUCUAGAACCUGUACCUUAGCAAUGGUUUUCUCUUUAGCAAAUCAUUUACUCGUGUUCAUUAGCAUUAACUAAAGUCUUUAGUUAAUUCUUUCUUGGGAAAUUCUUAUUAGGGUUGCUUAUAUAACUAAUGAUUAUAGAACCUUGUUCGAAGUAACCUGAACAGCCUCUUCCUCGGCAAUCCUGGCAUUUCUUGAUCUACCCAAUACUGGUUUGGGCACACACCUAUAUAUAUUUUUUGGAGUUUCAAGAAGCCAUGCUCUAUGUAGGCACACAUAGAAUUUCCCACACCAAAUCAUAAUCAAACUCGAUCCGCUUUAGUAAUCUAUUUUAUUUAAACAUGCAGUCUGCCAAACCCAAUCCAGAAUAACAAGGCAUCCUUUUAUUAAUUCACGUAGAAACUACUAGUCCUAAGUUUAUAAAUCCAAUCAUAGAGCAAUCAGUGAAGAAACUUCAUUAUUAUAUAUCACACAGAAACUAAAAACAAAAACAAAAACAAAAACAAAAACAAAAACAAAACUCAAAUGAAAAUCAAUAUAAACUUAUUUAAAUCUUGAAACUAAAACCCAAAACCAUGCACCAAGGCUUAGUACCAUCAAGAUAAAAGGCUAUGAAAAUCCAAACUUAGAUAAAAUGAGAAGAUUGUCCACCAGAAAAUAAUAGCAAUUGUUGAUGCUCACCUCAAUAAAGUGAAACCAAGAUUGUUGCCAAUUUGGAUUUAUGUACAAAAUUGCACCUAUCACCAAUAACACCAUAAUGUAUGCAACCCCAAGGCUCACAUAGAAAACCUCUAUAUCCAUGAAACCACCAUUAUCUUAUUAUUCGUUGAAGUUGGCAUUGGUGAUGGUGGCAUAGCCACACCACAUAUUUUGGGUAGCAGUUCUCCACAAAAAAAGGGUUGUCCUUGUAGUAGCUCUCUUCAAAUGUGAUAAACUAUGCAACUCUAACAAGAGUCUUGCUAAAUCUUUUAAAUCUAUCAACCUUUCCGGCCUAUUAUAAUCUAAAUAUAGUGAUUAAAGAGAUGAAAAUCCCUCCACAAAUGAUAGAAUAUUGUUAUCGAAACAAUUAAUUCUCAAGUCAAUAUACUCCAAAUUGUUCAAUUUAUGUAACUCAUAACUGUCGCAUGUCACCCGUGCGGCAUCAGCUUGGUGAUUUUUCAUUGUCGUUUGAUUUGAUUGGUUUAGAGUUGCCACCUAGUAUUUAAUUGAGGACUACUAGGAAACCUGAGUGUACUAGUCUUGUCAGAGAUUCACGGGUAAGGGACUACUAGGCGGUCAAGAGUGGCAGAGGGCCGUCGGCUGGCUUUUUGUUGGCUGGGAGUUGGGUUUUUCUAUUUUUGAUAAAGGGGGGCGUGACAGCUUCUCUUGGAGAAGAUAGAGUUAGGUCUUUUUUUUUAGGGUUUUCUCUCUUCUUUUUUUGUGUUACCUCCCCCUGAAUGUUCAAAAGUACCCCCCCCUUUGUUUUGAGUUACGGACCUAUAUUUAUAGGUAAAAUGUUGCUCGGGCUUCAAAAUUGGUCUCUCAACCUUUUUUUUUUGUAAAUUUUGAUUUUUCUUGUAUUUUUGAAAACAAGCAACAUCAACGCCAACUCAAUGAGAGAAAUCAAGGAUUUUAAAAACGACGCGUGAAAAGUCGAACGCGUUCGAAAGACCUUUGAAAAUUUAAAUUUGUUUUUAGAUGAUGUUGAAAAUGCUAAAAACAAUGCAAAUAUAUUAAAAACAUAUUUUUUGAAUUUUCGUUGUUUUCCGCUAUUUUUGGAUUUUUUGAAAAUUUUAUCAAAUAGGUGGGUCAAAAAUCGGGUAACAACAUAUGUCCCCUCUUUACAAUGCUUACGAAGCAAAACUCCUCAAUGUUUUGCAUAGUAAGCUUUGUAAAGAAAAGGAAAGGAAAAUGAUUUCAUUAUCUUGGGCAACCUGCCCCUUUUAAAGAAAAGUGAUCUAUUUUCAGGGGUGACCUGCUCAUACACUCACACUGGUCUAUUUUCAAGGGUGAUCUGCCCACACAUAUGUAAAGUGGCCUACUUUCAUGGGCGACCUGCCCUUUUGAUUGGGUUUAUCUAAGAUCCCAUCUGACAAAUUAACAAGAACCAAAAUCGGUGCGUAGCUCGGUCAAUUUGAAAUCACAUCUAGCGAUUCCCUUUAACCAAAGCUAAAUUCUGCAUGGUUAUGAUAAACUGAGAUCCCUAAACCAAUCCCCUUUAACCAGAACCAAAAUCCAUUGUAGUUAGGCUAAACUGAGAUCCCUUCGCCGAUCCCCUUUAACCAGAAUCCAAAGUUCUGUGUGUGGUUAUGAUAAACUGAGAUUCCUUCGCCGAUCCUCUUUAACCAGAACCAAAAUCCUUUGUAGUUAGGUGACAAGACCAAAAAAUUGAUGUCUUCUCCCAAGUGCAGGAGUAUCGAAGUAAUAAAUAACCCGGCAAGACCGGGGUCGAACCACAGAGAGGUAAUUGUAUAAAUUAUAAAUAACAAGACAACAACAACAACAACAACAACAACAAUAACAACAACAACAACAACAACAAUAACAAUAACAAUAAUAACAAUAAUAAUAAUACUCAGUACGUGGCGUUGUUAUACCUGAGAAUGAUCUAAAAGAUCGGGUCAUAGGUUUCCAACCUAUAUACUAAGUUUAUGAAAAGAUCAAAGAGAUAAAUUAUAUAAUAUAAACAAAAUGUAAAUAAUAAUAAUAAUAAAAAAAAAAAAGAAGAGGAGGAAGAAAUUAAUGAGAACUUUGAGAUGGAAGAUUAAUGUAAGGAUUAAACAAUGAUAAAAACAAAUGUCAAGGUUAGAGGAUCCACCAAUGGUAUUUCAAACAAGUAUAGUAUAAACUCUUAUUAUUCAACUGGAAACCACACACAAAGGAGGUUCCAAUCGGAUGAUUUCUCAUUAAUAGCUCAUUAUAAAUUAUUAACAUGAUCAUAUUAAUUAUCUUAAUUACAUAACACCAAACUUUUAAAUAUUGUCAGGAAUUCAUGAUAUUAACUGAUGUUAACAACAAAUCAAGUUCCUUUCAUAGCCCAGGUGUAGGUAAUACCAUACUGUUGGGCUAUGAGAGUGCCAAGCAUUUGUUGUACCAAGUGUUAUACAACACAAAUCUAGAUUAACCAUUUAACAAGCAAGGUAUUAAGAAUUAGUAAGAUAAAAAGAUAAGACAUGUUAAUAUUAAACAUUAAGAUCCAUGUUGAGUUUACACUAUAUUUAUUCUUACACCAUUAGUGUAACCUUUUCACCUUGACAUAAUAAACUUAGCUAAACAUAAUGAAGAAGAGAAACAUAAAUAAACAAAACAAGAACAUAAAGAAAAUACAAGUUAACUAAGUAAAGGAAAGGAAAUGAAAAGCAUAAACAAGAUAUUAAUGAAAGCAAAACUUAAAAAUUACAAAAAAAUAUAAAGAGAGAAAUAAAGAGCAUGAGCUUGAUCUGAACAACCAAGCCCAAAUACAUGGCAAAUGCCUCCUUUUAUAGGCCAAAAUUCGGAAUUAUUGAUUUGAUGACUAAUUGUUGAGUGGGUGGCCAACUUUUGACUUGGUGAAAAUCCUUAUCUUCUUGUCUGAAUAAAAAAAAUGCUACCAUCCGAACUGGGUCCACUGGAAAACAUGAAAGUUGUAGGAAAUUGACUCAGCUUUCCAGGAAAAAAAAAUGGAGGUCAUUUGGACUUCUAGAACUCCAGAUAUGGGCCAAACACUGAACAGUGUUCGGGCUGCAGGACAGAUUCGGACUUCUCCGUUGUUGCUAUAAUUUGGACUUGAAAACGGCCUUCUUAGAUCUUGAUGAAAACAUGAAAGUUGUAGGCCUAUGUCUUACUGAAUCUGUGUAAAAUUUGAGGUCAUUUGGACAUCUAGAACUCGAGAUAUGACCCAAUUACCGAACAGUGUUCCAGUUUGGACUGCACCAACAUCUCUUUUCUAAGUUUCACCCUCUCUUUAUCUUUGCAAAUUUCAGUAGUUGAAUUCAUCAAUCAAUCCUUUGAUUUAUGUGAUAGGCCUGCAUUUAAGAUGAACAUUUACCAUAUAUUAGGGCAUUUUAUAGUUUUAGACUUGUUAUUAUAAAACAUGCUUUAGUUAAGGAGUUAUUGAUACUUUAAGUGCAAAAUGAUGAUAUAAAACCUUGAUAAAUAUGCACUUUUAAGUACUAAUCAUUAGGCUAAACUGAGAUCCCUUCGCUGAUCCCCUUUAAUCAGAACCCAAAGUUAUGUGUGUGGUUAGGAUAAACUGAGAUCCCUUCGUCGAUCCCCUUUAACUAGAACCAAAAUCCUUUAUAGUUAGGCUAAACUGAGAUCCCUUCGCUGAUCCCCUUCAACUAGAACCAAAGUCUAUGUGUGGUUAGGAUAAACUAAGAUCCCUUUGCCGAUCCCCUUUAACCAUAACAAAAAUCCUUUAUAGUUAGGCUAAACUAAGAUCCUUUCGCCGAUCCCCUUUAACCAAAACCCAAAGUUCUAUGUGUGGUUUGGAUAAACUAAGAUCCCUUCACCGAUCCCCUUUAACCAGAACCAAAAUCCAUUGUAGUUAGGCUAAACUGAGAUCCCUUCGCCGAUCCCCUUUAACCAGAAUCCAAAGUUCUAUGUGUGGUUAGGAUAAACUAAGAUCCCUUCGUCGAUCCCCUUUAACCAGAACCAAAAUCCUUUGUAGUUAGGCUAAACUGAGAUCCCUUCGCCGAUCCCCUUUAAUCAGAACCCAAAGUUUUGUGUGUGGUUAGGAUAAACUGAGAUCCCUUCGUCGAUCCCCUUUAACCAGAACCAAAAUCCUUUGUAGUUAGGCUAAACUGAGAUCCCUUCACCGAUCCUCUUUAAUCAGAACCCAAAGUUCUAUGUGUGGUUAGGAUAAACUGAGAUCCCUUCGUCGAUCCCCUUUAACCAAAACCAAAAUCCUUUGUAGUUAGGAUAAGCUGAGAUCCCUUCGCCGAUCCCCUUUAACCAGAACCAAAAUCCUUUGUAGUUAAGCUAAACUAAGAUCCUUUCGUCGACCCCCUUUAACCAGAACCCAAAGUUUUGUGUGUGGUUAGGAUAAAUUGAGAUCCCUUCAUCGAUCCCUUUUAACCAGAACCAAAAUCCUUUAUAGUUAGGCUAAACUGAGAUCCCCUCGUCGAUCCCCUUUAACUAGAACCCAAAGUUCUGUGAGUGGUUAGGGUAAACUGAGAUCCCUUUGUCGAUCCCCUUUAACCAAAACCAAAAUCCUUUGUAGUUAGGCUAAAUUGAGAUCCCUUUGCCGAUCCCUUUUAACCAGAACCCAAAGUUCUGUGUGCUGCUCGGUCAACCUGGAAUCCCAUCUGGUGAAUCCCUUCAACCAAAGCUAAAACAUUCAUGGUGGUUAACCUGGGAUUCCUUCUGGCAAUCUCCUUUAACAAAAAAAAAUGUUUCUUCUUCAAGAUGAUUGGGUUAAAAUUAAAGACUCUUCUUCAUUGAUCUUCUUAUUUCUUUGAGAUUUCCUUAAUGUUAGGGUUUAUCUCAUCUUCCUCCCAUUUCGGGGUCAAAACCAUGAUUCUUUGUUGUUCAUCAACUCAAUGAUUCUUUCUUUGUGCCUAAUCUUGCUCGACUAUAUUGAGGAUUUUUCCUGCAACAAAUCAAAAAUAUAUGGAAUACUUCGACGUUAGAUGCAUGCAUCCUUACCUGAUUUGAAAUAUAGGUCCCCCCCUCUUCAAUGUUCCAUCAUCAUAGCACCUUUGUUUGUUAUUCAAAGCUUUCUUUAUUCUUUCAGUGCAAUGGUUCAUUCGUGUGCUAGCCUUCCACUCUAAUGUAAGUGUAGUGCCUAUCGUGGGUUGUCCAUGACAGUUACUACUCUUAUUGCUUCUCAAGCUUGACCAUGCUUCCAUGUGUGAUGUAGCUUGAUUCCAUAAAUUAUCUUAUCUCUUGGAUUCUUCCGAGAAUUGUUCUUUGUUUGAAUAUGUGCAUCGUGCCAAUGCCCAUUAAAAUUGUCAAUCAAUCAUGGACUUGCCCCCAGUUGAAACAAUACUCUUCAAGUAUAUGUUAUCAUCAGUAUUCUUGGAAACUAUCCAAUCAUCCAGACAUGCAUCUCAUAGCUUGCAGUAUAAAGGCUCAUGGUUGUAUGCUCAGUGUUCUUCUUAAUAGAUUCCUUUCAACUCUUCUAAUCAAAUUGUGAAAAGAAAUGUCUCGGCCUCAUUAAUGAUGUUGCUUUUAUCACCCAUAUUCAUGCGGUGAAGUGCUCAUUUGGCUUCAAAACAGAUGGUACCACAGUCAGUCUUAGUGGGUGCAUCCUUUCAACAUUCAUUCAAAUGCAAUUAUGCGAUAACAUCAUUCAAAAGUCAUAGCCAUGUUGGAGAUGAUAAACCAAGAUGAAGAUAUGAAAAUAUCCUUCAAGUGCAGCGUUGCUCAUCAAUUGUUGCUGAAAUGCACUAAAUCACAGACUAUCUUUAAACAACAUUGCCCCCAGUCGAUUUGAACAUGCUCAUUCUUCAGUCUAUAAUCAAAUGGCUUUUGUGAUUGCCAAGAAUGACUUUGAUGGACUUUGGUGACUCAUCAUCUGAUUCUUUCUUUGCCCCCAGCUGAUAUGAAUACUUUUUGUUUUUCUUCUCAAGGUCCACUAUAUUGCCCCUAGGUGAUCAACUUUUCAAGGAGUGUCGAGAAAUGUUGAUGUCAUUUUUGUCAAGGAUUUUGCCAAUUUGAUCGAUAUUCUUCUUGUUUGGCAAUCUUUCUUGUUUUGGAAUCAAAUCUCAGAUUUUGAAGAUCAUGUCUAUUCAAAGUCUAGUUGUUGAAAUGAAAUCAGAGAUGUUGGUUUUGGAAAAGAUUUUGAAAAUCAAACCUCUUUGAUCAAAGACCCAAUACGCCAUUCAAUGUAAUCAUUUGAUUGUCUUGUAAUUUGAAAGCAGAAAUUGACCCGUUGUGAGAUUAAAAUAGCUUUUUUGGUUCUUUAUAUCUAUUUUAAUAUUUGAUCUUGAGUGUAUCAUUUGAUGGUCUGUGAUGAGGUGACCUUUUGUGAAUUUCAAGGAAAACAAAAGACUCAAGUCAAAACUUAAGGAUUCAUCAAGAAAGAUUGUUUUCUUUUUUAACACCAAUUUUAUCAGAAUGCAUAAUAACAAGUAGCUUAAUCCAUGAAGCCACGACUCUUAUGGAAAGCUCUUCAAGUUUUGAGAUCGCCAUUUAUCGGUUCAGAUUGCUUCUUGAUUAAAAAGAGCUUUUUAAAGCACGUAAUGCAGGCUAUGGUUCAUGGUUAUGAAAGAAAGGAAUUUCACAAGCUCAAAAGUUGUUUUAGGGUUUCAACGACUAGGAUCAACAUUAACUAUUCAUAAACUCCUUUUCUCUUGUUGUUGUCGCACGUGUGCGGCGGCGCGGCGAUCGUCCACCCUCAAGAAAAAAAUCGGAAUAUUAUAUUCCUGGCAAAUAGGGAGAGACAAGAAAAUUCUUGUCUCUACAAGUGAAAAUAUGGACUGGGAGUCGCCACCUAGUAUUCUGGUUACUUGGAACCUUAACUGGUCUUCUUUAGCGAUCGGGUACGGAGACUGGUUGCGUAAAGGGAAGGUAUUAGCACCCCAACUACGCCCUACCUAAGGUAGGCUGCAUUGUUUUAAAGUCUGAUCAAAUCUAAAAUCGUGUUGUGGUUUUUUUAUUUGUUGGUUCGUUUACGGUUUAAGAAAAGUCCUCCUCUGUAAGGAGAUCCUUAUCUUUAUCGGGUAAAAAACUAACUAUUCGAAGUCGUCAAAAGAAAAUAUCUUUUUAAUAUCAGGAAUACGAUUUACGUAUAAAUUCAUAAUCCCUGAUACUAAAAUCAAACAAAAUAAAAUAUUUUGUUGUUUUUGAGAUUUUGGCCAAUGUUCUCUUGACUUUAAUAAACUGGUUAUUAAAGCCAAAAUGCAUGCUAAAAUAUUGUUUUUUGACAUAUGAAAAAUACGAUAUGAUUUUUUAGAUUUGAGACACUUGGCCGUAUGCACAAAAACAUUUUUUUUCUCUUUUUUUAAUUUUUUUUUUUGUAUUUUUGGAAGUUUUUGCCGAAAACCGGGUAUUUUAAUACCGGAUUUGUAUUUUACGAAUAAAAAUACUGCCCGAUAUUAAUCAAAAUGACGCGGAAAAAUUAUAAAAUGCUGAAACAAAUAUUUUUGAUUUUUUUUGUGUGAACAGUACCGUGUGAAAGAUAAGUGCGAAAACCGGGUAUUUUAAUACCGAAUUAUAUUUUUACGAUGUAAAAUACAUACCGAUAUUAAGCAAAAUUGAUAAAAAAAUGUGCUGGAAAAAUUGUAAAAAAAAAAUAAAAAAAAUAAAUGGGCCGGACCAUAUCAGUUGGGCUAAAUGGGCUGGUUACUGUGCAUAAGCACAGUAACCAGCCUCUCAUCAGUUGCAGAACGUGAAUUAAUUCACGUUCUGCAUGAAAAAAAAAGAAGGCAGAAAGGAGAAGGAGACGGGGCAGGGGUUACCUGCGGUGGCGUCGAGGCGGUGCUGCUGGUGGCAGCGGAGGCGAUGGUGGCGGAGGCACGGUGGUUCUGCGUUUUCUUCUCUCUCUCGUUUUCUCUCUCUUUUUUCUUCUUUUCUUUUCUUUUUUCUUCUUUCUUCUCUCUUUUCUUCUCCUCUUCUUCUUCCUCUCUCUCUCUUCUCCUUCUCUUCCCCUCUUCUUUUUUUUUUUCCUCUUCGGUCUCCCCUGUUUUUAUAGGCAAAAACAGGGGGGGACGUCAUGGUGGUGGCCGUUGUGCUGCCGCCCGUCCAACGCCCGUAACGUGGAAAGUGGUCGGCAAGUCGGCGUCUUUUUUCGCAAAAAACGGGAAAGAAAUUAGGCGAAAAGGGGAAGAAAAAAUCUUCUUCUUCCCCUGCCUCGCGCGUCCAGGGGAAGAAGAAGAGCUACAGUGCCGUCAAAACGGCACCGUUUUGCCCAGCUUCUUCUCCUCUUCUUUUCCCCGCCGGCGGUGACACUCACCGUCACUAGCAAAAGAAGAAAAAAUACAAGCAGUCGAUUUUCUAGGUCCACUCGAUUUUGGAUGGCGGCCGAACUAAUGGUUGUGGAAGGAGUGUUGGAUGGCCAGAGCAGCGGUGUCACCGUUGGGGAAAGGGACAACACUGGAUCUGUGGGCGUUACUGUUGAGGAAACCGAAGGGGAAGCAACCGUUGCUGAUGGGGAAGGAUACGCUGUUGUUGGAGGUUUAGGGUUCGGUGGAGGCCGGUUUGGCCGCUAGUCUGUGGGGGAUGAGAGAAGGAAGAGGGUGAGCGAUGGGGUUUUGUUUCUUUGCAAGGAAGAUGGAGAUUUUCGAGCAGCAACUCUUUUAGGGCAAAGAGAGAGGAAGUUCAAAAUGAGGGUGGUGGCUCUAGUGAGGCCAAGAGGGAAGAUGAUGGGGAGAUGGGGGCUCUGGUUUUCUUUGGCAAGGCCAAAGGGAAAAAAUGAGUGGCUGGCUGUGAGAGGGAGAACCGGUUUUGGUUUGGGUGAGCGACUGUAGAGGUAAAACGAAAUGGCCAAGGGAGAAGGUGGCCGAGAGUGGUAGAGGUCCACCGACUGGCUUUUUGUUGGUUGGGAGUUGGGUUUUUAUGUUUUUGAUAAAAGGGGGCGCGACGGCUUCUCUUGGAGAAGAUAGAGUUAGGUCUCUUUUCUUUUUAGGUUUUUUUUUUUUUGUGUUACCUCCCCCUGAAUGUUCAAAAUUACCCCCCCCCCUUUAUUUUGAGUUAUGCACCUAUACUUAUAGGUAAAAUGUUGCUCGGGCUUCAAAAUUGGUCUCUCAGCUCUCUUUUUUUUUUUUGUAAAUUUUGAUUUUUUUUGUAUUUUUGAAAACAAGCAACAUCAACGUCAACUCAAUGAGAUAAAUCAAGAAUUUUAAAAACGACGCGUGAAAAGUCAAACGCGUUCGAAAGAUCUUUGAAAAUUUAAAUUUUUUUUAGAUGAUGUUGAAAAUGCUAAAAAUGAUGCAAAUUUAUUAAAAAUAUAUUUUUUGAAAUUUUGUUGUUUUCCGCUAUUUUUGUAUUUUUUAAAAAUUUUAUCAAAUAGGUGGGUCAAAAAUCGGGUAACAACAAUAACCACCUACAUAAAUAAAUUAAGACUUCAUGUAAUGUUUUCUUAAAAAAAAGAUAUUGUUGGAUUUAUUUAAUUAUGAUCGAUUAAGAGGUAUGUUAUUGCUAUAGUGACGUCAUGUAAAGAGGUUGAGGCGGUGAAAGUAUAAGUAAAAGGACUAAUUGUUACAGUGAUGAUGUCAUGAUUAUAAAAUAUUAGUAAUGUAAUUAUAUAUGUGAAUAUAUGAUAUAAAUGUUAUAAAUAAUAAAGUUUAAAAGAUUAUUUAAAAAUAUUUUGUUUUUCACAUUGAAAAGAUAUUAUAUUAGUAUGUUAUCCUUUCAAGUUAAAGUAUUUAAACAAAAAAAAAAAUUAUUCUAUAUUGAAAAAACAUAAUUUUUUUUCUUGUUAAUAUAGAGUAUAUAUAUUAAAGGACUUCAAAUCCCACAUUGAAAAAAUAAUUUUUUUCCUGUGAACAUAGUAUAUAAACUAAAAAACUUCAAAUCCCAUAUUGAAAAAGUAAAAUAUUUUUCUAGUAUUUAUAUAGUGAACUUUGAAAAGGGUUAAUAACUAACUAAAAAAUAUAUAAAAAAGAGGUGUCUCUUACCAGGAGAAAAAAAAACAUUUAAAAAAAAAAAAUGGGGUCUCAACCGGGUUUUUCCAGGUCACUAGUCAACCCAGUGGGUCAACCCAGUUUUGCUUACCCCGAUCUUUUGCCUUAACCUACCGAUCCAGCCAUCGGGUCGACCGGGUCUCGGGUCAACCUCCUAGGCCGGUUCGGGUUUAAUAACUAUGAUAUAUAUAUUCUUUUUAUAAUGCUUUGAAUCUGAAUAUCUUUUAGAAAAAAUAUGGUUUUAUUUUGUUUUGAAUUUUUUUUUAAUUUUAUAUCUUAUAAUUUGAUUUUUAUAUUAAUUUUGGUCAUUAUUUAGUUUUUUCUUAAUUUUUUUUAAUUCAAUUUUUUUAUUUAUCAAAUUUCAUUCUUAUUCUUUUGAUCAAUAUUUAUUUUAUUUGAAAUAAUUUAUACGAUUACAAUUAUUUUUUAAAAUUUUAUCAUCUUUCAAUUAUUUUUUAUUUUACAUGCCAUGCACAGCUUAGGGACCCAUCCCUUUGUAUAAAAAAUGAUUUGACGGUCCUUGGGUUGGGUGUAUGCCUACGUACUUAGUUUUCUAAAUAGGCCUUGACUCUUUUUCUCUCUGUAUGUUGUGUUAGUGUUAAAAUCUUAGUAUAUUAUACAAUUGGAUUUAUUUUUAUGUUUCACAAACGAGUAUUAUACAUUUGUGUCUCGUUUUUUCUAAUUAAAAACUUGUAUUGAUUUAUUUAUUUUUUUGUAAUUUGAAUACUUGCUCUUAUGAAUUUUUAUCAAUCAAGUCUCUAAUAAUGUUUGUUUCCCAAAAAAUAGUUUCUGAAAAACCACUUUCCAAACUUUCCCGUGUUUAUUUGUAAUUUGGCUUCGUUUUCAACAAAGUGUUUUCCUGAAAAAUUUGAGCGGAAAACACUUUCCGGAAGUUAUGAAAAAUUUAGAAAUGUCAUAUUAUUUGUUGAUUAUAUCAAAUUUGAUCCUCAAACUUUUGAUUGUUAUAUAUAUUUUGUUUUGAAUAUUUAUUUUUCAAUUUCAUCUCUUAAAAUUUAAUUUUUAUAUUAACUUUGGUCCUCAUUUUUAUAAUUGUUAUUUGCUUUUUCCUUAUUAUUUUUUUAUUAAAAUUUUUUAUCUAUCAAAUUUGGUCCUCAUUCUUUUUUAUUGUUACUUAUUUUAAUUGAAAUAAUUUAUGAAAUGUUAAUUAUUAUUAUUUUAAUUUCUUCAUCUUUUUUUUUUUUAGAUUUGAUCUAUAUUAUUUUAAUCAUUAUUUAUUUUAUUUGAGAUAAUUUAUGAAAAAAACAUUUUCCAAUUUCAUUCUCAUUUAACCUUUAAUUUUGUAAGAUUUGUUCCUUAUUAUUUUAAUAAACUUGAGAAAAAUAAAACAUUAAUAAGUUAUUUUCCAGCUCAUUUUCCAUGACAUAACCAAACACUAGAAAGUGUUUUCAACUUAUUUUCCAUUAAACUACCAAACAUCAGAAAAUAAUUUACUUUCCCGGAAUUCACUUUCCAAAAAAAAACUAUUUUCCAACAAACAUACGGGGCCUCUGUAUUAGUUUUGUUGCCAGAAUGCAAAUAACAUGAUUAAUACUAUUUUAUUUUCAAUUUUUUCAAGGCCUAAAUUUUCCAAACCUAAUUUCCAUAAAAAUAAUAGCAAGUCUUAUAUAUCCACAAUCAUCAUGUGCCUAGCAUUAACCUUUUAUUCAUGUUUUUUCCAAAAACAAAACUUGACUUUCGGUCGACAACGUUUUAAGAUGGAAUAUAAGUUUCGGUUAAUUACUUAAUUUCAAUUUUUUUUUGUACUCUAUGCUUUCGAUGAACAUCACUUUCUUAAGCUAGUUGCAGUAUAUAGAAAUUUCUUCUAACAUUUUAGAAAUAUAAUUCACAUCUGAAUUGAUAAAUUCACAAAUUAAUAUAAUAGGUUUUACCAUUUAUUUUAAUAUAUUUUUGGAAUUUAAUAUUAAUAGUUAUAAAGUUUAUUUAGUUAAUAAAAAUUGUUCCACUUUUGUUAUAUCACUUUCCUUUUAAAUUAUUUUAAAGUUUAUUUAUUUUGAAUUUAAUAUAUCAUUUUUUUUUGGAAUAGAUAAAAUUUAUUUUUAAAAAUAAAAAAACUCUUUUCAAAUAAUAUUUCAAAUAUAUGAAGCCAGGCAUAUUAUUACUAUUUUUUAUUUUAUUCAAUCAAUUUAUAAUAUGUGUGUCUAUUAUUAUUAUUAUUUCAUCGAAUUUUUUUUUUAGAUGAAUAUCACUUUCUUAAGCUCAUUGUAGUAUAUAGAAUUUUUUUUAAAAUAAAAAUAAAAAUAUUAUUCACAUCCGAUUAAAUACCUCCACAAAUAUAAUUCCAUUCAAAGUUGCAUCAUGUAUUAAUCUAAGGUCCAUUGUCCAUUAAUUAAUCGGUGGUUGCGUUUUAACACUUGAGAUUUAUUUUUUAUGCAUAACCAUUUAAUUUAUUUUUUUGCAAACUAAAUUGAAAUUAAAGCAUAUUAAUUAUCCAUUCCCAAGCUUACGGGGCAAUGGUCUCAUGGACCCAUCUCGUAGAAAAAACGCUUGAUAGCAAUGGUCUCGUGGACCAUCCCACCGGCCUAUAUCGUGGAAAAAAAUACAGAUGGCAAUGCAUGGUCUCACAGACCCAUUUCGCACUGCAAAUUGCUAUCCAUCUUACUUGUUGAUUGUGUUAUAUAAAAAUAGACUGACAAGUACUUUAGAAAGAAAAAGAAGAAGACUUGUUGUCAUGACAAUGACAAGAAGUAUUUUUUAAAAAAAUAUUAUUUGUGGUUCAUUUUAUCAACGAUACUCUUUGAUUUUGUCAUCACAAUCAAAAUUAAGGCAUGAUUUUUGAAGAUUUUAGGUAAAGAUCAUAAUUUUGAGUUAUGGUUUGUUUAAAUAAUGAAUUUGAGUUAGAAAUCUUGAUAUAUUAAUAAGUGAUCUGUGUGUAUUUAAAAUUAAAGUGCAUAAAUUUAAUAUUGAAAUUUAAUUAAAGUCUCUCUUACAAUCCAAAAUUUAUUUUUAAUUAAAGCGCAUAAAAUAAACAUAGUUAAAGUUCUUUCUUUCUCUUCCUCUCUGUCUCUGUGUAUGUUAGACGGAGUUUGCAUUAGAUAAUCAAUAAUAGGAGGAGAGUCGUCCACAUUCCAUUUGAGGCUAUUAAUCAUAGGAGGAGACCAUAUAUUUUUAAUCCUGAAAGAGUGAGCAUUGGACCACCGAAGCAAGCCAUAUGCCGAUCUGAUCAGAUCUGUAGAGGAGUAUGGAAAAUCUGAAUGGAUAGCUUUUAGCCAAAGACAUAGACGGGUGAUAAUAAGAAAGAAAAUUGAGUCAUAAUCAGGUGUCUUCUGAUGGAAAAUGAGAUCAUUUCGAAGGAGCCAAAGAGACCAUGCCACUGAGAAGAACAACAUCAACCAUGCCUUCCUCUGAAAAUUACCAUGCACCAUGGAAGACCAUUGAGACCACAUAUCUGAGAAGCUCUUUGGGCAACACCAAACUAAACCCCACCACUUAAUGAUUUUGGACCAAAUGAGCCAAUGCUUAUGGCAGUGAAGCAGAAUAUGGUCCACCGAUUCUGCUUCAACAAGGCAGAUAGGGCAAUUUGAUUCCGAGCAACUCAAGAUACCUCUUCGAACCAACAUACAUCGGGUGUUGAGUCUGUUAAUGAUAGCCAUCCAGCAAAAGAUCUCUACUUUAGGUGGGACAAUACCUUUCCAAAAUCCAGCAAACGAGAAGGCACUUACAGAGAGUUAGUGACACUUACAGAGAGUUUAUACAAAGAGUUAGUGACACUUACAUAGCAUUUUGUAUCUUGUUUUUUCUAAUUAAAAACUUGUAUGGAUUUAUUUAUUUAUUUAUUAAUUUGAAUACUUGCUUUUAAUAAUGAUUUUUUUAUCAAUCAAGUCUCUAUAUUAGUUUUGUUGUCAGAAUGCAAAUAACACGAUUAAUAGUAUUUUAUUUUCAAUUUUUUUCAAGGCCUAAAUUUUCCACACGUAAUUUCCAUUAAAAAAAGUAGCCAGUCUUCUUUAUCCAUCAUCGUCAUGUGCAUAGCAUUAACCUUUUAUUCAUAUUUGUUUCAUAAAUAAAUAAACUUAACUUGGGGUCAACGUUUCAAGAAGGAAUAUAAGUUUCGGUUAAUUACUUAGUUUUUUCCCAAAUGUUCCACUUUUGUUAUCUCUCUAUUACUUUUCCUUUUAAAGGGGUUAUGUACAGCCCUUGUAUAUUAUUUUGAAUUUAAUAUAUAAAAAUCUUUAUUAUAGAUGAAUUUUAUUUUUAAAAAUAAAAAAAUAUAUAUUUUCAAAUAAUAUUUUUAAUAUGUGCAACAUUGCAUAUUAUUUUUUCUCCUUUUAUUUUGUUCAAGCAAUUUAUAACGUGUAUGUUGUUUUUAUUAUCGUUUAAUCGAAUAAAAAAAUUAUUUUAAUUUGAAUUUUUAGAAAAUACAAUUGUGUAAAUGUCAUGUCUUGUGAAAUUAAAUAUUUUGAUCUACACAACCAUCUAGGUGGUGGCCCAGUGGUAAAAGCUUGGGACCAAGAGGUUUGCUCCCUCUGUGGUCUCAGGUUCGAACCCUAGGUUGCUCAUAUGAUGGCCAUUGGAGGCUUACAUGGUCGUUAACUUCAGGACCCGUGGGAUUAGUCGAGGUGCGCACAACCUAGCCCGGACACCCAUGUUAAUCUAAAAAAAAAAAAAAUUGAUCUACACAUGUCUUUCGAUUUUUUUAGUUUUAAUUUUGAGUCAUCAUUUCUGUUUUUUUUUUCAUUUAUUAACAUACAUGAUUCUCGAUUUAUUUCACAAUAUUUGUAUAUAAAUUUUUUAACAUCCACUUAAUUUUUUUUAAAAUUAAAAAUUUAUUAAAGAAAUCUAUAUAUAUAUUUUUUAAUUAAACAAAUUUAACUUGCGAUGAAGCUUUGGUCGAAUAACUAAGUCUAUGUACUCAAAUGAGUGGCACUCGAAAGUUCACAUACCUUAUCUUCCAAGCAAGAAGAGACAAGAAAAGCAGUAGGUGAUGUUUUUUUCUCCGGCUGUAAAUGGAUGAAGGGAUUACUACCAAAAACAUGGACAAAAUUUGAUGUGGACCCGCACCACUUUGAUUAUUCUUCACUCUUCCUGUGUUUCACUACUUGAUGAUUCAAAAGUUAUCUAUUUAAAAAAAAAUUAAAAUUUUAAAAUAUUUUACAAUAUGGUUACAAUAUUUUUUUCUUAAGAAAAUAAAUUGAUGUCAUGUGUUAAUAACAUUUACGGAUUUUUUCCAAUAAAUUAAUCAAAUUUAUUUUAAUAAAAAAGUUUCCUAUCAAGAACAGCAUUCCUAGUUAAACCAAAGUUUUUCCACGAACCCAUCUUGUGGAAAAAAUGCAUGAUGGUUGGAAGAGGACGUCUCAUGGCCUCUCCUCAAGGAAAAAUGCAUGAUGGCAACGGUCUUAGGGACCAAUAUGUAGAUGGAAAUGUUCUCAUGGACCCAUCUCGUAGAAAAAAUGCAUCUGAGUAAGUAGAAUUUUUUCUUUUUCUUAGAUGAACAUGACUUUCUUAAGCUCAUUGUAGUAUAUAGGAUUUUUUAAAAAAUAAAAAAAUAGAAAUAUUAUUCGCAUCCGAUUAAAUACCUCCACAUAUAUAAUUCCAUUAAAAGUUGUGUCAUGUAUUAAUCUAAGUUUCAUUAUCCAUUAAUUAAUCGGUGGUUGCGUUUUAACACUUGAGAUUUAUUUUUUAUGCAUAAGCAUUUAAUUUAUUUUUUUGCAAACUAAAUUGAAAUUAAAGCAUAUUAAUUAUCCAUUCCCAAGCUUACGGGGCAAUGGUCUCAUGGACCCAUCUCGUAGAAAAAACGUUUGAUAGCAAUGGUCUCGUGGACCAUCCCACUGGCCUAUAUCGUGGAAAAAAAAUUAAGAUGGCAAUACAUGGUCUCAAAGACCCAUUUCGCACUGCAAAUUGCUAUCCAUCUUACUUGUUGAUUGUGUUACAUAAAAAUAGACUGACAAGUACUGUAGAAAGAAAAAGAAGAAGACUUGUUGUCAUGACAAUGACAAGAAGUAUUUUAAAAAUAAUAUCAUUUGUGGUUCAUUUUAUCAACCAUACUCUUUGAUUUUGUCAUCACAAUCAAAAUUAAGGCAUGAAUUUUGAAUAUUUUAGGUAAAGAUGAUGAUUUUGAGUUAUGGUUUGUUUAAAUAAUGAAUUUGAGUUAGAAAUCUUGAUAUAUUAAUAAGUGAUCGGUGUGUAUUUUAAUUAAAGGGCAUAAAUUUAAUAUUGAAAUUUAAUUAAAGUCUCUCUUACAAUCCAAAAUUUAUUUUUAAUUAAAGUGCAUAAAAUAAACAUAGUUAAAGUUCUUUCUUUCUCUUCCUCUCUGUCUCUGUGUAUGUUAGACGGAGUUUGCAUUAGAUAAUCAAUAAUAUUGUAUAUAUUCUUUUUGGAGAAGUAACUCAUUUUCACACCCUUGUUGUAGUUUUCCAUUCAUUUUCACACCCCAGUUGCCACCCUGCUUUUCUUUCCAUUCACGCACACAGAUAGUGCAUCAAAGCACUACGACAAGAGUUAGUGACACUUACAGAGCAUUUUGUAUCUUGUUUUUUCUAAUUAAAAACUUGUAUGGAUUUAUUUAUUUAUUUUUUAAUUUGAAUACUUGCUUUUAAUUAUGAUUUUUUUAUCAAUCAAGUCUCUAUAUUAGUUUUGUUGUCAGAAUGCAAAUAGCACGAUUAAUAGUAUUUUAUUUUCAAUUUUUUUCAAGGCCUAAAUUUUCCACACGUAAUUUCCAUUAAAAAAAGUAGCCAGUCUUCUUUAUCCAUCAUCGUCAUGUGCAUAGCAUUAACCUUUUAUUCAUAUUUUUUUCAUAAAUAAAUAAACUUAACUUGGGGUCAACGUUUCAAGAAGGAAUAUAAGUUUCGGAUAAUUACUUAGUUUUUUUCCAAAAUGUUCCACUUUUGUUAUCUCUCUAUUACUUUUCCUUUUAAAGGGGUUAUGUACAGCCCUUGCAUAUUAUUUUGAAUUUAAUAUAUAAAAAUCUUUAUUAUAGAUGAAUUUUAUUUAUUCAAAUAAAAAAAAAUUAUUUUCAAAUAAUAUUUUUAAUAUCUGCAACAUUGCAUAUUAUUUUUCCUCCUUUUGUUUUGUUCAAUCAAUUUAUAACCUGUAUGUUGUUUUUAUUAUCGUUUAAUCAAAUAAAAAAAUUAUUUUAAUUUGAAUUUUUAGAAAAUACAAUUGCGUAAAUGUCAUGUUUUGUGAAAUUAAAUAUUUUGAUCUACACAUGUGUCUCGAUUUUUUUAGUUUUUAUUUUGAGUCAUCAUUUUUUUUUCCAUUUAUUAACACACAUAAUUCUCGAUUUAUUUGACAAUAAUUGUAUAUAAAUUUUUUAAUAUCCACUUAAUUUUUUUAAAAUUUAAAAUAUAUUAAAGAAAUCUAUAUAUAAUUUUUUUAAUUAAACAAAUUUAACUUGCGAUGAAGCUUUGGUCGAAUAACUAAGUCCAUGUACUCAAAUGAGUGGCACUCGAAACUUUACAUACCUUAUCUUCCAAGCAAGAAGAGACAAGAAAAGCAGUGGGUGAUGUUCUUUUUUCCGGCUAUAAAUGAAUGAAGGGAUUAAUACCAAAAACAUGGACAAAAUUUGAUGUGGACCCGCACCACUUUGAUUAUUCUUCAUUUUCUUCACUCUUCCUGUGUUUCACUACUUGAUGAUUCAAAAGUUAUCUAUUUAAAAAAAUUUAAAAUUUUUAAAAUGUUUUACAAUAUGGUUACAAUAAUUUUUUCUUAAGAAAAUAAAUUGAUGUCAUGUGUUAAUAACAUUUACGGAUUUUUUCCAAUAAAAUAAUCAAAUUUAUUUUAAUUAAAAAGUUUCCUAUCAAGAACAACAUUCCCAGUUAAACCAAAGUUUUUCCACGAACCCAUCUGGUGGAAAAAAUGCAUGAUGGUUGGAAGAGGACGUCUCAUGACCUCUCCUCAAGGAAAAAUGCAUGAUGACUGUUGUAACCCAUUUUUGGGUCCCUAUAAAAAAAUAAAAUAAAUAGCCAAAAGAGUUUAGAAAAAAUAACAGAAGGCAGAAGCGCUCAGGAAACAGUCAGAAAAUUGGUCAAGAAAUUCAAAAUACAAGGAUUAAAUUUUUGACAGUAUAUUCUUGAAGGAUGAAAGCCCUAUUGAGAAGGAAAAUUUGAAUUUUAAGGAGAAAAGCCCAAAUUUGGAUGUUUAUGGACUUAAUUGGAUUUUUAUUUGAAUUUAUAGAAGAUUUGAUUGCAAGAAAAAUUGAUUUUUAAGUCAAUUUGGGCUUUAAUUUGGAGAAAUUUAAGUUCUGGGGCCAAAAUAUAUUUUUUAGGAAUUUAUUGGGUCAAAUCAGGGGCUCAAUUGCAUAAAUAUUGAAGUUUAAGGGCCAAUUAGGGACUUAAUUGUGAAAAUCCGAAACCAGGGACCAAUUUGGAGAAGGCGCAAAGAUAGAGGGGGCUGUUUGGAUUUGUUUCAGGGGCUUAAUUGAAGAAAUUGGAAGUUUAUUGAUCAAUUAGGGGCUCAAUUGCAUAAAUCAGAGGCCAAGGACCAAAGUGAAAAAGGCGGCCAACAAGAGGGGCGGGGACCGAAUUUGGGGGACUGAUUUGAAGUUUAGCCAUUUAAAUGAAACGGCGUGUUUUACCCAAAACGACGCCGUUUCAUAAAAUAAAAAAAAAAAUAAAAAAAUUCGAAAACGACGCCGUUUUGAAAGACACUGUUCAUCUUCCUCCUUCCCCCCGUUUUAACAGAAAGAAGAGAAAAAAUUCGAAAAUCUUCCCGCGCCUCUCUCUCUCCUCGCCCCCACCACCUUUAGCAUUGGCCGACCAGCCGUUGCACCGCACUAACGAUGGUCCCCCACGGUUCGGCCCCUAUAAAUAGAGAAGAAAACCGAAGCUGACGGAAGAAGAGAAAAAAAAAAACCGAAGGGAGGAGAGAGAGAGGAGGCCAAGAGAGAGAGAGAGAACCGAACACCGAAGAGAGAAGGAGCCGCGCGCCGCCCGGGAAGCCACGCCACCGCAGCACCGCCUCCUCCACGCCAGGUCACCUCUUCUCCCCCUUUCGUUAGUUUUUUAUUUUUUUCCCUGCAUGCAGAAUGAACAUUCUGCAUGCAGGGAGGAGGGGGGAAUUAAUUCCCCCCUCUCUGUUGAUGCGUAGCUGGGCCAGGUGGAUCCUGGCCCAGCACAUUUUUUUCUUUUUUUGGGCCAGACUAAGUCUGGCCCGGCCUUGUAUCUGACGGGCCAGACCAGGUCUGGCCCAUACCAGCUCUCUAGGCCAAGUCCGGCCCAGAUAUUUGGGCCAGCCCAGCCCGAAUUAUUUUUAUAUUAUAUAUUAUAUAUUAUAUAUUAUAUUAUAUAUGUGUAUAUAUGUAUAUAUAUAUAAAAUAUAAUAAUAAAAAAAUAAAUAUUUUGAAAAAAUCUUAAAAAAAUAUUGUUGAUUUUUCUGCAUAUUUUUAUCAAAAUGUUUUAAUUCUGGUUUGUAUUUUUAUACCGUAAAGAUACAAGCUCAGUGUUAUAAAUACCCGGUUUUCGUCAAAACAUCAAAGAUUUUGAGAAUAAAAAAUGUUUUUGCUUUCAAAAAAAUUCUAAAAAGUCCCUAAAAAUAUUGUUGAUUUUUCUGCAUAUUUUUAUCAAAAUGGUUUAAUUUUGGGUUGUAUUUUUAUACCGUAAGGAUACAAGCUCAGUAUUAAAAUACCCGAUUUUCGUCAAAGCAUAAAAAAAAUAAUACUUUCCAAAAAUUGUUUUUGUUUUAAAAUACGGCCUAGUCUCUUCAAAUAUAUAUAUAUAAAUAUUAUAACAUCGUAUUUUCACACAACAAAGAAAAUUUUCAAAAACAAUAUAUGUAUUAACAUGCAUUUUGGCUUUAAUAACCAGUUUAUUCAAGCCAUGAGAACUAGGCCAAUAUUUCAAAAAUUCUAAAAAAUCUUUUUGUUUUAUUUUAGUAUUUGGGAUUACGAAUUUAUACGUAAAACGUAUUCCUAAGUAUUAUUAAUAAAAUUUUGGUAUGGACGUUAGAACGGUUAGAAUUUUUUACCCGAUAAGAUAAAGACCUCCUUACCGAGGAGGAUUUUUCUUGAACCAUAGACAGACCAACAACUAGGAAAACACAAUAACACUUUAGUUUUUUUUAUCAGACAUUAAAACAAUGCAGCUUACCUUAGGUAGGGCGUAUUUGGGGUGCUAAUACCUUCCCUUUACGCAACCAGUCUCCGUACCCGAUCUCUGAGACCAGUUAGGUUCCUAGUGACCGAAAUACUAGGUGGCGACUCCAAACAAAAAAAUAAAAAAAAUUUCGCUAGUCGAACCCGCAAUUGAUGAAUUUGAAUUUUUUUUUGGGGUGCGACAAUGACAACGGUCUCAGGGACCAAUAUGUAGAUGGAAAUGUUCUCAUGGACCCAUCUUGUAGAAAAAACGCAUCCGAGUAAGUAGAAUUUUUUCCUUUUUUUAGAUGAACAUGACUUUCUUAAGCUCAUUGUAGUAUAUAGAAUUUUUUUUUAAAUAAAAAAAUAGAAAUAUUAUUCGCAUCCGAUUAAAUACCUCCACAUAUAUAAUUCCAUUAAAAGUUGUGUCAUGUAUUAAUCUAAGUUUCAUUAUCCAUUAAUUAAUCGGUGGUUGCGUUUUAACACUUGAGAUUUAUUUUUUAUGCAUAAACAUUUAAUUUAUUUUUUUGCAAACUAAAUUGAAAUUAAAGCAUAUUAAUUAUCCAUUCCCAAGCUUACGGGGCAAUGGUCUCAUGGUCCCAUCUCGUAGAAAAAACGCUUGAUAGCAAUGGUCUCAUGGACCAUCCCACCGGCCUAUAUCAUGAAAAAAAAUGCAGAUGGCAAUACAUCGUCUCACAGACCCAUUUCGCAAUGCAAAUUGCUAUCCAUCUUACUUGUUGAUUGUGUUACAUAAAAAUAGAAUGACAAGUACUUUAGAAAGAAAAAGAAGAAGACUUGUUGUCAUGAAAAAUAACAAGAAGUAUUUUAAAAAUAAUAUUAUUUGAGGUUCAUUUUAUCAACGAUACUCUUUGAUUUUGUCAUCACAAUCAAAAUUAAGGCAUGAUUUUUGAAGAUUUUAGGUAAAGAUAAUAAUUUUGAGUUAUGGUUUGUUUAAAUAAUGAAUUUGAGUUAGAAAUCUUGAUAUAUUAAUAAGUGAUCUGUGUGUAUUUAAAAUUAAAGUGCAUAAAUUUAAUAUUGAAAUUUAAUUAAAGUCUCUCUUACAAUCCAAAAUUUAUUUUUAAUUAAAGUGCAUAAAAUAAACAUAGUUAAAGUUCUUUCUUUCUCUUCCUCUCUGUCUCUGUGUAUGUUAGACGGAGUUCGCAUUAGAUAAUCAAUAAUAUUGUAUAUAUUCUUUUUGGAGAAGUAACUCAUUUUCACACCCUUGUUGUAGUUUUCCAUUCAUUUUCACACCCCAGUUGCCACCCUGCUUUUCUUUCCAUUCACGCACACAGAUAGUGCAUCAAAGCACUACUACAAUAGUUGACUCCCAGUCAAUACGGUCAAGAUAAGGUAAUCAAAAACUAAAUUUACUUUUACUACUAUUUUAAUUUUUAAAAAAUAUUUUUAUAUUGUUUAAUGCAUUAAUUUCAAGAAAUAAAUUCCUUUUAUCUUAAAAUAUGAACUUGAAAAACCAGAUGUAUUUUAUAAUUAGGGAGAAAACUAGAAAAAAUUAUUAGUCUUCUCAUUGUAGUAAUAUAAAUCGUAUAUCUUUGACUCGAUUGAAUUGAAAUGUAAUAAAAACAAGUCAAGAAUACCUUUCCUAACAUAAAAACAAAAUAGUGUGUGUGUUAUGUAUUUGAAGUUUUUGUAUAUAAUACUAUAGCCACACAAUCCACAGGGAUAAGAUCAUUUAUAAUUAUUCCGUGUUUAUUAUUAUUGAUAAUUUAUGUAUUUAAUUAUAUAUAUGAUAGUGAGAUGACACCAUGCAAGUAGGCUCCUAAAUGAUUCUAAAUUAUGACGAGAGAAGUACAAUUAUAAAGUUAAAAAGAUCUUACGCGGAAUCACACAUGAAUAUUCGAUAACAAUGUUUAAGUACUACAACAAUUUUUUUAUUUUAUUUUUUCAUAAAUUAGAUAAUUAGGAAGCAAAAUGUAAUUAAAUGCAAAUAGACUAAAUGCUUAACAAUAAAAUAAUAUUCAAAUCCAAGAAUAUUCCAAAAAGAAAUGAAAUAAAGAAAACAUCUCAUAACAUAGAAUCUGCACAAGAUAUGCAGAUAAAGUCAUGGAAACGGCCAGAGCAUAGUAUAAAUAGGACCUCCAUGGUUACCCAAAGGCAGAUAACAAACAGCAAUAGUUCAUAGAAUUAUCUAAGAUGAUGAUGAAAAUAAUGGGGGCUUGGAUGUUGCUAGCAUUAUUGACUUUGGUUGGCGAAUGGUAUGGUCGUUGUUAUGGGUGUUUGGAGGAAGAGAGGAUUGGUCUCUUGGAGAUCCACUCUUUGAUCGACCUAGAUGGCUUUUCCUUGAGAGAUUGGGUGGACAGUAGUAAUUGUUGUGAGUGGCGUGGGAUCAAGUGUGAUAACACUACAAGGCAAGUGAUCCAACUCUCUCUUCAUGGAGUAAAGGGUUUUCCGCAGUGAAGUUUAUGUACUAAAAUAAGUGGCACUCAAAGGUUCACAUACCUUAUCUUCUAAGUAAAAAGAGCCAAGGGAAGCAGUAAAUGAUGUUCUUUUCUCCGGCUGUAAAUGGAGGAAGAGAUUAAUACCAAAAAUAUGGACAAAAAUUGAUGUGGACCCACACCACUUUGAUUAUUCUUCUUUUUCUUCACUUUUUCUGUGUUUCACUACUUAAUGAUUCAAAAGUUAUCUAUUUAAAAAAAAUUAAUUUAUUCAGUUUUUUAAAUUAAAAUAAAAUAUACCUAUCAUUCUUAGACGUUACAUAAUGAAAUUAAAAACCAUAGCUUUUAGAGCCCCAAGCGCACGGCCCCAUCUCGUGGAAAAAAUUGCUUGAUGAUAAUGGUAUCACUGACCCAUCUAGUGGAUAAUUUGUUGCAAUGUUCUCUCCAUCAAAAUCCUUUUUGUUUUGAAAAGGAAAAUAUAUAUAUAUAUAUAUAUAUAUAUAUAUAUAUAUAUUAGUUUUCAAGUUUUGAGAUAUAAGUUCAUAGCUCUUAAGAUAAGAAAUAUACCACAAGAUUUAAAAAUAUUUUAUAUUUCAUUAAAAUGAAUAAAUAAAUUACUUAUAUGGUUGCAAUAUUUUUUUCUUAAGAAAAUAAAUUGAUUUCAUGUGUUAAUAACAUUUAAGGAUUUUUUUCCAAUCAAAUUUAUUUUAAUUAAAAAGUUUGCAAUCAAUAACAACAUUCCCAAUUAAACCAAAGUUUUUCCACGAACCCAUCUCAUGGAAAAAAUGCAUGAUGGUUGGAAGAAGACGUCUCACAGCCUUUCCUCAAGGAAAAAUGCAUGAUGGCAAUGGUCUCAGGAGCCAAUGGACAGAUAGAAAUGGUCUCACGAACUCAUAAAUGCAUUUAUAGUGAUAUUUUCAUUGUUAGAGACAUACAGUAGUUUAGGGAAUUUUAUCAAGGAACGAAGAUAUUUUCGGAGAAUAACAUUUAUAAUGAUACUUUUAUGCAAUUCAAUUUUUUCUUUUUUUUAGUCUAUGAUACUGAUGAACAUGACUUUCUUAAGCUAGUUGUAGUAUACAGAACUUUUUUAAUAAAAAAAUAGAAAUAUAAUUUGCAUAUGAGUAAAUAGCUUCACAAAUUAAUAUAAUAGGUUUUAAUAUUUACUUUUAAUAUUUAUAAAAUGAAAGAUAUUAAGAGUUGCUUAAUUUGUAGAGCUCCAUUUGUAUAUCAUUCUAUUUUUAUUUUUUUUUGCAAAGAAAAACCUCGUUUUGCAUAACUGUUCCUAUGUCUUUUUAUUAUUGAUGUAUGUUUGACAUUUUUAAUAUCUUAGAAGAGCACACAGAAAGGUUUACGAGGAUUCCAAGGGAGGCUACUGAUUUUUGCUCUCCAUGAGAAGAGCAUCAUGGAACUUCUAACUGAGCAUUGAAUGUCAUAAUGAGAAAGAUUGGCAGUUGCACACCCAAGAGAAUGCUUUUUUUUAUCUUUCUUUUUUUUCACAAGAUAAGGUAAUUGGCUGUUGUGUGUUUUGACUUUUAGCAUUCUUCUUCUUCUUAUUAUUAUUAUUAUUAUUAUUAUUAAGAUGAGUGUCCGGACCAAUUUGUACGCAACUCGACUUAUCCCAUGGGCUCUAAAGUUAACGAUCAUGUAAGCCUCUAGUGACUCUGAGAUUUAUGAGACUCGAACUAAUGAUUUUUAGGAAGCAAACCUAGAGCCUAGGUAAUUGAGCUACACCCUUAUUAGAAUUACUUUUAACAUUCUUUUAGAUUGUCUUGUGGCGGUCCUCCAAGAUUCCGGAGGACCACCUGUAUGCAUAAGGAAAUCACUGCAUGGUUGUGUUUAAAAAUCAAAAUGGCACACAGCAAGUCAAGCAUCAAUUACUUAAGAUUUGUGGAAGAUAUGAUACAAGAGAUAAGAAAAUGAUUGCUAUUAUCCACAAUUUCUUUGCGGAGUUUCCAUUAGAUAAUCAAUAAUGUAUACAUUUUUUUUUUGAGAACUCAUUUUCACACCCCCAGUUGCCACCCUGCUUUUUUGAGAAGUAACUCAUUAGAUAAUCAAUAAAGUUUUUUUUUUGUUCAUUUACCACUAAUUUACAUUUCAAUCAAAAACUAAAUUUACUUUUACUACUAUUUUAAUUUUAAAAAAUUAUUUUUAUAUUGUUUAAUGCAUUAAUUUCAAGAAAUAAAUUCCUUUUAUUUUCUCUUUCUUUUACUAAUAUUCUUUUUUCUUCUUUUUUUGAACUGCCUUAUCUCUCUUUCUUUUAUGUUUUUCAUCUUUCAAUCCUUCAAGAUUUAAAUUAUGUAGCAAUUUACAUUAGGAAUAUUGAUAACAAAUUAAAUAUAACCAGAAAAAAAAUGCAAAAAAAAAUAAUAAUGAUAUUCUAGUAAAACAUUUACAUUUCCAUUGAAAGAUGUGUCAUAUAUUAAUUAGUGGUAUGUUGUCCAUUAAUUAAUCGGUGGUUGCAAUACUCUAAAACUUGAGAUUUAUUUUUUAUGCUAGCUUAAGCAUUUAAUUUAUUUAUUUAUUGUAAACUAAAUUGAAAUUAAAGCAUAUUAUUCAUUCCCAAGCUUACAGGGCAAUGGUCUCAAGGACCCAUCUCGUAGAAAAAACGCUUGAUAGCAAUGGUCUCAUGGAUUCUAUUGUGGAAAAAAUGAGAUGGCAAUAGUCUCACAAACCAGUCUCAUGGACUCUAUCUUACUUGUUUAUUUUAUUUUUUUAAUUUUUUGUGUUCUUAAUAAUUUUAUAAAUGUUGUUGUAGGAUUUAUUUUUCAUGUGAGAUCAAUUUUUAGUUGAUUUACUUAUAGGAUUUUUAAAUAGAUUUUAAUUAUUUAAUUAUUUUUCUAGAUUUGUUAAAUAGAUUUUUUUAAAAAUAUAUUUUCUAAAUAGUCACUACAGAAUUGCAUUUGUUGGUUACAUGACAAGCUUCCCGAGAAAAAUACCGAUGAAAUGAAGGAGGUAAAUUUUUUUAGCGUGUUUUACUCAUUAGUAAAUCUAUCAGUAAUAAUAUAUUUUUAUUACUAACAAAUAAAAAAUUACCGAUAAAAAAUUCACAGACAGAACAUUUCUGUUUGUGAUCCCGUCAAUAAUUAAUUUACCUAGAAAAUUAAAUAAUAAAUCAAGAGGGGGGGCCUUUCCUUGACGAAUAUCCUCAAUGGCCUUUGGAAUCGAAGCAAAUCCUGUGGCCACAAUUUAUUGUUAGCACGUGUUUGCAAUUUACGACAUAUAUUUUGAUGAGCUACUUGUAGAGUAAGGCGCUGUUUUUGUUUCUACCUUUAGGUGAUUGCACCAAACAUAGACUAAACAAAAGGGACAUACAGUGGUGGAGAAAUUGGUUCCAGUUCCUUUUGAUACAUGUAACCAGUUUUGUAUUCUUGCUCACUUUUCAAUUUGGUUUCGGUAUCGUGUUUUGUAAUUAUUACUUACUGCUGCUGUUUUGAAUUUACUAAUCAUUUUUUUCCUUCAACUUCCCAUAUCUUUUUGUUGGAAGCUCCAUUUGUAUAGCAUCCUUUUUAGAGAAGUAACUCAUUAGAUAAUCAAUAAAGUUUCUUUUUAUUCAUUUACUAUUAGUUUACACUUCAAUCAAAAAGUAAAUUUGCUUUUACAACUAUUUUAAUUUUUAAAACAUAUUUUUAUAUUAUUUAAUGCAUUAAUUUCAAGAAAUAAAUUUCUUUUAUUUUAAAAUCUAGACAUGAAAAACCAGAUGUAUUUUAUAAUUAGGGAGAAAACUAGAGGAAUUGAAUAGUCUUCUCAUUCUAAUAAUAUAAAGAUAUAUCUUUGACUCGAUUGAAAAAAUAUAUAUUUAAUAUUGAAAUGUAAUAAAAACAAGUCAAGAAUACCUUUCCUAACAUAAAAACAAAAGAGUGUGUAUGUAUGUUAUGUAUUUGAAGUUUUUGUAUAUAAUACUAUAGCAAAUUACAAUUAUAAAGUUAAAAAGAUCUUAUACGGAAUCACACACGAAUGUCGAUAACAAUGCUAAAGUACUACAAUAAUUUUUUUAUUUUAUUUUAUUUAUAUAAAUUGGAUAAUUAGUAAUUAAAAUAUAAUUAAAUGCAAAUAGACUAAGUGCUAAACAAUAAAAUAAAAUAAUAUUCAAAUCCAAGAAUAUUCCAAAAAAAAAAAAAUCAAAUCUCAAACAUGAAACUCUAAAUUAUUACGAGAGAGAAGUAUAAUUAUAAAGUCAUGAAAACAAUCUUACGAAUGUCUACAAUAUUUUUAUUAUUUAUUAAUUUAUUUUAUACAUUGAAUAAUUAGUAACCAAAAUAUAAUUAAAUACAAAUAGACUAAAGACGGAACUGAACAAUAAAAUAAAGGCCGAACUGCACAAGAUAAUAUUCAAAUCUAUAUUAUCGACAAACACACCAUAAAGACCGAAGUGUCAGACUUUGGCACUUUCUAGGUUAAUUCCGUUGGAUUAUGUUGAAUAGUCAACAAUGGUGCGAGGUACUCUAGGAUACUUAAGGGCCAACUGACGGACAAAAGUGAUGUUUACAGUUAAAAAUUCAAGUGCCUAAGGGCCUUUAAGUGCCUUCGAUAAGCCUAAGGGCCUUUAAGUGCUGAACAAUAAAUAAAUAAAAAUAUUCAAAUCCAAGAAUAUUCCAAAAAGAAAUAAAAUAAUAUUCAAAUCUCCAAACAUGGAACCUGCACAAGAUAUAUAGAUAAAAUCAAGGAAAUUAAAUGGCCAAAGUGUAGUAUAAAUAGGACCUCUAUGGUUGCCCAAAGACACAUAACAAACAACAAUAUUCUACGUAGUAAUUCAUAGAAUUAUCUACGAUGAUGAUGAAAAGAAUGGGGGCUUUGAUGUUGCUAGCAUUAUUGACUCUGGUUGGCGAAUGGUAUGGUCGUUGUUAUGGUUGUUUGGAGGAAGAGAGGAUUGGUCUCUUGGAGAUCCAAUCUUUGAUCGACCCAGAUGGCAUUUACUUGAUGGAUUGGGUGGACGACAAUAGUAAUUGUUGUGAGUGGUAUGGGAUCGAGUGUGAUAACACUACAAGACGAGUGAUCCAACUCUCUCUUAGUCGGGAUUACAGCUUGGGCGAUUGGGUUCUCAACGCAUCUUUGUUUCAGCCUUUCAAAGAAUUGCAAAGUCUUGAUUUGGAAUGGACUAGAUUGGUUGGUUGCAUGGAGAAUGAAGGUUAGUUCAAUGUUUCUGCACUUAAUUAUAAUCAUAAAAUAAAUGAAGGUUGGUUGGUGUUUAAUGUCAAUUAUCUUGCUUUGAUGAUUCUCUUCCAGGCUUCCAAGUCCUAUCAUCAAAACUGAGGGAACUUGGCCUAAGUUUUAACCGAUUUAAUAAUGAUAAAAGCAUUUUGUCAUGCUUCAAUGAUAACCUUUCCACUCUCAAGUCUUUGGAUCUAUCAUAUAAUGGGUUGACAGUUGGAUCAGGAGGUAGCUUCUAUGGUAACCUUUUAGUUAUUUAUUUAGCUUUGAAACCUUUUCUUUUCUCCUCCUCAUAUCAUUUUUUUCUAUGCGUUUAAUUAUUUCCUUCCAAUAUGCUCUUGAGGAACAUCAUGCAGGUUUCAAAGUCUUGUCAUCAAGGUUGAAAAAGCUGGAGAACCUUUAUCUAAGUUAUAAUCAAUACAACGAUAGCAUUUUUCCAUCUCUUACUGGAUUUUCAUCCCUCAAGUCUUUGGAUCUAUCGACUAAUGAGUUGACAGGAUCAGGUAUAAUACACAGUUUCUACCUAAAUGCUUCACAUGACAUUCUCUUAAUUAUAUUGUUUCUUUAUCAACAAAAAUGAGGACUUUAUAUCUAUUUAAUAAAAACUAUCAACAAAACUCUCUAAUACAAAUCACUAGACAGCCAACAAGAGAUUGCCAAUUUCUUUAUUAGAAAAACUCUCGAACUGUUUUAUCAAUGAAGACCACAACAUAAAACCCACAUAUUUGAUAUUUGAUAUUUAAUUCUUGUUUGUAGCCAUUUAUUAUUUCCUCUCUUUUUAAUUAUGGUUUUAUAUUAUUUUGGACCUUUGUUUAAUCAAAAUAUUUUCUGCUGUGGAGGAUAUAUUGCCUUAUGGUCAUGGUGAAUGGUGAAAUAUUUGGACUGAAAUAAAAUGUGAAAAAGUUUAUAAUUCUUUAAUGCCUUGGAUAAAAUUAGGAAAGUACUUGCUAGAAAACAGAGGCAGUUAGGAACAAAUUAUAAUUACUAAAUUAGUGACAACUAAGCAUCUUACUAACUAAAUAGAUAGAGGAAUUAAGUUAUGAUUAUUAUUCUUGUUUAACAGUUAUUAUUCUUGUUUUAAUUACCGAUGAGGUCUUAAUUAUAAGUUUCUUUAUCUUGUUUUGUAAGUCUAUCAUAACUUAGCUUCCAUCUUUUUAUGUAUAAUUUGAGAAUCAUAUAUCAAUUGAACAACAUAUCUCAUCAAUUCUAAUUAUCUUUAGUUUCUAUCUAUUAUGCAUAUCAUGAGCUCAUAAUUAUGACUUACUUUUAGAAACAGGUUUUGAGAUCAUAUCAUCACAUUUGGGGAAUCUCGAGAACCUGAAACUGAACUAUAAUAUAUUCAACGACAGCAUUUUCUCACAUCUGCGUGGACUUUCAUCUCUCAAGUCUUUAGAUCUUUCACACAAUCAGUUGACAGGAUCUGCUGGUAUCAAUAGUAAGUUAUAUAUAAUUUCUACCUAACUACUUUACAUGACAUCUUAUCAAUUCUGAGUGGGCUUUCAUCCCUCAAGUCUUUGGAUCAAUCAAACAAUAUGUUGACAUGAUUAGGUAUAAUACACAGUUUCUACCUAAAUGCUUCACAUGACAUUCUCUUAAUUAUAUUGUUUCUUUAUCAACAAAAAUGAGAACUUUAUAUCUAUGGAAAGAUAAAUUGUGUCAUCUCCUGAGUCCAGAUCUAUUAUCGGCAAUGCAGGAGCGGUGUUGAGAGGACACUUCACUUAUGCUAAGCCUCAUAACAAACAUAUCAAAAAAACAAGUUAAAAAUACACAAUAAGUUUUGAGAUCAUAUCAUCACAUUUGUGAAAACUCGAGUAAUUAGAUUUUUCACAAAAUCAGCUGACAGGAUCUAUCACUAGUAAGUUGCAUUCUCUAUAUCAAGAAAAUUGAGGACUUUAUAUCUAUUUAAUAAUCAAUUUAAUUAUAGCAUUUUAUCAUUUUUUAUUGAGCUUUCAUCUCUAAGAAUUUAUAUCUAUAUGCUUUCAUGUAUCAUUUUAAUAUCUAAAAGAUACUUUCAUCACUAUUUUGACUAUUUCGAGAUAAAUUGUACAGGUUGGUGUGAAUUGAAGAAUUUGAAGCAGUUAGAUCUCUCUGGAAAUAAUUUUGGAGGUUCGCUCCCAGAUUGUUUGGGGAAUUUGUCAUCUCUACAACUAUUAGAUGUUUCUGAAAACCAGUUUACUGGAAAUAUUGCCUCUGGUCCUCUUUCCAACCUCAUAUCCCUUAAAUUCCUCUCACUAUCAAAUAACCUCUUUGAAGUUCCCAUUUCAAUGAAGCCUUUUAUGAACCACUCAAGCCUCAAGUUCUUCUCCAGUGAGAACAACAGACUAGUAAGGGAACCUGCUGCCUUUGAUAAUUUGAUUCCAAAGUUCCAAC
This 152351-nucleotide long non-coding RNA is filed under the name Populus tremula. RNAcentral's name for it is "long non-coding RNA (PTRE_LNC002031)". The stretch from base 125553 to 125709 matches the Rfam family "MIR2912 microRNA precursor family". Lineage: Eukaryota; Viridiplantae; Streptophyta; Magnoliopsida; Malpighiales; Salicaceae. The record is from RNAcentral.